RNAcentral lists this long non-coding RNA (153232 nucleotides) under Citrus x clementina. Its description in RNAcentral is "Citrus clementina (C. clementina) long non-coding RNA (CCLE_LNC002343)". The record is from RNAcentral. Lineage: Eukaryota; Viridiplantae; Streptophyta; Magnoliopsida; Sapindales; Rutaceae.
AGAAAGUGAUCAUCAUGGCUCAUCUUCAUCUUCAUCGGUUAUUAUUGCCUUCCCCAAAUUGAAAUCACUUUCAAUUGAGUUUCUGUGCGAAUUGGAGGAGUGGGAUUAUGGGAUUACAAGAACGGGAAACACCGUCAUCAACAUCAUGCCACGUCUUUCUUCCUUGACAAUUGCUCUUUGCCCCAAAUUAAAGGCACUGCCCGACCACAUUCAUCAAACGACAACAUUGAAGGAAUUGCACAUUUGGGAUUGCAGGCUUCUGGAAGAACGUUAUUGCAAGGGGGAAGGAGAAGACUGGCCUAAGAUAUCACACAUUCCCAACCUCCAUAUUGGGCAUUGACAAGUAAUUUCUUCUCUUACUCUGAUUUGCUUUGUUGUUGUUUUUAAUCUAAUUAAGAAGCGUAAAUAGCAUUUUGAAUCAAACUCUAUAUCAGAAAUCUGCAAUACUUACUUUCUAAUAUUCUGAUUUUCAUAUCCUAUGAAUAUACGAUUUUUAAUUUGUGAGAUGGGUAACGUUACUGUAAAAGAUUAUUAAUGCAAUAUGAGUAAUUCUUUUGCAGGACAAGUGACCUACAUUUAGUUUGGCUUUGGAGUUGAAUAAUAACCUUUCGGGAACUGGUGUGGACUGGCAAAGGAUGAUGAGAUAGUUUUUUGAGUGAGUAAAUUUUGGGAGCUUGAGUGUAUUGGGAUUUGCAAUUACAAUCAUCGUCUGCCUCAGGUGAUUUCUUCUCCUGCUCUGUCAUUGUUUGUUCUCUAAUUCAAAAGCAUAAAAUAUUUCAAUCAAUUUUUAUGCCAGGAAUAUGCAAAAGUUUCUAAUAUUUUAUUUCCAUCUGUCACAAGAUCAAACUGAAGCAGAACUCAAACAAAAGUAUGCUACUUCUUGCGGAAAUCUUGCCUUCGUUCAAAUUAUGAAACCAUUUCCAUGCAGCAAAUUCAUCCAAAAGUUUGAAUAAGUUUCAUGGUUGGACACUGUUGGCUUCUUUUUCUUCUGGGGUGCAUUUAGGUGCUAUCAAGUGACAGCUGUAAGUAUGAUUGCACUAAGCUGCUGCUGGGAAAUUUGAGGUUUUGAUGGCUGCCCAUGUUAUUUUCAAGAAACUAUUGAUGUAAGAAGCCGUGGUUCUUUUCAUCAGCUUGAACCUGAAACUGUCGCUAUGGAUAACUCAGGUUUUUGUUAUCAACUAUAUCAUCUUUUUCACUAUUUUGAAACUCUUAAGAUUAAACGUUAGUAAAGUUGUUUCAGCUAUUCAAAUGAAAAACUCAUUGAUUUGAGACUUCCUUCAUUAUUGUUUCUAAUUACAAUGCUAACGAUCCAGAUAAAAUAAUAUUUAAUCGGCGAAGGUGUCCCUUGGAAGUACAUCCUUCUUUUUCUUUUAUUAUAUAAAUUCUUGCAAUGAGCUUAGUCAAGAUGUUGUGCUAAUCAUGCCACUGCAUAUAAAUUCUCCAGAAGUUAAAAUCAAUAAAUUUUCUAUUAGCUCUAGUGCUUUGACCUAAAUGCUAUUCUAUAUUCUGAUUACAAUGUUUUAACCUUUAAAUUAACUACCCCUAGGUGUUGGAUUUUCUAGAACUUCAAAAUGAUUAAUGGAGAAAGAUCCCAUUAUCGUUAUUGCUAUAAGAAAUUGAUUUAUGCAUCCAAAGAUACAUUAUAUAUUUCUGUGUCUCUAUUUAUAGAUGACAUUUAAGCAUCCAUAAACCGUCAGACAGAGGAAGGGGGUUCAGUGCAAAGAUUCUGUUGACCUAGGGUUGACUGCAUAAUGUCACUUGUUCGCAAUCUAUUAUUUAUUUUAUAUUUUGAAGAAUUUAAUGGGUAAUCCUAAUUGUUUGUUUUGGCAGGUAUGUGUUGUUUUCUCCUUCUAUCUAACAGUCGUACCUAAAUAGCAUAGUUUCAUCUGUGUUACCAUGUGAUGUACAUAAUUUCACAUUUGCCUCAGAUUAAGCUUAAUUUCCCACAGAAUAGAGCUGUCGCGACUGGACUUAGGUUGAUGUCCAAAGAGGUAAAUUAUUGGCAUGCCUAGAUAAUUUGGCCAUUUCCUAAUUCAUAAGUCUACAUUAAUUUUGAUUUUGAGUUGACUGAUUUCUUUUCAAGGUCUGCUUCCUUAACGGAGUGACCAAUGUUUUUCAACUAAAUUUAUCAUAUGAUGCAGGAAGCAGGGCAGGAUAUGAAAUGAGAAGCUCAUUGGUGGAAGUAUUGCCAGUAACAGAACCCAAAGAAAAUGAAACUAUUUCAAGGCAGCAGUUGGCAGUUGCAAGUGAAUGGAGGCCCUGACAAAAUUCUCAAGCGGUUGCAAUGCAAUUACGAUCAUCCUCAGCCUCAGGUAAUUUCUUCUCCUGCUCUGUUUUUAUUUGUUAUCUAAUUAAAAAGCAUAAAGUAUCUUGAAUCACUUUCUCUAUCUGGAAUAUAUGCAGCAGUUUCUAAAAUCUUCAUAUGAGUGUAAUGAUGGUAAUUUCUGUUUUUUGUCUGUCAUUGAAUGUUAGACAACUUUCAGUGAGACUCUUGAACCGAGACAUUUUUGACAACUGAAGGACAAUUGCUGAAGAGUCGGAAUGGUGCUAGAUUGGGGAAUAAAGACAAAGGAGGUAAAUUAUUUGCAGUUUAUUCAGCAUUAUUUGCUUUGGACCAGCGCCUGAUUCACAAGUCUCCAUAAUUUGGCUUUUGACCAGUUAAUAAAUUUUUAAUUCCAUUGGUGCUAAAUGUACACGUGAAGCAGGCAGAGCAGGACUGUGGAAAUGAGAAGGUUUUUAGUGAAAGCUUAAACUCAGGUAAUUCUAAAAAGUACAUGUUUUUGCUGAUUUAUCUAAAUCAGGAAAUUUUAUUUCCAUCUGUUACAAGAUAAAACAGAAACAGAACACAAAGAAAAAUAUUCUACUUCUUGUGGCAAUCUUGCCUUCAUUCAGACAAUGAAACCAUUUCCUUUCACCAAUUUCUUCCAAAAGUUUGAAUAAGUUUCAUGGGUGGACCUAGUUAGCUUCUUUUUCUUUUGGUGCAUUUAGGUCCUAUCAAGUGACAGCCAUAAGUAUGAUUGCAUUAUUGGGAAAUUUUAGGUUUGGAUGGCUCCCCAUGUUAUUGCCAAGAAAGUCCUCAUGUCAGAAGCUGCGGUUCUUUUCAUCAGCCUGAACCCGAACCUGUCGUUAUGGAUAACUCAGGUUUUUGUCAUCAACUAUAUCAUCUUUUUUACUGUUUUGAAACUCUUAAGAUUAAACUUCAGUAAAGUUGUUUCAGUUAUCCAUGUAAUCAGGCUAAGGAUAUUUAGCAGCUUAUUUAGGCAACUGCCAGAAUUCAGUUUGUUAGCUCGAAACUUGUAUGGUGACAAGGAUACUGGCAAGGAUAGUGAGAUAGUUUUUUGUGUGAGUGAAAUUUGAAAGCUUGGGUGUUCUGGGAUUUGCAAUUGCAAUCAUCCUCUGAGUCAGGUGAUUUCUUCACCUGCUCUGUCUUGAUUUUCUCUCUAAUUGAAAGCAUAAAGUAUUUCAAUCAAAUUCUGUACCAGGAAUACGUAAAAGUUACUAAUAUUUUAUUUCCAUCUGUUUGCAUUGAUAACUCGGCGGCAUAUGUUCUAGUUAAAGAACAAACAGAAACAGAGUUCAGGAAAAAGUUUCUUCGGCCACCAUAUUUGAAAAUGAAACCAUUUCCAGGAAGCAGUUGGCAGCAAAUUCAUAUGGAGUGUAGACAAUGAUGAGCAAAAAGGUGAUUCGCAAUUUCUUUUUUUUUUUAAGUGAAAUUAUUUGUUAGAUUGAAGCUGAUAUUGUAAGAAGGCCAUUGAGCUAACCUAUGUCGCCACUUGCCUAGAUUGCAGGGGGUCAAGACUCAAAAGAAGCACUGAAAUUUAAAAAGCAUGCAAUAGUUCUUUUGCCAUGUGUCAAUUAAUGCAAGUUUGAAUAAGUUUAUUGGCUGAACGAUGUUAGCUUCUUUUCCUUUCGUGCACUUUGGUAUGCUAUCAAGUGACAGCCGUAUGUAUGGCUUGCAUAUAGCUGCUGCUGGGAAAAUUGACGAUUUCAUGGCUGGCCGUGUUAUUGUCUUAAAUUAGUUGUGAUAAGCUGUUGCUUGGAGAUUCUGUUGCCAAGAAUUUGCUCACAUCAGAAGCUGUGGAAUCUGAACCCUUCGAUUCUGUUGCCAAGAAUUUGCUCACAUCAGAAGCUGUGGAAUCUGAACCCUUCGUUAUGUAUCAUCUUUUUCAUUGUUUUAAAACAGUAAACUCUCAGGACACUGAGCAGGCAAAUGUUAUAACUCGGUUUGUUAGCCAAAAACUUGUUGAAGAUUCUUGACAAAGCUGCGUCGAGUGAAUUGUCGGAGCUCUGAGGGUGAGAGAAAUUAGAGGGUGUAUAGGGAUUUGGAUUUGUUAGGAAGUUAUCAUUUUUAUUUGUCCGAUUCAAAACUUGAUAUUCCAAUUAUAUUCAUAAGCUUCUACAGUUAUCUUCAAAAAGACAUUCCAAUUAUAUUCAUAAGCUUCUACAGUUAUCUUCAAAAAGACAAAUGGAAGGCUUUGAACGGCUUGGGUCUGAGUAUUGUAGUUUGAUUUAUUUUGAUGAAAGAACCUUUUGACAUUAAGAUUCUUUCAUGAGUUAAACAUUCUUUUUAAAACCAACUUAUUAAAAAAAAAGUAACGAACAUAUAUUAUUUUGUUAGUGCUUUUUAAAUCAAAUAUAAAAAAGAGAACUGUAAUUCUUAGCAACCAAUUUUUCAUUGAGUACACCUACAACAAAUUAUUAAAAAAUAAAGCGAUAGAAAAUGCCUGAUUUUUCGUACUUUCUAAUUACUUUUGGUCCUAAAAUAUGGCGAUUUGUGUAAUAAUAAGCCCAUGUAUAUCUUUAUGCCAUUAGUUUGAUAAAUAACUAUCAAGGAUAACUUAUUAAGCUAAAAAUAUUUGAAGGAUAAAAUGGGAAAACUAAAAGGGUGGAGUAAUAAAGUUAUUUAAGAUUACAUAGUAAGUUAACUAUAUUCGAGGGAUAAAAUAUUAAAACUUGAAUAGUUAUAUUAAAAAUAUCUCGGCUAUUAUACUAUUAAACCAUAUGCCGUAAUAAUGUUUUUUUUCAAACUUUAAAAAAUUCAGGAUUUUAAAUUAAAACAUGGAUUUCUUUAAGAUGCUAUAUGUGUUUUUACAGUAUUGAUAGUGGGAUUAGUGUGUACCCUUAUAUGAAAGAGUUUUAAUCUGAAUCAUUCAUUUAAUAUAAUAGAUAAUUAAAUAAUUAAUUAAAAUAUAGCAGGUAACUUAUAGGUUGCAGGUAAAAAAUUAAUUUUUUAAUUUUAAAUUAAAAUUAAUUUGGAACAAAACCAUCCACACCCCUAAGGUUUACUUAAAUGAUCAUAUAAAUCCCUUUAGUUUCUACAUAGUUAUACAGACCCUCUUAAUUUCAUAAAUUAUUAUUAUACUUUUAAUUAAAACAACCUAAAUGAAUAUAAAUAUAGUAAUAGGAUAGAAAUAAUAAAUAAAUAUCAGAUGAAACAAAUAAAAUAUUACAAUAAAUACAAUUAAUUAAAUAACAUGUAUGAUGAAAAUUUUAUUCAUAUUAAGUUAUUAUUAGUCUAUCCCGAUGGAUUUACUCAAAUCAAUUAAUCCAAAAUUUAAUUUUAAGAUUGAUAUUAAUAUGGACAUAAUUAAAUAAGAUGUUGUAAUAUAUACUACUUUGAAUGUUAAGUAUAAUUAUCUAAUAUUAUUAGUAUGUGAAAUAGAUUUUAAUAUUAUUAAAGAAUAUGACAAUAUAUAAUUUUGAAUUAAAUUUUUUAGUAUUCAUGAUAUUUUAUAAAUUUUAUGUGAUUUUAUAUAUUAUAUUUUUUAAUUUUAAUGUAUUAUAUAUGAUCAUUUAAGCAAAUUUUGGAGGUGCGGUGGUCUUUUCCCUAUUAAUUUUGUAGCAUAUUUAAAGUGUUAUAUCAUACAUGAUACAUCACACUUUUGUUAAAGUGUUAUGUUAUUAAAAAUUAAACUUUGCAUUUAUAAUAUACUACCAUUUUAAUGUAAAGGUAAUAGAAAAUAUGAAGAUAUUUUUAAGUAGUCAAUUGUAGCUUUCUUUUACAAAAUAGCAGUAUAGAAAUACAAUUGGUAAAAUGUAAUAAAAAUGGUAUGGAAAAAAGUUAGUAGAGGCAAUUAUUCUUGUAGUUGCUAAAACAUAUGAAGUGACACACACACACACACACAUAUCAAGUACUUGUAUGUUCCCCUAACUUUUAUUAAUGGGAAGGAAAUUAAAUUCGUAAUUUUCCCGGUGAAUUAUGAAUUGAUAAAUGAAAUAUAAAUAUUAGUAAAAAUUAAUUUGUCGACUAAAGAAGUAAACCAUAUUUUAUGGGCAUUUAAUACAUUAAUUUAAGGUCAAAUGAGAUAAUAUCACAUGAUAUUUGAUACAAGAGUCCAAUUUUCAACAUUUGCAUAUAGUUUCUAAGCUAGUAAUCUAAUAAAAUAUACCAAAUGAGAAAUUGAAGGCUAUUAUUUAUAUUUCACCAUUGGACAAACACCAUACAUUAGAAUAAAAAAAUCUCACAGUAGAGACGGCAUCUGUUUGCAUGUUUUGAAAAUAGAUUUUGAAAUUAGUUUAAUUACAUGAUAAUUAAAUUAUAUUAUAAAAUUAAGAAUAUGAUUUAAGUACUAUUUUAGCAAUUUUGAGUCUCACAUUGAGUAUUCAAGUUAAUUAAAUGUUGAAACUCUUUUCUAUUUGGCUUGAAAUCACUACUAAAUAAAAUUACAAAAAGUCAAUAAUGAAUGAUGUAGGACACAUAUGUAAAAUAAAUUUUAAAGUGUAAUUAAACAUUCCUAUCAAUAUUAGUUUUGCAUACAUAUUCAUAUAUUUUACCGAAACCAUAUAUAAUUAAAUUUUGUGUAAUUAAGUAAAAUAUAUUAUUCAAGUGAAUUUAUGAGAAUAUUUAAAAUUGUAGGGGUCGUCACUGAAAUUUGCCAAACUUGAGCCAACCGUGCAUGAUCCAAACAGUUUAUUUUAAUAAUUCUCAAUAUGUUAGUCUGUUUGACUGUUGGCAAAAUAAAUUCCUAUCAGCAAUGCAACACAAUUCAAAAUCAUAUCUGCAUACAACGAACAAUAUCUCAUGAAAGAUCAAAUUAUACAUUUUUUACACCAAACCAUAAAUAUCUAAAUUGUCCCUCUUCAACUCACCAAGCUCAUACCUAACAACAGCAAGAUUAAAUGUCAUUUGAUCCAUCUUUUUUAUUAAGCUUUAUCAAUUCUUCUCAUGGUUGCAAUUUUGAAAGCUCGCUUCGCUAUUUCCAUUUGCUUUUAUGCUUUGUUUGAGCUCCAUCUUUUCUCUCCAUCUACAUUUUACACUGUAAAAAAAAUUUUAAAAAAAUUACAAAGCUUCUUAUGCUAGAAUAUGAGCAACAAUAUAAAUAAUAAACAAUAAAGUUAUGAUAGCACAGCAUGCUCAUUAAAGUGCUUCUUUUUUUUUUUUUUCAACAAGAAAUUACUACUGAAUUAAAGAUUUGGCUUUGCAUUAAGGUUUGCCUUCAAUAACUCAACUCCCCACUUGGGUUUUGUCGUUUUCUUAAAAUCUCUGCUCAAUCAAUUUAAAGAUCCUUUUUUUUUUCUUUCCAAAGAUCUAAAAGCAAUGUCUUUUAUUGGUACCCAACAAAAAUGCAAGGUCUGUGAGAAGACAGUUUGUCCAGUUGAGCAGUUAUCUACUGAUGGGGUUGUUUAUCACAAGUCUUGCUUCAAGUGCUCUCACUGCACUGCAAAGGCACACUCAAGCUAAGCAAUUACUCAUCCCUGGAAGGUGUUCUUUACUGUAAGCCUCACUUUGAGCAGCUUUUGAAGGAGUCGAGUAACUUCAACAAGAAUUUCCAAUUACCUGCAAAGUCAGCUGAGAAGUUAACUCCUGAGCUGAAAAGGUCGCCUAGCAAAGUUGACAGCAUGUUCUCUGGGCCCAAUAAAAAUGUGCUUCUUGCAGUAAAACAGUGUGUCCGUGGGAGAAGGUAGCAGCGGAAAACCAAGCCUCUCACAAGACAUGUUUCAAGUGCUCACAUGGUGGUAAUUCCAUUAGCCCGUCAAAUUACGCAGCCCUAGAAGGCAUCUUGUAUUGCAAACAUAAUUUCUCCCAAUUGUUCAAGGAAAAAGGCAGCUACAACCACCUUCUAUCAAAUCUGCUUCCAUGAAGCGUGCUGCAGUCUCUGUUCAAGAAGCUUGAACAUGUUAUGUUAUCUUCCAUAAAUCUUAUUUGGCGUGGGUUUUCUCUGGCUUGAGGGUGUGCUUUCUAUUUUGAUCCCUCUUGUUGUUUUUGCGGGGAACUACCAAACCUUCGGUUCCCUCUGCUUCUUUGGAUCAUCUUUGUUGGGACAAAUUUCAUGUAAUUAGAGAUACUGAUUUAUGGGAGGCAUAAUCCCAUGGUUGUAAAUUGACCAUUUUCUGGCAAUGUUCUUUUUAAAAAGAGAUGAGCAGUUGUUUAACAAAAAAAAUAGCUGGCCUUCAUCAUGGUAUGUUACCAAACUGCUAUGUAUAGCUGCUAACUAUGAGCAUCCGAAAAUAUGGUGCAUCGUGAUUCAUGUCGUGCAAUAUGGCUACCAACGCAUCCUAAAUGGAGUAUUACUCAGUUAGUCAGCAAAAUAAGACAACAGUAAGAUAUUAAAAAAAUAAAAACUACAUUAAUAAGUGGGCAAGAUCAUGCCAGUUUAACUUUUCGCGCGUCGCUGCUGGAGAUAAUCAAAUCGGGGCAGAGAAAAGGAGAAUGGAAUCAGAGGCUAAGAUUAAUAAGUGGGCUUCUGCUUGCUUUGCCCCUCUUUCUUAAACGAUUGGUAGACUGCUGCUUCCACCGAUUAACCGGGUCUUCAACCACUGCUUUUAUUGCCUGCCAUCUUGUUGUUUGUCGAAGGGAUGAAUUCGAGUCGAAAAGAGAAAGCGCGCUGAAAAAGACAAAUCACUAGUGGUUAACUACUGACUCAGCCAAGUGUUGGCUUCACUUGAUUCACCGAUUGAGGUUAUUUUGUCUUCUAUCUAAUGCAGCGAAGAAGCUUUACUGCUUAACAUGCUGCAAUGCAACUUUAUCUUUUGAAGUUCACACUUCAGGGCUGCGCACUUUAUGUAAUCCUAUGAGUAAAAAGAAUUUAUUUUCAAAUGUGAAAAAAGAAAAUGUAAGGUAGUAACUAAAUAUAUUAUAGCAUCAAAGUAAGAUUUGAUAUGAAUUUAGUACAACAAAGAACAUUAAAUCUGUGAUUCCUUGUCUAAUGUCACCAUCGAGCAACAAAUUUAAAAGCCUACCUAUCAAAUACACGAGGCAAUAAACGGAGAAAAAGUUGAAUUACAAGAACAAGUUUACAAUUCUUGUCAAUGGUUAAUGAUUCGUGAAUUGAGAUAGCAUUCAAGAAUCCAAUUUCAAUACAACAACGUAAAAGAUAAACAGAUGAUGAAUUUUAUGAGAUAAAGAAGGAGAUUGUGUUUUAUCGUAUCUCUAUUUUCUUUCCAUUUAAAUUUAAAAUAAGCUUUUCAACCGGUUAUAAUAUUUUUUGAAAUAAUUAAAUAUUUUUAUUAUUAAAAAUAAUGUGUACCGUUGAUUACAUCUAACGCUACAUAUUUCUUACACUAUUAAUACCGUAAAAAAAAUCAUAGAGGGACCCUUAAAACAUUUUCAUUUGAAAUUAUUUGGUGAAGUGAAAAAGUUAAGAAAGAAAUAGUUGUCCCUUUGGUCAUUUCACAAAAAUGAAAGCCCCAUAUAACAUGGACUUGAAUGGAAGCCCAAUUGUUGUGUUUGAUUUCAAGCUUUAUCGGACCUUUGGACCUGGAUACUUUACUGCGGCCUCUAAGCGCUACAAAUUUUUUUUUUGGGAUAAAAGGCGCUUCAAUGAAAAAGCACUUUAAAACUUUGGAUUUUGCCAAAACUUCAAAGCGGUUGGUCCAGUUACGGUGUUAUGCUAACGGGUUUAAAGGUUCCGAUCCAAUGAGUUAGGGUGGAAUAUGAAUAUAUAAAUCCUAGUCAUGUAAGGACUAGGAUUUGUUUGUUCAUAUCAAGAAAAAAAAUCUGAAAAUUUGAUGAUCAGAAGAUAAAAACACUUAAACACGUUUAUUACAGAGAAACAAACGACAACAUGAUGCUAGUAGUAAUUUUAUUUUUCUUUUAUUGUGUAACGUGGACCAAAAAAAAGGAAAUGAAUUUAAUAAAACCGUCAUUCCGCAAUAAUAAUGUACCAGCCUGGUUUUUAUAAUCCAUACCAUCCUGAUAUAAUUAAACACCAUUAAUAAUGUACCAGCCUUUAAAUAGUAAUUAAUUUAUUUAUCUAAUUCACCAAAUGUCAUUUCCGGUACAUAUCUCCUGGUAUCAAGAAGAGGCAGAACCCAAAGAAACGUUUCUUGUAUCUUCAUAUUUGUGCGAAUUCAUCCUUUCAUUGAGAAUAACCAUUUCCAGGCGGCAGUUGGCAAUCAAUUCAUGCGCAAGUCGAUGCUAUUCAUAGAUAUUAAAGACAAUGAUGAACCAAAGGUGAUAAAUCAUAAAUGCAUAAUUACCAAACCUCCAUCCUUCUCUCAUUAUGAUUUGAUUUUAAAUGAAUUAUUGCUUGGUAACAUUAUUUCCAACCAUUGCAAGAUUAUUAUUAUUUUUUUUUGGGGAGAAAUUUCAAUUGAAAGUGAAACCUUUAGACAUUUACCUAAUGAAGUUAGUUAAUGGGGAGGGUUGGAAAAAUUCCCAAGCCGUUGCACAGCAAUUACGAUCAUCCUCGGCCUCAGGUAAUUUCUUCUCCUGCAUUUUUGUUAUUUGCUAUCAAGUGACAUUCGUAAGUAUGAUUGUAUUAAGCUGCUGCUGGGAAAUAUAAGGUUUUGAUGGCUGCCCAUGCUAUUGUCAGAAGCUGCGGUUCUUUUCAUCAGCCUGAACCUGGACCUGUCGCCAUGGAUAACUGAGGUUUUUUUUUUUUUAAAUCAACUACGUCAUCUUUUCCACUGUUUUGAAACUCUUAAGAUUAAACUUUAGUAAAGUUGUUUUAGUUAUCCAUGUAAUCAGGCUGAGGAUACUUAGCUGCCUAUUUAGGCAAAUGUCAGACUUUAGUUUGUUCGCUGGGAACUGGUGUGGUGACAGCGUCCUGGCAAAGGAUGAUGAGAUAGUUUUUUGAUUGAGUAAAUUUUGGGGGCUUGAGUAUAUUGGGAUUUGCAAUUACAAUUAUCCUCUGCCUCAGGUGAUUUCUUCUCCUGCCCUGUCGUUGUUUGUUCUCUAAUUCAAAAUUAUAAAAUAUUUCAUCAAAUUUUAUGCCGGGAAUAUGCAAAAGUUUCUAAUAUUUUAUUUCCAUCUGUUUGUCUUGAUAACUUUGCAGCAUAUGUACUAGUUAAAGAACAAAUCGAAACAGAGUUCAGUUAAAAGUUUCUUCUGCCGUCAUAUUUGAAAAAUGAACCCAUUUCCAGGAAGCAAUGGGCAGCAAAUUCAUAUAAAGCGUAGACAAUGAUGAGCAAACAGGUGAUUCACAUUAAUGAAAUUAAUUGUUUGGUUGGAGCGGACAUUGUUAGAAGGCUAUUGAGCUAACCUAUGUCACUACUUGCCUAGAUUACAGGGGGUCAAAACUCAAAAGCGGCAUUGAAUUUUAAAAGGCAUCCAAUAAUUCUUGUGGCCAUAUAUCAAUUCAUGUAUGUUUGAAUGUAAUUAUUGGUGAAGGGGUUUCACUUCCCGUCUCUAAAUAAAAAUACUGAUUCUUUAAGGUACCUGCCACUAGGGAUUGCGAGAUUAAUGAGUCUUUGGACAUUGGAAGAGCUCCUUGUGAGUGGAGGAGGAGGUGUUGAUGGUAGCAAAGCAUGUGGGCAGUGGGCUUGAAUCUCUAAAAAACUUGGAACUCCUCCAAGCGUAAGUAUACGUAUACUGGGAAAUUUGUUAGAUGUGGAUGAGGCUAAGAGAUUAGAGCUUGACAAAAUGAAAUACCUCUUUCAUUGAGACUUAAAUUUGAUGGGGAAGAAGAAAAAGAAGAGGGAAGGAGGAAGAAUGAGGAUAAUCAACUUGUUCUUGAAGCCUUGCAACCACCUCUGAAUUUGAAGGAAUUAGAGAUUUGGUCAUACAGAGGCAACAUUGUUUCCCCCCGGAUGAUGCAAAAAUUGAAGGAAUUUACCAAUCUAAGGAGUUUGACACUCUUUAAAACUGCAAAAAUUGAGAGCAGUUGCCUCCUUUGGGAAAAUUGUGAUCCUUUGAAAAUCUCAGCAUAUUGUACAUGGAGAGUGUGAAAACAGUGGGUAAUGAAUUUCUGGGAAUAGAAAGUCAUCUUCAUGACUCAUCUCCAUCUUUAUCAGUUAUUAUUGCCUUCCCCAAAUUGAAAUCACUUUCAGUUGAGGGAUUGAUGGAAUUGGAGGAGUGGGAUUAUGGGAUUAAAAGAACAGGAAACACCUUCACCAACAUUAUGCCACGUCUUUCUUCCUUGGAAAUUAGUGUGGGGUUAUGGGAUCGCACAACCACGUUGAAGGUAUUGCAGAUUGUGGCAUGUGGUACUCUAAGAAGACGUUGCAGACAGGGGAGAGCAGAAGACUGGCCUAAGUUCUCUCACAUUCUAGACAUCAUGAUUGUGUGAAAAGAGGCCCUUGACAAAAUUCUCUAGGCGGCUACAUGGAGUACAAUCAUAAAAUGCUAAUGUGGCCACCCUGGUUCUUAAUUAAGGUUGUGAAAUAUUAUUGUAAAAGAUGAUUAAUUCAAUUUGAGUCAUUCGUUUGCUUUGAUAAUGAUAGUAAUUUUAUAUUUUGACAAUUUGCAAGGUGAGAAUGGUGCUGAUUGGUGAUACAGGAUACGGUUCAAACACCAUUGAAUAAAGCUACGGACAUGGUGGCUCAACUUAGCUAUUGCUGUCAAAAUUGGUAAGUUGGCUUGUCAAUGUAUUGAUGCUUUUGUUUUCUCUCAACCCUAAUUACCUUACCUUCAUUUAGUUUGGCUUUGGAGUUGAGUAAUAACUUUCAAGGUUCUCAAACAGAGCAGGACAACCGAAAAAAAAAGCUUAAUUUGCUACUGAUCACGUGUUACCAAUUAUUAAGGUAAUUCUCGUUUACUUGCUUCUACACUAUAGAGUACGUGUUCUGGCUGGUUUAUCUAAUUCAUCAAAUGUUAUUUCCUUAUUGUUCCAUUGAUAUAUUUGUUAGAAAGUGAAACCAUUUCCAGGCAGCAGUUGGCAGUGAAUUCAUGCAAAUGUUGAUGCCAUUCAUAGAUAUUGAAGACAAUGAUGAGCCAAAGGUGAUAAAUCAUUAAUGCAUAGUUACCAAAACCUCCAUCCUUCUCUCAUUGUAAUUUGAUUUGAAAUGAAUAAUUUCUAGGUAAUUGAAGCCAAUAUUGUUAGAAACGGUGUUGAGCUACCCAAGCUAAGAAGUUGGCUGCCAAAAAAUGCAGGGGAUCAAAAGAAGCAUUGCAUUUGAAAAGGAAUGAGAUUCUGGUUGCUACAUGUCAAUUCGUAGAAGUUUCAAUAAAUUUAAUGGUUCAAGAUUUUAGUUUCUGUUUAAAUUUGUGCUACUGCAGUGCUGCAGUGCUGCUACUGGGAAAUUUAAAUCCCAUAUUAGACUUUCCUCACAUAAGAAGCUGUGGAUCUUCGGACAUCAGGUUUUUUCACAGUUCUGAAACUCUCAGGAUUAAACUCUAUUAAAGUUGUUGUAGUUGUCUACGUUCUCAGGUCAAGGAUUCUAAGCUGCCGAUUAAGGCAAAAUGUCAGAAUUCCCCUAUUAUUUUUUUUUUCAUGUAAAAUUAUGUUGUUGUCUUCGCCCAUGAAUCUUAGCUAAAUUCUGAACCAAUUGUUUGCUAUUAUAAAUUUCAUUGUUAAAUAUUAAUUGUGAUGUUGGUGUUGAGUUUCUUUUAAAGUCAGAGAAGCCUGACGAUUGAGUUCCAUGGGAUUCUGAGAAGCAGUAAUAUUUUGAACAAGUGAAGGUUCUUCGUUUUUACAGUAUGUGCAGAUGUCUAAGAGGCAGGAUUUUUAUUUCUGUAAUGCUAAAUUUCGCAAAACAAUAAAAAUAAAUAAAUGCAUGACAGUGACUUCAAGAAUUUAGAUUAUUGAAUUUGGUCAUUUUAAAAUUGUUGGAAUGUUGAACUUAAGUAAUUUUUAUAAACCAGAGCUCAGAAAUGUAGAAUAUAAAUAUUGGAGAUUUGGACUUCAAUCAUUAGACUUGAAGCUAAAGAGGUAAGCCAUUAAUUAUAUCAAAGGAUUUGGAAAAUGGAGGGAUUGGAAAAAGGAAACAUUUUCAUAAACUUCAAGAGGAACGUCACAGAAAGGGGUAAAGAGAAGAGUAGCCUAAGAUAUUAAAGACAAUGUUGAGCCAAAGGAAACAUAAAUCCCAACCAUUGCAUGUGAACAUGAUCACAAUAAGGUCAAAAACCAUUUUUUUGAGAAUUUUCAAUUGAAAGUGAAACCUUUUGACAUUUACCUAGUAAAGUUAGUUAAACGAGAGAAAUAAAGGGGAAAAGAAAAGUUGACUCAAGUCAAUACAGAAUAAUUAGUUCAAUCUGGAGUAACUAAAACAGAGCCACUAUAUUUUCAAAAAUAUCUGCAUUCAUCACCUUCUCCUCCAGCUAGUGAGCUACACACGAAUCCUUUCCUUUUAGCAUUUUUGCAGCAUCAAUUUCUCCCCUCGUUUGUCAUCAAUUUCUCCCUUCGUUUCACCAAUACCAUGGCUGAUGCAAUCGUUUCCCCUCUCUUGGAGCAGCUGAUUAUCUUUGCUGCUGAAGAGUUGAAACAACAGGGGAAGCUGGUGAGUGUUGGAUGAGUGGAUCACAGCAUGCGCCAAAUCGCAAAAUAGAUCAAUGCUCUUGGUGCUCCUUAUCUGAAGAAGAAGGUGCAAAUUGGGAGCUGCAUUUCACUGUCAUAACAUUUAUUGUAAUUUCAUUUGGAGAUAUGUAAUAUCUGUUGUCCAGAUACAUAUCAUACACCAGUUGCUAUGUAAUUUCGUUUAGGUUCAUUUUUGUUUCUUAAGAGUUUGUAAAAAGAAUGGAAAGAUUUUAAAAUAUAAAUUUCAUAUCUGUUUAUUACUGUUGUUUGGUCUAAUUUCUUAUGUAGAAUUUUCAGAAUCUGUAGGACAUUAGUUUAUAAUUUUGAGAUUUUGCAGCCAUAAAAAAAAUUUUUUUUUUUUGCCAUUUUAUUUUGCUCCUUUAUCUAUGUGCAUGUUGACUGGCUGCAGUGAGUGAAAAUUUACCUAUAUAUGCUGGCUAUUCUUGGACAAUAUUAGAGAAAAUAAUCAUAUUAUUUCGCGUGAUGUGAACUUCCAUAACUUAUCAAUUGAAUUGCUGUAAAAUAUUAAAUAGUUUUAUUUUUCUUUUAUCGUGUAACUUGGACCAAAAAAGGAAAUGAGUUUAACACGACCCUCAAUAUAACCUCCAUUUCAGCACAAUACAUGUUAAUUGUUCCCCAAGGACUUCUCCUGUUUCCCAUUCCCACCUCCAUGCUCUCGAGAGGAAUUUAGCACCCAUCAAUUUUUAUUUUUGAAAACUCGUAAUGGUCUGAUAAAAUUAAACAACAUCAAUAAUGUUACCAGUCUUUAAAUAGUAAUUAAUUUAUUUAAUUUGCCACCUAAAAGAAUCCUGCUGGAAAUAGAGGUUAAAAAUUUUAUUAGAUCUGCUUACCUUUGUUCAUUCAGCAAAAACACUUACAAUUCACAGCUAGAGAAUCUAUCCAUUGACAAUUGUGGAUUAAAAUUAUAACACCUGAAUUCAAACAUAUCCUUAUGAAGUUAUGAAUUUGUUCAUACUUCAAAUGAUUUUUUUUUCCAAGCUAAUAAAGCAACCACUUUGAUCAAACGACGACGUUGAAGGAAUUACGUAUUUUCAAUGUCCUUUUCCAGACAGAUGUUGGAGAGAGGGAAAGGAGAAGACUGGCCUAAUUAAGAUAUCUCACAAAGAUUAUUGAGUUAAAAUGUUAUUGUAAAAGAUGUUUAAUACAAUAAUAGUAAUUCUUUUGCAUUGUUAUAAUGAGGCUGGUGGGUUUCCUCAGAGGAUGGAUAUGGCUCGCUAGCAUGCAUUUGGGAAGAUGCUAAUUAUCGGCCAUAAAAAGUCAGGGGGUUGUGGCUCUUCCGUCGCCCAGAAAUUCCUAAACUCAUAUAUCAAACUUCAGAUGAACUUGGGCAUUAUGUAAAUAUGUAUUUUUGAGAAUUAAACUAGUGCGUUCGAAAAAUUUUGAGCCAUUGUAAUCAUUUUAUUUUGCUAAGAGAAAAUUUUACUUUGUUUCGCUUUGCCUUUUGUUUUUUCUGUGAUAAUAUGAUUCAUACGAAUGUGAUUACACACUAUCAUGCAUCUAUUUUCAUUUGCUUGUCAUGAAUGGUCAACAUGCUCGAAAUAUUUACUUAGGUUGGAAAUAUUUGAAUCCACUAAAAUACUAUACAAACCCAUUUUAAAAUUAAAAAAAUGAUUAUCAUAAUACUCGUGAAGAUAACACGAUAUCAUACAUAAAAUAAAAUAUUUCGCAAAAAAGAUAAGAUACAAAUCUUGAGUAAAUAGGUACAAAAAAUAUUUUAGUGGGUUAAGUAGCACUAAUGCCCCCUUAUCAAAAAAUAAAUAAAAAUAACUAGUCUGAUUGGGUAUACCGUUUAUAUAUAUGUACAUAUUCUUGAUAAUGUGUAAUGUACAUUAUAGACAAAGAUUUUGAAAGCAAUAUUUUUUAAAAAGUCGAGAGAAUAGGAAAAGUCUAAAUCAAUUUUCUAAUCUCUACCUCCUUUAUGAUUUAAACUUUAGUGUUUAGUGUCGCGAGCCACUCAAAUUUUCUAAUCAAAGAGACUAAAUUGCACGAAAUUGUGCUAGCUUAUUUGAUUCUAGAAAUUUCUACUACACUGUAACACACUCUCACGUAGGGAUGGCAAUGGGGAGGGGAGGGGAGGGGACCAAUCUCCCCAUAUCCAUCCCCGAUAUUUUACAUAUGUCCCCGUCCCCGUCAGAAUUGCUUGAGAGAAUCCCCAUCCCCUCCUCGAAUAAUAACAGGGGAUCCCCGAGGGUCCCCGGUCCCCGAAUAACUAAUAAUCUAAUACAUUUUUUUAUUUUCGAUUUUAAAUUAAUCAUAUUAAAAUAAACUCAUACCGCUAUUGUAAGCUCGUAACCAAUUUUGACAGCACAUUAAGGCCUCCAAUGUGCUUGGAUGAAGUCUGUUAUGGUAUGGGCUCACAACUCUACCACUAGUGUUAAAAGCUGAUUCAGAAGCAACUGUUGUAAUUGGAAUUGCCAAAAUAUCUCUAGCAAUUCGAGCUAAUGUAGGAUACCUAUUAGCAUUUGUCUUCCACCAACUCAAAAUAUUAAAAUCUUCCAUCCGAGGUAUAACUUUCUCAUCCAAAUAUGAAUCUAAUUCAUCUGCAACAACUGCACAAUCUCCAUUGUUUACAUAAUCAUCAAAACCUAUCAUCCAUUUGGUUGCUUUCUUAUAAGAAUCCCCUGUAGAUCUAGUAGAAGAACUACUACCAGUAUAAUCAAAGCAAUAAACAGUUGGUGAAAACUUCAAUUAAUACUCUUCAACUAAUUCCCGGCAAAGGAUGACCACUUUCCCAACAUACAACUAUUUUGAUAUUUAUUAUUUUUAACAAUAUUUAUAAUUUUGUUAUUUAUUUAUUAGUAAUUUUAAAAAUAAAAAUAAAAUUAAAAAUUAAAAUGGGGAAAUGGGUAGGGGAUGGGGAUUCCACCUCAUCCCCGUCCCCUCCCCGAAUAAAAAAUUGGGUAAAAAAUUUUCCCCGUCCCCUCCCCGAAAAAAAAAUUGGGUAUAAAAUUAUCCCCGUACCCUCCCCGAAUGGGGAAAAUCCCCGAGGGUAUCCGUCCCCGUGGGGAUUUUUGCCAUCCCUACUCUCACGCUUGUACAUACCUCGAAAUUCUCUAGAAUUUACUAGAGUAGUGUUGCAUGUAGCUUGUACAUAGGUUUUUCUGGAACACUCCAGGCAUUACUAAGCAUGAGAGCCUUGAGAACUCUCUAGCCAUAAAACAUUCUAGGGUAAGCCUACCCUAAAAAUAGGGCAUGAUGCUUGCCACUUGAGCAUACAACAAGUAAGAACAAAUCAAGCAUACUUGUGAGCUCUCAAACUCUCUUAUACACACUUUUAUGAAUAAUAUAUUCUCUCUUUGGCUAUAUUGCUCUCUCUUCUCUCUAGUUUUUUUCGCAAGCAUCAAACCUUAGUUAGUCGAAAAAUUCAAGGCUUACUUUAUAGCUAUCUCGUAAAAGUUGUUUAAGUACCAUAGAGAUUUGCUGUGCAAAAUACUCAUCACAUGACAUUAGCUAAAUAAAAUUGUUUGAAAGCCACUUACCCAAACUAUUAAACGAAUAUUGACUUUUGUCUUAAUUUUCUAUCUCCUACGAUAAAUUUUAUAGUUAAAAAUUGAAAAAAAUUAAUAACUAUUAGAUAGAGCAUUCUUUAUUGUUAAAAGAAAUCUAUAUAGAUAGAUAGAUGGUAAUAUAAAAACUUACUUAUUGUAGUAUAAUGUUUUUAGUUUUUUGAAACACAGAUUCUCACUUUUUAAAGAUAAAAUUCAAAGAAAACAAGUUAAAUGUUGUAGAAAAUCUUCCAGCCAUACAAGAAAUUGUGAUGGCUAAAUGCAAACCUAACUAAAGUAUUAGUUGUUUUAUUACAAUCUCCAAAAAGAUGAGCAAUUCCAAAAUCUUUUUUUGUGACAAUAAACACUACACGUCAGUAAUUAUCCAGGUCAAAAGCAAGCUACUCUAUUAAAAAAAAAAAAAACUUGCAGUGAAUUCGAAGAUAAACCAAUUUUACUAGCAAGUUGGAUACAAAAGAGUAGGGCUUCGGCCUCAAUUACUCAGUGUACCAACAACUCAAUCUCGGUGAGUUAAAAUCAACUUCCAUCAGUCUUUUAUUUGUUGAUAGAUCGAUUAAGGUACCAAAAAGAAUAAUUAAAGAUGUAUUAGUUCAAGUUAAUAAAUUCAUAUAUCUUGUGGAUUUUAUUAUUUUGGAAACUGAACCAAUUGCUAAUGAAUGCAAACAAAUUCCUGUUACAUUGGGUCGUCCAUUUUUAACUACUGCUAAUACAUUGAUUAAUUGCUGGAAUGGAGUAAUGAAUUUAUCUUUCGGCAACAUGACAUUGGAACUUGAUGUGUUCAACAUAUGUAAACAACCUCACCACCAGGAAGAUGAUGAUAAUGAGAAUUAGGAGAUUGAUUUCAUCGAGCCAAUCAUUGAGGAACACAUUCAGAAUAAGAAUUUUACAAAUUCUGUGGAAAUUUAUUCUUCUUGUUCUUUUGAAUCGAGUAAAGAAUUAAAUUAUGAUACUGCUAACAUAUAACCUACAAUUGAUUCUAUGCAGGUACAUGCUGACAAUGGCCAAUCAAACUUUAAAGAUACAGAACAACCUGAAGAACCAAACGAAGAGCAAGUACCAGAGCUCAAAUUAAAGCCCUUACUGGAAGAAUUGAAGUAUGUCUAUCUUGGAGAACAACAGAUUUAUCCUGUGGUAAUUUUUUUCCCAACUCACGCUUGAUCAAGAAGGUAAGUUGUUGUCUGUACUAAAAAGGCAUAAAACUGCAUUUGGCUGGACUUUAAAAGACAUAAAAAACAAUAAUUCUUUAAUCUGCACACACCGAAUACACUUAGAGGAAAAUACCAAAACAACCCAUCAACAUCGACAUUAUAUGUGUAAACAUUAAAUACCAAAAUCAACCCCAAAAACUAUAAAUAAAAUAUCAUGAUUAAAAUGAAGUUUUUUUUUAGAUAUUCGUUGUAGUAUCUCUUUAGAUCGCAAACAAGAGAUAAAAUAAAUAAAUAUUUGCUAUGUAAAUAAAAAUAAAUAAUUUUUUUUAACUGAAAAAUAUUCUCAAAAACUAAAUAGUUCAAACUUUUUUUAACAUCAUGUGUUUCUAGGGUUGGGCAUUCAGUUCGGUUUUUACCGAACCGAACAACUAAAUUAAAUCGAAAUUACCUGUUCGGUUCAAUUGAAUAGACAAAAACCGAAGAGUUUAUAUUUUCAUGAACUGAAUGAUUUGUGUUUCAGUUGAGUUCGGUUCGAUUCUGGACCUGAACCGAACCGAACCGAUCCGUGAAUCGUAAACUGCCCACCCUUACGUAGUAGUUUCCGUUAACCGACGUUGUAUUGCUCGUAUAAAAUUGUUCAAAUGUUCAAAUCACAGUCUCCCGCUCUCAGCUCAGUCAGAGUUUCCAGGUCCAGAGACUUCCCGCUGACUGAGAACUUUUUCGUAGCAGGUCUACAAAUAAUGGAGUAGAGCUGAUUUUAUGAUUAAUUUAUUUCCUUUUUCAAUUUCUCUUGAUUGCGAUUUAAUCUGGAAAGUUAAACGUGAAUUGUUUAGUGCGGAUUAAAUGUUCGACGAAUUUCCCACAAGAGUAUUAAGUUCAAGAGAAAAAAAGAAAACAAUUGAGCGUGAGCGUGAGCGAGAAUGGUGUUUGGGCAAGUGGUGAUUGGUCCGCCCGGCUCGGGAAAGACCACUUACUGCAAUGGCAUGUCUCAGUUUCUCAGCCUUGUUGGCAGGUAACUUCGUUUCUUGAUUUCAAGCAGCUUUAUCUUCGAUGACCAAAAAUAUUGAUUUGGGCUUUGCCAUUAAAUGAAUGUAAGAGCAGUAGGGAAUAACUGAGUUAUAGGAUUAGCUUUAAGUGAACAUUGAUGGUAAUGUGAAGGUUGUAUGUGUUCAGUGGCAAGCUGUAUGCCAAUUUGGUCUAUAUGGUUGCUUAGGUAGUAACUUAUUAAUUUUUAGGCAGGAAGGUUGCAGUCAUCAAUUUAGUUCCUGCUAAUGAUAGUUUGCCGCAUCCUUUGUCAUUGAACUUUCUUACAAAUGCUGUGGUUUGUUGUAGUAUAAUUAGUUCAAUUGGAAAUUUCCUUGAUGUUAAUAUAGAAAUGAGUGUGCUGUGAAUAUUGAGGACCUCAUUAGACUAAGUGAUGUGAUGAUGGAGUAUUCACUUGGUCCCAAUGGAGGUUAGUCAGCCUAUUGUUGUUUACUCUUUCUUGCUUUAUCACGCAAUGAUAUUCCUUUGCUUUACAACAAAUUUCAUGAAAUUAACUUCAAUCAAGUGGCAAUGUUCAUACGCUGUUGAGAUUUUAUGGACAAUGAUUUGGUAGAAUUUAUAUGCCGUCUUCUUUCUUUUUGCAGUGAUAUGCUUGUAUUCAAUGAGCUUGUACUUAUUCUAUGGUUUCUAAAGUAGGUGUUUUUAUGAUAAACUAGGUCUUGUGUAUUGUAUGGACUAUCUAGAGAAGAAUAUUGACUGGCUGCAGUCGAAAUUGGAACUACUUUUGAAAGGUAAGUAGAGGCCAUUUUCCUUCAUUCUAAUGCCAAUAAUGCUGUCAUGAGACUCAUAAAAAUUGUUAAAACGUUAAUGUUUUUGGUAUUUUGCAGAUCGUUAUCUUCUGUUUGAUUUUCCUGGCCAAGUUGAAUUAUUUUUUCUUCAUUCCAAUGCCAAGACUGUUAUAAUGAGACUCAUAAAUAAGUUAAAUCUCAGGGUAUUGUUACAUCUUACAUCUAUGAAGGGACUCAAAGAGUUGAGAUGAAUUCAUCUUUGUUAUUUUGAUGCCAGAAUUGUGCAAUUCUCAGUUUGUUCCUUUCACAUGCAGUUGACUGCAGUGCAUCUAGUUGAUGUGCAUCUUUGCAGUGACCCCAGGAAGUAUGUUAGUGCUUUGCUUCUCUCAUUGUCUACGAUGCUACAUCUGGAACUUCCCCAUGUCAAUGUCUUGUCUAAUCGAUCUGAUUGAGAAUCAUGGAAAGCUAGGUGUGGUUUUAAGUGUAGCUCUCCUGCUUGUUUGUUUAGUUUGAAAUAUCAGAUAUUGUCACAAGAUCCUAUUUGCUACAUUUCCUCACCAAUCAAUUAUUUUGGGUCUGUUGCAGCUUUUAAUCUCGAGUACUAUACAGAUGUGCAAGAUUUGUCAUAUUUACAGCAUGCUCUCGGUCAGGACCCUCGUUCUGCUAAGUACAGGUUUGAAUUCUAGCUGAAUCAAUGAUGCAAAUUAUGUCCAUUGUUAUUUCUGCUGUUGUUUCUAUCAUUUUCAAUUGUUACUUCCCCUUUCCAUCUACUACCACACUACAAUACCCACACAAAUGUUGUGAAAUUUGUCAAUGGAAAAAAAACAGUUCCUCUUUUAUUUUGAUCAGACUCAAUGAAUAAGUGGUUAAAAUGUGCCUGUCCUAGAAAUAUAGAUGUGUGGUUUCGUAAAAUUUUCUUGAUCUUAAGAAAGAGUUAUCUCGAAAAGAAGAUAACAUGGAGAAUUCAACAACUAUACAGUCAUAUUGAUGUCUGUCAACUUGGGUCAUAUGGUGUCGUUUGGAUGGAGAUGUUAGGUCCCAGAUGGUAAACUUGUUAUCGAAUUCCAGUCUACUUCAUUCAUGCUUUGAUGACAUAUACGGUGCAGCUUCUUAUCUAAGACCUGCAUAUGUUCAAUCAUCAUUCUGUUCUGUAUUUGGCUGCCAUUCUUUUCAAUGAAUUCAAACCACUUCUGAAUACUUGCAAAUUCAUCCAGUGUUGUCAUUGAGAUGCCAAUAUGAAAGGAAGCCAUAAUUGCCCUUGAUAGUAUGCUUAUUGAUUGCCUCUUGCCUCACUCAGCCUCAUGAAUCUGCUUGUAUGGUGUUCUUGUAAUUUCAUUUGGAGAUUAGUAAUAUCUGUUGUUCAAAUGUAUUUUAUAUACCAGCAGUUAAUAAUUCUGCUUGCAGAAAGCUUACAAAGGAGCUGUGUGAUGUAAUUUUUCAACCUUAGAUAUCCAGGUCAUCAGUUUCUCUUGAAUUCUUUCUUGAAUUUCUUUGAAUUAUUUGUGAAUAAGAUCUUAGUUGGCUGCUUCUCUUCAGGAUAAGGAAAGUGUGGCAAAACUCGUGAAGCUGAUAUAUAAAAGCAAUGGGUACAUCUUUGCUGGCAUGGAUGCCAGUGCAGUUGAAUUCAGCAAGAUUGCCGUUCGCGAUGUUGAUUGGGAUUAUUUCGGAUAUCCUUCUUUUCACCUAUUUUCAAUGUUGUUAUUCUCAUAUUCAUAAAAUUUUUUGGUUAUUUAAUUAUGGUUCAUCAUAUGCAUCUGCAUCUUCUAACUUGUUCGUUUGAGAAACUAAUUUUGCCGUUAGGUAGGCUUCGAGCUUGAUGAGUUGAUUCAUGCUUUUUUCAUAAAUGUACCAAAAUCAUGGAAACUUCUUUUUCCCAGAUAUUGUAUCCACACUUUUUCCAUGUAAUUGGGUCAGACAAGUUUUGCUUAACAAAGAUAUCUACAGUAGCCGAAGUGCAGGAGAAGUACAUUAAGGAUGAUGAUGAUGUUAACUAAAAUGAGACGUGAAGAUAUGUGGUGUGCGAACCGUAAGCCUGCCUCUUAAUUUUGUGCAUGUUUACUUGCUUGUGAUUCACGUUUGUUAAUCUAUUUUGCUCUCUUGCAGGAGUUAUAAAGUUUUCAAUCAAUCAAACAUUUAACUUAAGUCCUUACCUCUUGCUGCAAAGACAAUGGGAAGUCUCAUGAGCUCUAAAAAAACUGAAGAAGAGUGGAAAAUAAUUUUAAAUAGUGAUUUAUGGAAGGUAAAAGAGAUCGAGAAAGGUGUUCUAACCCCUUUGUGGUUGAGUUAUAAUGAUUUGCCGUCCAGAGGAAAAAGAUGUUUCUCGUAUUGUGCUGUCUUUCCAAAAGACUACAAUAUAAAAAAAGACAAAUUAAUUACUUUGUGGAUGGCUCAAGGUUAUCUUAGUGCAGAAGCAGCAGAACAAGAUGAGGAGUUGGAGACUAUAGGUGAAGAGUAUUUUGGCAUCUUAGCUUCUCGCUCUUUCUUUCAAGAGUUUCAGAAACGUUAUGAUAAUCGUAUUAUAGCGUGCAAGAUGCAUGAUAUGGUACAUGAUUUUGCCCAAUUUGUUAGUCAAAAUGAAUGUUUUUCGUUGGAAGUUAAUGGUAGUGAGGAACUAACCGUCACAAACUCUACAAACUCUCUUGAUGAGAAGGUCCGUCAUUUAAUGUUAAUCUUUAGUAAAGGGACUUCAUUACCUGUUUCCACUCGUAGAGUUAAAAGAAUGCGUACCCUCUUAAUUAACGAUAGUAGAUCUGAUCAUUCAUUAUUAAAUGGUGAGAUCCUAGAAGAAUUAUUUAGGGAAUUGACAAGUUUAAGGGCAUUAGAUUUUGGCAAAUCGUAUAACUCAAGUUGGUCUUCGACUGUGGAGAUUCCGAGAACCAUAGAAAAGCUGGUACAUUUAAGAUACCUUAAUUUGUUUUAUCAGGGAAUAAAGAAACUACCGGAGACAUUAUGCGAGUUGUAUAAUCUAGAAAAGUUAGAUAUUAGUUUAUGUUUUAAUCUUAAAGAAUUACCUGAAGGGAUUGGGAAGUUAAUAAACAUGAAGCAUUUACGAAAUAGAGGUACUAGUUCUUUAAGGUACAUGCCAGUAGGGAUUGGGAGAUUAACGGGUCUCAGGACCUUGGAUGAGUUCCACGUGAGUGGAGGAAAGCGUGUAGGCUUGAAUCUCUUAAAAAAUUGGAACACCUUCAAGUAUGUGGUAUACGUAGACUGGGUGAUGUAUCAGAUGUGGGCGAGGCUAAGCGAUUAGAACUUGACAAAAAGAAAUACCUCUUCAGUUUGACCCUUGAGUUUGAUAAGAAGGAGGAAGAAGAAGGAGAAAGGAGGAAGAACGAGGACGAUCAAGUUCUUCUUGAAGCCCUACAACCACCUCUCAAUUUAAAGGAAUUAGAGAUAGAGUACUACCGAGGCAACACUGUUUUCCCCAGCUGGAUGACGUCAUUAACCAACUUAAAGAGUUUAGAUCUCUCUUCCUGCGAAAAUUGGGAGCAGCUGCCUCCUUUGGGAAAAUUGCCAUCCCUUGAAGCACUCAGCCUAUGGGACAUGAAGUGUGUGGAAAGAGUGGGUGAUGAAUUUUUGGGGAUAGAAAGUGAUCAUCAUGGCUCAUCUUCAUCGGUUAUUAUUGCCUUCCCCAAAUUGAAAUCACUUUCAAUUGAGGUUCUGCGCGAAUUGGAGGAGUGGGAUUAUGGGAUUACAAGAACGGGAAACACCGUCAUCAACAUCAUGCCACGUCUUUCUUCCUUGACAAUUGCACUUUGCCCCAAAUUAAAGGCACUGCCCGACCACUUUCAUCAAACGACAACAUUGAAGGAAUUGCACAUUUGGGAUUGCAGGCUUCUGGAAGAACGUUAUUGCAAGGGGGAAGGAGAAGACUGGCCUAAGAUAUCACACAUUCCCAACCUCCAUAUUGGGCUUUGACAAGUAAUUUCUUCUCUUACUCUGAUUUGCUUUGUUGUUGUUUUUAAUCUAAUUAAGAAGCGUAAAUAGCAUUUUGAAUCAAACUCUAUAUCAGAAAUCUGCAAUACUUACUUUCUAAUAUUCUGAUUUUCAUAUCCUAUGAAUAUACGAUUUUUAAUUUGUGAGAUGGGUAACGUUACUGUAAAAGAUUAUUAAUGCAAUAUGAGUAAUUCUUUUGCAGGACAAGUGACCUACAUUUAGUUUGGCUUUGGAGUUGAAUAAUAACCUUUCGAGGUCCCGACAACCAAAAAACGAAGCUUAAUUUGCCACAGAUUGCACGUAUUGCCAUUAUUGACAAUUUUCUGCACAAGCUUAGGUUGAUGUCAAAAGAGGUAAAUUAUUGGCAUGCCUGACUAUUUUGACCAUUACACGAUUCAUAAGUUUACAUUAAUUUUGAUUUUGAGUUGAGUGAUUAGUUUUCUAGGUUUGCUUACUUUAACUGGGUGACCAAUUUCUUGUAACUAAAUGUAUGAUGUGAAGCAGAACUCAAACAAAAGUAUGCUACUUCUUGCGGAAAUCUUGCCUUUGUUCAGAUUAUGAAACCAUUUCCAUGCAGCAAAUUCAUCCAAAAGUUUGAAUAAGUUUCACGGUUGGACACUGUUGGUUUCUUUUUCUUCUGGGGUGCAUUUAGGUGCUAUCAAGUGACAGCUGUAAGUAUGAUUGCACUAAGCUGCCGCUGGGAAAUUUGAGGUUUUGAUGGCUGCCCAUGUUAUUUUCAAGAAACUAUUGAUGUAAGAAGCUGUGGUUCUUUUCAUCAGCUUGAACCUGAAACUGUCGCUAUGGAUAACUCAGGUUUUUGUUAUCAACUAUAUCAUCUUUUUCACUAUUUUGAAACUCUUAAGAUUAAACUUUAGUAAAGUUGUUUCAGCUUUUCAAAUGAAAAACUCAUUGAUUUGAGACUUCCUUCAUUAUUGUUUCUAAUUACAAUGCUAACGAUCCAGAUAAGAUAAUAUUUAAUCGGCGAAGGUGUCCCUUGGAAGUACAUCCUUCUUUUUCUUUUAUUAUACAAAUUCUUGCAAUGAGCUUAGUGAAGCUGUUGUGCUAAUCAUGCCACUGCAUAAUUUGGCCCCUAAUGUGGGUACUCUGUUACAUUGUUCUGCAAAUUCUCCAGAAGUUAAAAUCAAUAAAUUUUCUAUUAGCUCUAGUGCUUUGACCUAAAUGCUAUUCUAUAUUCUGAUUACAAUGUUUUACCUUUAAAUUAACUACCCCUAGAUGUUGGAUUUUCUAGAACUUCAAAAUGAUUAAUGGAGAAAGAUCCCAUUAUCGUUAUUGCUAUAAAAAAUUGAUUUAUGCAUCCAAAGAUACAUUAUAUAUUUCUGUGUCUCUAUUUAUAGAUGACAUUUAAGCAUCCAUAAACCGUCAGACAGAGGAAGGGGGUUCAGUGCAAAGAUUCUGUUGACCUAGGGUUGACUGCAUAAUGUCACUUGUUCGCAAUCUAUUAUUCUUUUCAAGGUCUGCUUCCUUAACGGAGCGACCAAUGUUUUUCAACUAAAUUUAUCAUAUGAUGCAGGAAGCAGGGCAGGAUAUGAAAUGUGAAGCUCAUUGGUGGAAGUAUUGCCAGUAACAGAACCCAAAGAAAAUGAAACUAUUUCAAGGCAGCAGUUGGCAGUUGCAAGUGAAUGGAGGCCCUUGACAAAAUUCUCAAGCGGUUGCAAUGCAAUUACGAUCAUCCUCAGCCUCAGGUAAUUUCUUCUCCUGCUUUGUAUUUAUUUGUUAUCUAAUUAGGAACCGUAAAGUAUCUUGAAUCAUUUUCUGUAUCUGGAAUAUAUGCAAGAGUUUCUAAAAUUUUGAUAUGAGUGUAAUGAUGGUAAUUUCUGUUUUCUGUCUGUCAUCAAAUGUUAGAAAACUUUCAUUGAGACCCUUGAACCGAGUCAUUUUUGACAAGUGAAGUGCUGAAGAGUGAAGAGUAAGAAUGGUGCUAGAUUGGGGAAUAAAGCAAAAGGAGGUAAAUUAUUGGCAGCUUCUUCAACCUUAUUUUCUUUGGACCAGUGCCUAAUUCACAAGUCUCCAUAAUUCGGCUUUUGACCAGUUGAUAGAUAAAAUUUUAAUUUCAUUGGUGCUAAUGUACCCGUGAGGCAGGCAGAGAAGGACUGUGGAAAAGAGAAGGUUUUUAGUGAAAGCUUAAACUCAGGUAAUUCUAAAAAUUAUAUGUUUUGGCUGAUUUAUCUAAAUCAGGAAAUUUUAUUUCCAUCUGUUACAAUAAAACAGAAACAGAACACAAAGAAAAAUAUUCUACUUCUUGUGGCAAUCUUGCCUUCAUUCAGACUAUGAAACCAUUUCCUUUCACCAAUUUCUUCCAAAAGUUUGAACACAUUUCAUGGUUGGACAUAGUUAGCUUCUUUUUCUUUUGGUGCAUUUAGGUGCUAUCAAGUGACAGCCGUAAGUAUGAUUGCAUUAUUGGGAAAUUUUAGGUUUUGAUGGCUCCCCAUGUUAUUGCCAAGAAAUUUUAAGUCCUCGUGUCAGAAGCUGCGUUUCUUUUCAUCAGCCUGAACCCGAACCUGUCACUAUGGAUAACUGAGGUUUUUGUCAUCAACUAUAUCAUCUUUUUCACUGUUUUGAAACUCUUAAGAUUAAACUUCAGUAAAGUUGUUUCAGUUAUCCAUGUAAUCAGGCUAAGGAUAUUUAGCAGCUUAUUUAGGCAACUGCCAGAAUUCAGUUUGUUCGCUCGAAACUUGUAUGGUGACAAGGAUACUGGCAAGGAUAGUGAGAUAGUUUUUUGUGUGAGUGAAUUUUGAAAGCUUGGGUGUUCUGGGAUUUGCAAUUGCAAUCAUCCUCUGCUUUAGGUGAUUUCUUCUCCUGUUCUGUCUUUAUUUUCUCUCUAAUUGAAAGCAUUUCAAUCAAAUUCUGUACCAGGAAUACGAAAAAUUUACCAAUAUUUUAUUUCCAUCUGUUUGCAUUGAUAACUUGGCCGCAUAUGUACUAGUUAAAGAACAAACAGAAGCAGAGUUCAGGAAAAAGUUUCUUCGGCCACCAUAUUUGAAAAUGAAACCAUUUCCAGGAAGCAGUUGGCAGCAAAUUCAUACAAAGUAUAGACAAUGAUGAACAAAAAGGUGAUUCGCAAUUUCAUUUUUUUAAAAUGAAAUUAUUUGUUAAGUUGGAGCUGAUAUUGUUAGAAGGCCAUUGAGCUAACCUCUGACACUGCUUGCCUAGAUUGCAGGAGGUCAAGACUCAAAAGAUGCACUGAAUUUUAAAAGGCAUGCAAUAAUUCUUAUGGCCAUUUGUCAAUGGUGGAAUGCUUUUAGCUUCUUUUCCUUUUGUGCAUUUUGGGGUUCUAUCAAGCGACAGCCGUAUGUAUGGAUGGAUAUAGCUGCUGCGUUGAUUUCUAAUGCAUUGUAUGAUGUUAUAGCAACUAUCCAUCUGGUCAAUGUUUCAAAAGAAUAAGACAGGGAAAAAGAGAAAGCAAGUGGCCAAUCAAGUUGCAUCAACCAAAUUGUUGUUAAACAAGUAAAACAAAGAAAGAGAGUUAAGGAAGCUGACCUUGUAGUAGGGGAGCUGAAGAAAGGCUGCCAGUGAAUGUAAGAGAAAAUAAAAUGCAAGAAAUGGUGAAGUGCAGCUUUUCAUGUCAACUUGAAAUUGAUUUUUCUGUUUGUUUUUUUUUUUUUGUAAUCUUUUGGAUUUUUCAAACAAAGAAAAUGAGGAGCAACCAGGGAGAUAAAAAGGGCGCCAAGGCAACUGUGUGUUGGGUUUAGAGCCAAAAAUAAAUAAAUAAAUAAAUAAGACAUCGUGUUCUUGUGGAGACCAGACCUAUUACGUAACGUCCCCUUCAAUACCACUUGUUCCGUAUCUGGUUUUCUCUUCGUCGUUUACAUAUUUAUCCUGUGAUUUUACAAUAACUAAAUAAUCCCCGCAUAGUUUGCAAUUUUAUUCAUUUGGGCCCUACAGAUUUCAGUAAUAGGAAUUAUUAAGGGACAAGAGCGCAAAACAGAAACUCUGUCCACUACUGAUGAUAUAAUAACGAACCUUUGUUUUUUUUUUUUAAAAAAAAAAAGAGUAACAAAAUAUCAUUAGACAAAUGAAAAUAUUAUCUAACAUCACCUAUUCACCUUACUGAUGAUAUGAAAAUAUGUAUGUAUGUAUGUAUGUAUGUACAUAUAUACAUACACCUAUGUAACAUUUACUUAUACAUUCUUUUGAGUUUAAAUCUUAAUACAACUACAUACAACCACAUCAAUGUAUAUAUUUUUUACAUAAGACAUGCCGUCCUAUUAUUCAUAAGUAAACAAUGUGCCGUAAAUAGUAUUCUGUGUUUUCUCAAAGUUGACUUUUCGUCUUUUAUUUUCAGACGCAGACGCUAUGUCAUUUUGUAAUCGUCCGAACAUAUACAGAGCAGAAUUGGUGUUAUCUGAUUUUGUGAUGCAAUAAGAUUUGCACUUCCUGUGCAUUCAAUGGAAUCAUGCCACGCUAGUAGACAAUAUGCUAGUUUGAACAAACUUGUUUGAAUGGCAAAAACGACAUGACCUGCUGUAGUAUUAAUUCUUUCCCGAACCAACGGGUGAUUUGCUACGUUGGAUCAUGAAAAUUAACCAAAAUAAAAAUUCUUAAGGAAUUAGUUAGUUAAUUGAUUGAUCGAAUUUAAUCUAAAUUUGAAAAUGAUAAGAUAAAUUUAAAUUUAUUAUUAUUAUUAUUAUUAUUAUUUUAAAGUGGGUGGGUUUAUACAAUUUGAGCGGUGGAAAUAUCACUGCUGAAUUAUUAAAUAUACAGUGUAAAAUUUUGACCUUUAAAAUAUUCCCUUUUUUUUUUUAUUUAGCACUAUAAGUUUAAAAAUUUAACAUUUUACCUCAAUAAUUAAAUACUUUUAACUUUAAUCUUCAAAUAUUUACCCUACAACAUUUGGACCUAAAUUUUUAAUCCGACUCGGCCCCUGACCCAAGUGGGAAGAAGAUCAGGCUUAUAAGUUAUAACUAUCACCAACAUAACAUCUUCUGGAAAAUAAUAAGAUUACUCACCUGCAAUUAUGUGAUCAAACUAAUGGUAAGCAAAAUAGAACAGCGUUAUUUCAGUCCCCUUUCAGUUUCUUUAUCAUUUUUCUUUUCCUAUUUAUAAGCUUAAUUCGGUUCAAAAUCGGCUAAUUCACUUUGAUUUCACUUUUCUUUCUUUCGGUUCAAAAAAAUUGAACCCAUUGGCUGUCAAUUCAAUUUUGUUGAAAACCAACUUUGCCUGAAUUUAAGUAAUAAUAGAGGAAAAAAAAAGAGUACUUAGCAGAAGAGAUUUCUCAUUUUUUUCUCAUUCAAACUUCUAAAAUAAAAGAAAAAAAAACAAGAGUAAUUGUUAAUUAUCAAAAUUUUGUUUAUACUAUUCCACCAAGAAAAUUAUACAAAAAAAAAAAUUUUAAAAAUUGGAGAAGAAAUAUGAGGUGAAAUACGUGGAUGGCUUAGACUAAUAAUGUGAACAAAUUCCUCUUGGAAGCAUGUCAUUGUUCAUCCGGACAACACGCGGCGAUGAGAUUCGAGAAUAAAAGGAUAGGAAUCAACUGUAACCUCAUAAACAAAUGGCCUUGGAGUUGUAACCAAAGCUUUUAAUUAUUGAUCAUUAAGAUCGAUAUAAAGUAUCACGAAAUGAUGUGUACGACGACAAUAUCAAUAGCGUAGUGUGAAGACCUGGCUGUAAACACAAGGCUCGGCAGAUUAAUUAAACAAGAGUAUCCGAAUUUUCUAUGAUAAUCUCUAGGAAACGAUCAGCUAUAAUGUACGAAAUUAAAAUAUUGCAUAUAUUUUUGAAUUUUUGAACUCAUGCAUUAAUUUAAAAAAUUAUAUCGUAUUAUAAUUUAUUCACAAAAGAAAGAAAAAUUCACUAAUCAAGUGAAAUCGUAUUCUUAUUGAAAUGAAUUCCAGUAAUUGGAUAAAUAUAAGUAUUUCUUCCGUUGUAAUUUUUGUUUAACAGAAAAUCUAUUUGAGAUUUUGUGAGAAGAAACUCAACAAUAAAGUUUGAUAGACUUUGUGGAUAUUAAGAGUUUGACAAGUAAUUGAAAUCUGAAGUUUACUGAAAUUUACGAGCAAACAAACUGAAAUCCGAAGUUUACUGAAGUUUACUAUCAAGAGUUUCAAAACAGUGAAAAAGAUGAUAUAGUUGAUGACAAAAACCUGAGUUAUCCAUAGCGACAAGUAACAUACUGAAGUAAGCCGUUGGGAGCUGGCCUGUUCAUGGGCUAUUUUUCUCUGAUGAUCUGCAUUUUUCUUCCUUUUAAAGUGAACCUUGACUCGUAUCAAACCUGUCAAAAGAACAGUUCAUCAACUGAGCUGAGAUUUGCUUUCCUUUUUCAAAACCCACCUGAGAUAUUGUAAUUCCCAAAUUUCUCUCUCUCAGCUACACGAGCAAGCAGCCGCUUUUUCACUUCAUCGAAGAAGGUAAGCGAUUUAUCUAUUUCGUCCGAUUGAUUUCUUGUUUCGUUUUCAGUGUUCGGGUAAAUUAUUGGCAUGCCUGACUUUUUGACCAUUACAUGAUUCAUAAAUUUCUAUUAAUUUUGAUUUUGAGUUGACUGGUUACUUUUAUAGGUUUGUUUACUUUGACUAGGUGACCAAUUUCUUGUAACUAAAUUUAUGACGUGAUGCAGGAAGCUCGGCAGGAUAUGAAAUGAGAAUCUUAUUAGUGGAAGGAUUGCCAGUAACAGAACCCAAAGAAAAUGAAACCAUUUCAAGGCAGCAGUUGGCAGUUGGGAGUGGAUGGAGGCCCCUGACAAAACUUCAGUAAACUUCAGAUUUCAGUUUGUUUGCUCGAAACUUGCAUGGUGACAAGGAUACUGGCAAGGAUAAUGAGAUAGUUUUUGUGUGAAUGAAAUUACGAUCAUCCUCAGCCUUAGUUGUUAUUUGUUACCUAAUUAAGAAGCAUAAAGUAUCCUGAAUCAUUUUCGUUGUCUGGAACAUAUGAGUGUAAUGAUUGUAAUUUCUGUUUUCUGUCUGUCAUCGAAUGUAAGACAACUUUAUUAAGAUUCUUGAACCGAGUCAUUUUUGACAAUUGAAGGACAAGUGCUGAAGAGUGGGAAUGCAAAAAGUUUUGUUGUUUCUAGCCUUGUUUUCUUUGAACCAGCGCCUGAUGAUAUAACAGAAACAAGGCUAGAAACAACAAAAACUCUGUCCACUACUGAUGAUAUAACAACGAACCUUUGUUUUUUUCUUUUUUCUUUUUUUUUUUAAAAAAAGUAACAAAAUAUCAUUAGAGAAAUGAAAAUAUUAUCUAACAUCACCCUACUGAUGAUAUGAAAAUAUGUAUGUAUGUAUGUAUGUAUAUACGUAUGUAUGUACAUAUAUACAUACACCUAUGUAACAUUUAAUUAUACAUUCUUUUGAGUUUAAAUCUUAAUACACAUUUUCAUGAAAUUUUUAUUUUAUUAAGUAUACAACUACAUACAACUACAUUAAUGUAUAUAUUUUUUACAUAAGACAUGCCGUCCUAUUAUUCAUAAGUCAACAAUGUGUUGUAAAUAGUGUUCGUGUCUCAAAGUUGACUUUUCGUCUUUUAUUUUCAGACGCAGACGAUAUGUCAUUUUAUACACAGCAGAAUUGGUGUUAUCUGAUUUUGUGAUGCAAUAAGAUUUGCACUUCCUGUGCACUCAAUGGAAUCAUUUCUUUGUAACUAAUUGGGUGCUGGAAUGGUGGUCAAAUCUCGAACGAAGACAGAUCUAUCAAACUCCAGAAUUGGUGUUAUCUGAUUAAUUGAUUGAUCGAAUUUUAUCUAAAUUUGAAAAUGAUAAGAUAAUUUUGAAUUUAUUAUUAUAAUUAUUAUUUUAAAGUGGGGUGGGUUUAUACAAUUUGAGCGGUGGAAAUAUCACUACUGAAUUAUUAAAUAUACAGUGUAAAAUUUUGACCUUUAAAAUAUUCCCUUUUUUUUUUAUUUAGCAUCUAUAAAUUUAAAAAUUUAACAUUGUACCUCAAUAAUUAAAUACAUUUAACUUUAAUCUUCAAAUAGUUACCCUACAACAUUUGGACCUAAAUUUUUAAUCCGAUUCGGCCCCUGAUCCAAGUGGGAAGAAGAUCAGGCUUAUAACUAUCACCAACGUAACAUCUUCUGGAAAAUAAUAAGAUUAUUCACCUGCAAUUAUGUGAUCAAACUAACGGUAACCAAAAUAGAACAGCGUUAUUUGAGUCCCCUUUCAGUUUCUUUAUCAUUUUUCUUUUCCUAUUUAUAAGCUUAAUUCGGUUCAAAAUUGGCUAAUUCACUUUAAUAAGUUUAUUGGUUUGAACGCUGUUAGCUUCUUUUCCUUUCGUGCAUUUUGGUAUGCAACAGUUCUUGCCUAUGACACUGCUUGCCUAGAUUGCAGAAGGUCAAGGCUCAAAAGAAGCACUGAAUUUUAAAAGGCAUGCAACAGUUCUUGUGCCAUAUGUCAAUUCAUGCAAGUUUGAAUAAGUUUUUUGGUAUGCUAUCAAGUGACAGCCGUAUGUAUGGUUUGCAUAUAGCUGCUGCUGGGAAAUGUGAGGAUUUCAUGGCUGGCCGUGUUAUUGUCUUAAAUUAGAUGUGAUAAGCUGUUGCUUGGUGAUUCUGUUGCCAAGAAUUUGCUCACAUCAGAAGCUGUGGAACCUGAACCCUUCUCUAGAUAUCAUCUUUUUCAUUGUUUUAAAACUCUCAGGAUUAAACUUGAGUAAUUUUGUUCGGUUGUCUAUAUAAUCAUGUAUUGAGUAAACUCUCAGGAUACUGAGCAGGCAAAUGCCAUAACUCGGUUUGUUCUUCAAAAACUUGUUUAAGAUUCUUGACAAAGCUGCAUGAAGUGAAUCUUGGGAGCUUUGAGGGUGAGAGAAAUUAGAGGGUGUAUAGGGAUUUGGGCUUAUUAGGAAGUUAUAUAUGUAUUUCGUCACUUAUCAUUAUCAUUUUUUUUUUCACAGAAAACCUUCUGAUGGUGCUAAAUUUUCAAACACCGGUCCGAUUCAAAACUUCAUAUUCCAAUUAUAUUCAUAAGACAAAUGGAACACUUUGAACGGCUUGUGUCCGAGCAUUGUAGUUUGAUUUAUUUUGAUGACAGUACCUUUUGACAUUGAGAUUCUUUCAUGAUUUAAACAUUCUUUUAAAAACUAAAUUAUUAAAAAAAAAGUAACUAACAUAUAUUAUUUUAUUAGUGCUUUUUAAAUCAAAUAUACAUAGGAGAACUGUAAUUCUUAGCAAUCAAUUUUCCACUAAAUACACCUGCAACAAACUAUUAAUAGCAAAGUGAUAGAAAAUACCUGAUUUUUCAUACUUUCUAAUUUCUUUUGGUCCUAAAAUAUGGGCAUUUGUGUAAUAAUUAGCCCAUGUGGAUCUCUAUGCCAUGAGUUUGAUAAGUAGCUAUCAAGGAUCACUUAUUAAGCUAAAAAUAUUUGGAGGACAAAAUUGUAAAACUAAAAGGGUGGAGCAAAUAUGGCUAUCUAGGAUUAAAUAGUAAGUCAACUAUAUUUAAAGGAUAAAAUAUUAAAACUUGAAAUGUGAUAUUAAAAAUAUCUCAACUAUUAUGUUAUUAAACCAUAUGUUGUAAUAGUUUAUUUUUUAAGCUUCAAAAUGUUCAGGAUUUUAGAUUGAAACAUUUUCAUUUGAAAUUAUUUGGUGCAGUCACAAGUUAAGAAAGAAAAAGUUGUCCCAUUGGUCAUUUCACAAAAAUGAAAGCCCUGUAUAACAUGGGCUUGAAUGGAAGCCCAAUUGUUUGUGUUUGAUUAAUUGAUUUCAAGCUUUAUCGAACCUUUGUACCUGGAUACUUUACUGCGGCCUCUAAGCGCUAUAAAUUUUUUUGGGGAUAAACGGCGCUUCAAUGAGGUCAUCUCCGAUGCUUAACACCAUUUUGGUGUAAUACCAACAUUAAAAAUAUACAUUUUUCACACUAAAUUACUAUUUCAUCUCCAACCCAUUUACACCAAAAAAAAUAUUUUUCUUUUUAUUCUUUUAAUUCUCAAGAAUUAAUUCAAUUAACACAAUAAAUACUACUAUUAACAUAGAUAAUUAAGUAAUAAGUAAUUUUAUCGAUUAACAAAAAAAUAUAGAAAAUUAUUAAAUUUGCAUUUAAUUAACUAAAUUAGUACAUUAUGAAAAUUAAACAUUACAUUAAUAUAGAAAAAUACAAUAACAAUAAUAAUAAUUUUAUAUCUAAUAUUUUGAUGAUAUUGGAGGAUCUAAUAAUGAUCUUCCAGAUUAUUAAAUAAUUGUUCUAAUUUAUACUAGUAGUAGUAGCUUUUUUAAUUUGUGUUAAUUUAAUUUUGUAAUAUGUAAUAUAGUAAUUAAUGUUACUAGCAUUUUAUUAUUAUUAUUAAUUUUUGUGUUGAAUAUUUUUUAUUUAAAAUAUUAGUAUAAUAUUCAAAAAUUAAAAAAUGAAAUAAAAAUAAUAACAAAAAUAAUAAUAAUAAUAACUUAAAAUAUUAUAUAAAAUAGGACAUAUAUGUAAAUAAGAAAAAGUAAUAAAGAUAUUUAAGAGCUUUUUUUCCUAGCACCAAAUGAAUAGUGUUACACCAUAUUUGGUGCAAUACUAUUCACAACACCAUUUUGUUGUUGGUUUUGGUGUUACAUUGGAGAAGCAUUUUACACCAAAAAUAGUGUAAAAGGUGGUUUGGUGUUAGUUUUGGUGUCACAUUGGAGAUGGCCUGGAAAAGCACUUGAAAACUUUGGAUUUUUGGUUCGUCCAGUUACGGUGUUAUGCUAACGGGGUUAAAGGUUCCGAUCCAAUGAGUUAGGAUCCGAAGGUUACUGAAGUUUACUAUCAAGAGUUUCAAAACAGUGAAAAAGAUGAUAUAGUUGAUGACAAAAACCUGAGUUAUCCAUAGCGACAAGUAACAUACUGUUUAUUACAGAGAAACAAACGACAACAUGAUACUAGUAGUAGUUAUUCUUUUCAUCCGAUAUAUUACAUGGUAAUAUCACUACUCGUUCCACUAGUUUCAUGUACACUGUCGACCAGCAACAUGAUAAUUUCGUGCCAGUUCAUUUUGGUUUGUUGGAAAAAGCAGUGUAUUUCUUAGAACUUGAAAAUAAUAAAAAUAUUUUAAAAUAUAAAUUGCAUAUUUGUUUAUUACCAUUCUUUGGUCUAUUUCUUCUGUAGACUUUUCAGAAUCUGUAGGACGUUAGUUUAUAACUUUGGGAUUUUGUAGCCCUAAUUUUUUUUUUUGGCAUUUUAUUUUGCUGCUUUAUCUAUGUGCAUGUUAACUAAAUUAAGCUAAUCUAGAAUUAAUAGAGAGGGAUAUUUAUCUAUUUUGUUUAACCUUUACCACUCUAGGCAUUGUACUACAUGUGAGCUUGUGAUGCUUGCAUUUUAUUGAUGUUGAUGAUUCGUUGAAUGUUUUAUUUUUUGAUUUUUUAAGUUUUCCAGAGUCAUGUUUGUGUCUACGAAGAAAUUGUAAAGGCUGUGCACGAAGCACUUGUCAUUCUUUAGACUUUAUUGAUUAUAUUUUUGUCAGAUUUGCGUGUAUAUUCACAUAUGUUUUAUUUUUUCAUUUUGUAGGACAUUUUUACAUGCCAUAUUAUCACGACUCUUCUGUGUCUGAAUAAGAAGAAAGCAUAAUGCGACCCUCCAACAGCUUAAUCUAUGGAAUUAUCGUGUUUUGUAAGUUCUGGUCCAAUGGCGUUUUGGCACAUCAUAUGAUAGACCACUAUAUUGCGUUGCUUUACAAAAGAUUAAUAUUUUUAAAAUUAUUAACUCAUGAUAUGAUAGUCCAGGUUUUCGAGGACCACUAUAUUGUAUGGAUUUAAAAAAAAUUAAUAUUUUUUAAUAUUAAUAUUCUAAAUUAUAUUCAGUUAAAAUAUUAAAUAUUAAAUACAUUCUUAACAUUAAUAUUCUUAGAUGAAAUUCUUUUGCUGACUUAAGAAUAAAGUAUUAAAUAAUUUUAUUUUUCUUUUAUUUUGUAACGUGGACCCAAAAAAAAAAGGAAAUGAAUUUAAUAAAACCUUCAUUCCGCCAACAUGCAUGUUAAUUGUUUCCAAAUUCCAACCUCCGUACUCUCUUGAGGAGUUUCCCAUUCAUCAAUUAUUAUUUUUUAUAAUCCAUACCAUCCUGAUAUAAUUAAACACCAUUAAUAAUGUACCAGCCUUUAAAUAGUAAUUAAUUUAUUUAUCUAAUUCACCAAAUGUUUUUUUCCGGUACAUAUCUCCAUUGGUAUCAAGAAGAAGCAGAACCCAAAGAAAUGUUUCUUGCAUCUUCAUAUUUGUGCGAAUUCAUCCUUUCAUUGAGAAUAACCAUUUCCAGGCAGCAGUUGGCAAUCAAUUCAUGCGCAUGUCGAUGCUACUCAUAGAUAUUAAAGACAAUGAUGAACCAAAGGUAAUAAAUCAUAAAUGCAUAAUUACCAAACCUCCAUCCUUCUCUCAUUAUGACUUGAUUUUAAAUGAAUUAUUGCUUGGUAACAUUAUUUCCAACCAUUGCAAGAUUUUUUUUUGGAGAAAUUUCAAUUGAAAGUAAAACCUUUAGACAUUUACCUAAUGAAGUUAGUUAAUCGGGAGGGUGGAAAAAAAAAAGUUGACGCAAGUCAAUACACAAUAAUUAAUUAAAUCCGGAGUCACUAAAACAGAGCCACGACUUUUUCAAAAAUAUCUGCAUUCAUCACUUUCUCCAGCAACUAGUCAGCUACACACGAAUCAAUUUCUCUCCUCGUUUGUCAUCCAAAAUUAUUCACCAAUACCAUGGCUGAUGCAAUCGUUUCCCCGCUCUUGGAGCAGCUGAUUUCCUUCGCUGCUGAAGAGAUAAAACAACAGGUGAUCGAAGUUACACCCCUCAUAUUACAAAUACUUCCAAUGAUUUUAAUUGGUUUUGUUUUUAUCAAAAACAUUAUAUAUUUUUGCUUUUUUUUAUUUAUCUGAUAAUUUUAUAUUUUGAAAUUUGAAUUGAAUUUAAUUAAAAGGUGAUGUAGUAACCACUUAUUUUUAUUUUAUUUCAUUUAUAUUCUCAAUAACUACUCAUAUUUUGGUAACUUACUAUAACUUCCAUAUCUAAGAAAUGAUCCAAACCCACAAUUUUAACUAUGUAUAAAUAUUCAACGUUGAGCUAAGGUUUUGCAGAACAUUCAAGUUUAUCAAAUAGUCAUUAAUUUAAUGUUUUAGUAAAACCUCAACUCAUCACUGAAUCCCAUAGCUAUUACUUAGACACUAUGAAAAAUUUCAUAGUUUUCUUACAUUCUUUCAGUUUGGUAAGUGAUUUCAUAUAAUUUCUUUUCAAGUUAAAUUUUAAUUUGGUUUCUGAUAUAGUCUCUUUGCCGAAUUGUAUCUUUUAUGAUUCUUGGAUUUUGGGCUCCAACUUUUUAGGAUUUGAUAGUCACAUUUUAUGCCAUGCUCAGAUUGAUUUUCAUGAUUUUUAGUACCCGUUAAGUGACGUACAAUUUGACAAAAGUUUGAAAGGAAAUAUGUUUCAGAAUUCUGUUUUAAUUGACCUUUUAGUGGAAUUAGGAUGCUUAUAACUUAAUGUGGAUGGUUCGUAAAAUCAUGAAAUUUGGAUAGGAUUCACUAGCAAUAUGUACAAGACUCCCCAUAAAGUUUCAUAAUUUUUCAUUCGGUCUGGGGUGGUACAGGUGAAACUUGUGGUUGGUGUUGAAAAAGAAGUGAAAAGCCUUACCAGCCAUCUUCAAGCCAUUCAAGUUGUGCUCGAUGAUGCAGAGGAAAAGCAAGUGAAGGAAAAAGCUGUUAGUCUUUGGCUGGGUAGGCUCAAGUAUGCAUCCUACGACAUUGAAGAUGUGUUGGAUGAGUGGAUAACAACAAGACGCAAAUUGCAAAUUGAGGGUGGCGUUGAUGAAAAUGCUCUUGUUGUUCCUCAUAAGAAAAAGAAGGUAUGUCUCUGCUUUCCCGGCUCUUGUUUUGGAUUCAAACAAGAAGAAUUUGGUUUCAAACAGGUCUUUCUCCGUCAUGACAUUGCCGACAAGAUCAAAGAAAUCAAUGAAGAGCUACAUGAUAUUGCCGCUCAAAAAGACAUGUUUGAUCUUGUUAAGAGUGGCAAUAAAAGUAGUGAAAGACCAAGGCGUGUACAGAGUACCUCCUUGAUUGAUGAGGAAGAGAUUUGUGGCAGAGUUGGUGAGAGGAAUGAACUCUUAAGCAAGCUGUUGUGUGAGAGUAGCGAGCAACAAAAAGGCCUUCAUAUCAUCUCAAUCGUUGGUAUGGGAGGCAUAGGGAAAACAACUCUUGCACAACUAGCUUGUAAUCAUGACGAGGUGAAGAGAAAGUUCGACAAAAUUCUGUGGGUGUGUGUAUCAGAAACUUUUGAGGAGUUUAGGGUUGCCAAAGCGAUCGUUGAAGUUUUGGAUGGUCGUGAAUCUCAUUUAGCUGAAUUCCAUUCUCUUCUUCAACAUAUUUAUGAAUCCAUUGCAGGGAAGAGCUUUCUUCUUGUCUUAGAUGACGUGUGGGAUGGAAAUUACUUGAAAUGGGAACCAUUCUACCAUUGUCUAAAGAAUGGUCUCCAUGGAAGUAAAAUUUUAGUUACCACACGUAAAGGGUCAGUCGCAUCCAUGAUGGGAUCCAUAGAUAUUAUCUCCGUUAAGGAGUUAGCUGAAGAGGAAUGUUGGUUGUUGUUUAACAAGAUAGCAUUUUUUGAUCGGUCCAUCGAGGAACGUGAAAAAUUAGAACAAAUUGGGCAAAGAAUUGCAGGCAAGUGCAAAGGUUUACCUCUUGCAGCAAAGACAAUAGGGAGUCUCAUGCGUUCUAAACAAACUGAAGAAGAGUGGAAAAGAAUUUUAAAUAGUGAUUUAUGGAAAGUAGAAGAGAUUGAGAAAGAUGUUUUGUCCUCUUUAUUGUUGAGUUAUAAUGAUUUGCCAUCUAGAGUAAAAAGAUGUUUUUCAUAUUGUGCUGUCUUUCCAAAAGACUACAAUAUAGAAAAAGACAAACUAAUCACGUUAUGGAUGGCUCAAGGUUAUCUUAGUGCAGAAGAAGAUGAAGAGAUGGAGACAGUAGGUGAAGAGUAUUUUGGCAUCUUAGCUUCUCGCUCAUUUUUUCAAGAGUUUAAGAAAAGUUAUGAUAAUCGGAUUAUAGAGUGUAAGAUGCAUGAUAUGGUACAUGAUUUUGCCCGAUUUGUAAGUCAAAAUGAAUGUUUUUCGAUGGCAAUUAAUGGUAGUGAAGAACCAAACGCCACAAACUCUCUUGAUGAGAAGGUCCGUCAUUUAAUGUUAAUCUUUAGUAUAGAGGCUUCAUUACCUGUUUCCACUUGUAGAGUUAAAAGAAUUCGUAGCCUCUUAAUUAACGAUAGUAGAUCUGAUCAUUCAUUAUUAAAUGGUGAGAUCCUAGAAGAAUUAUUUAGGGAAUUGACAAGUUUAAGGGCAUUAGAUUUUUGCAAAUCGUAUAACGCAAGCUGGUCUUCGACUCUGGAGAUUCCGAGAAACAUAGAAAAGCUGGUACAUUUAAGAUACCUUAAUUUGUCUUAUCAGGGAAUAAAGAAACUACCGGAGACAUUAUGCGAGUUGUAUAAUCUAGAAAAGUUAGAUAUUAGUUAUUGUUAUAAGCUAGAAGAAGUACCUGAAGGGAUUGGGAAGUUAAUAAACAUGAAGCAUUUACGAAAUAGAGGUACUAGUUCUUUAAGGUACAUGCCGGUAGGGAUUGGGAGAUUAACGGGUCUUAGGACCUUGGGUGAGUUCCACGUGAGUGCAGGAGGAGGUGUUGAUGGUAGGAAAGCAUGUAGGCUUGAAUCUCUUUAAAACUUGGAACACCUUCAAGUAUGUGGUAUAUGUAGACUGGGUGAUGUAUCAGAUGUGGGCGAGGCUAAGCGAUUAGAACUUGACAAAAAGAAAUACCUCUUCAGUUUGACCCUUGAGUUUGAUAAGACGGAAAGAGGAGGAGAAAGGAGGAAGAACGAGGACGAUCAACUUCUUCUUGAAGCCUUGCGACCACCCCUGGAUUUAAAGGAAUUAGAGAUACGGUACUACCGAGGCAACACUGUUUUCCCCAGCUGGAUGGCGUCAUUAACCAACUUAAAGAGUUUACAUCUCCAUAGGUGCGAAAAUUGCGAGCAGCUGCCUCCUUUGGGAAAAUUGCCGUCCCUUGAAAAUCUCUACAUAUGGCGCAUGGAGAGUGUGAAGAGAGUGGGUGAUGAAUUUUUGGGGAUAGAAAGUGAUCAUCAUGACUCAUCGUCAUCUUCAUCAGUUACUAUUGCCUUCCCCAAAUUGAAAUCACUCACAAUUUAUUCGAUGCUGGAAUUGGAGGAGUGGGAUUAUGAGAUUACAAGAACAGGAAACACCGUCAUCAACAUCAUGCCACGUCUUUCUUCCUUGACAAUUGUUGAUUGCACCAAAUUAAAGGCACUGCCCGACCACAUUCAUCAAACGACAACGUUGAAGGAAUUGAGCAUUUUUAUGUGUUGGCUUCUGAACAAACGUUACCGCAAGGGGAAAGGAGAAGACUGGCCUAAAAUAUCACACAUUCCCAACCUCCAUAUUGGGCUUUGACAAGUAAUUUCUUCUCUCACUCUGAUUUGCUUUGUUGUUGUUUUUGUUGAAAAGUUAAAAAGUUUGGUUGGAAAAGAAAAGUGAGCCACAUGCAUUGCUUUUGUUUUUCAAAGUCGGCACCAAAUUGCAAACUGUAUUUGGCAUUUGACAAUCCUGCACCAAAUGAAGAAAAAUGCAAAAGUUAGCAAAAUUUGUCAAAUUGACAGAGAUGGAGAUUGAUAAAUUGCAGAGGGAUUAGGUGGAAUAGUGCAUGCUUGAAGCCUAUAAAUUGAAGCCAUUUCUUCAUUCUAAAUAAUCCCAAAAUUGUUAAACUUAUAAGUUUCUAAGCUUUUGAGAGAAGUGAGAGAAGUGUGUCUGUGGAAUUUAUUUUUCCUGCAGAGUGUGAGAGUACUUGGUAUAUUUGGGUUUCUGGGAAGUGAGAUUCGUUACUCAAAUAUUGUAUUCUAUUAAUUGUUAAAUAAACAAUUAUUCUUUCUUACCUCCGUGGAUGUAGGUUUAAUUACCGAACCACGUAAAAUCUUGUGUCCUUUAUUUUUCAGUAAUUAUUUGGUGCGCUUGAUUCCGCAUUCCGCGCACAACAGUUUUUAAUCUAAUUAAGAAGCGAAAAUAGCAUUUUGAAUCAAACUCUAUAUCAGAAAUCUGCAAUACUUACUUUCUAAUAUUCUGAUUUUCAUAUCCUAUGAAUAUACGAUUUUUAAUUUGUGAGAUGGGUAACGUUACUGUAAAAGAUUAUUAAUGCAAUAUGAGUAAUUCUUUUGCAGGACAAGUGACCUACAUUUAGUUUGGCUUUGGAGUUGAAUAAUAACCUUUCGAGGUCCCGACAACCAAAAAACAAAGCUUAAUUUGCCACAGAUUGAACGUAUUGCCAUUAUUGACAAUUUUCUGCACAAGUGUGACUGAACUUAGGUUGAUGUCAAAAGAGGUAAAUUAUUGGCAUGCCUCACUAUUUUGACCAUUACAUGAUUCAUAAGUUUACAUUAAUUUUGAUUUUGAGUUGAGUGAUUAGUUUUCUAGGUUUGCUUACUUUAACUGGGUGACCAAUUUCUUGUAACUAAAUGUAUGAUGUGAUGCAGGAAGCAGGGCAGGAUAUGAAAAGAGAAGCUUAUUAGAGGAAGGAUUGCCAGUAACAGAAUCCAAAGAAAAAGAAACCAUUUCGAGGCAGCUGUUGGCAGUUGGCAGUGAAUGGAGCCCCUUGAAAAAAUUCCCAAGCCGUUGCACUGCAAUUACGAUCAUCCUCGGCCUCAGGUAAUUUCUUCUCCUGCAUUUUUGUUAUUUGCUAUCAAGUGACUAUUUUAAGUAUGAUUGCAUUAAGCUGCUGCUGGGAAAUUUGAGGUUUUGAUGACUGCCCAUGCUAUUGUCAGAAGCUGCGGUUCUUUUCAUCAGCCUGAACCUGGACCUGCCGCUAUGGAUAACUCAGGUUUUUUUUUUUUUUUAAUCAACUGCCAUCUUUUCCACUGUUUAGAAACUCUUAAGAUUAAACUUUAGUAAAGUUGUUUUAGUUAUCCAUGUAAUCAGGCUGAGGAUACUUAGCUGCCUAUUUAAGCAAAUGUCAGAAUUUAGUUUGUUCGCUGGGAACUGGUGUGGACUGGCAAAGGAUGAUGAGAUAGUUUUUUGAGUGAGUAAAUUUUGGGAGCUUGAGUGUAUUGGGAUUUGCAAUUACAAUCAUCGUCUGCCUCAGGUGAUUUCUUCUCCUGCUCUAUCAUUGUUUGUUCUCUAAUUCAAAAGCAUAAAAUAUUUCAAUCAAUUUUUAUGCCAGGAAUAUGCAAAAGUUUCUAAUAUUUUAUUUCCAUCUGUUACAAGAUCAAACUGAAGUAGAACUCAAACAAAAGUAUGCUACUUCUUGCGGAAAUCUUGCCUUUGUUCAGAUUAUGAAACCAUUUCCAUGCAGCAAAUUCAUCCAAAAGUUUGAAUAAGUUUCAUGGUUGGACACUGUUGGCUUCUUUUUCUUCUGGGGUGCAUUUAGGUGCUAUCAAGUGACAGCUGUAAGUAUGAUUGCACUAAGCUGCCGCUGGGAAAUUUGAGGUUUUGAUGGCUGCCCAUGUUAUUUUCAAGAAACUAUUGAUGUAAGAAGCUGUGGUUCUUUUCAUCAGCUUGAACCUGAAACUGUCGCUAUGGAUAACUCAGGUUUUUGUUAUCAACUAUAUCAUCUUUUUCACUAUUUUGAAACUCUUAAGAUUAAACUUUAGUAAAGUUGUUUCAGCUAUUCAAAUGAAAAACUCAUUGAUUUGAGACUUCCUUCAUUAUUGUUUCUAAUUACAAUGCUAACGAUCUAGAUAAAAUAAUAUUUAAUCGGCGCAGGUGUCCCUUGGAAGUACAUCCAACUUUUUCUUUUAUUAUAUAAAUUCUUGCAAUGAGCUUAGUGAAGCUGUUGUGCUAAUCAUGCCACUGCAUAAUUUGGCCCCUAAUGUGGGUACUCUGUUACAUUGUUCUGCAAAUUCUCCAGAAGUUAAAAUCAAUAAAUUUUCUAUUAGCUCUAGUGCUUUGACCUAAAUGCUAUUCUAUAUUUUGAUUACAAUGUUUUAACCUUUAAAUUAACUACCCCUAGAUGUUGGAUUUUCUAGAACUUCAAAAUGAUUAAUGGAGAAAGAUCCCAUUAUCGUUAUUGCUAUAAGAAAUUGAUUUAUGCAUCCAAAGAUACAUUAUAUAUUUCUGUGUCUCUAUUUGUAGAUGACAUUUAAGCAUCCAUAAACCGUCAGACAGAGGAAGGGUGAUGGGUGUCGAAGCCAACAAAAAUAAAUUCCUACUCUAAAUAAAUUGUGUAUAGUGAUUGAGCAGGGUCGUGUCCACAGAGAUCGGUAAUUAAUUAAAUCCUUUUGAAACGUAAAACAUAAAAUGGGGGAAUUGUUGACAAUAAUAAAAAUCAAAUUAAAAUAACAAGAAUGCAAAUUAAAGUUGUAAUUCAAAUUAGAGAAAGCUCUGGUUGAAGGAAUUAACUCAGCUUGAUUCGACUACUGAUCAUUGAUUCAAAUAUAGAUUAUUAUUACUCAUGAAUAGACCGGUUAUAGCUACUGAGACCCUCUAAUAGCCAAUCUCUCCUUAACUAGUCGAUAACCAAGGUACGACCAUUGGUUAUUUCCCUAAUCAAUAGACAACCCUAGAUACGAUCAUAGAAUUUAAUCAAUUGACAGCCUGAAAAACCAGAGAGACCCAAAUCCUAAUCAACACAUAUGAUGAUUCAUUUAAAUUAGAUUGUUUAUUCUCACAACACAACUCUCUGCUAUGUUAUUUGUCACAAACAUUAAAUUCUUCAUACGAUGAAUCCUUUAAUUGACAAUAGAUUAAGUUGAUAAUUAAAUAGUGGCCAAUUACCUAAUUAACAAACAUAAUCAUGAAAAUAAUUCAGAGAAUAAACAAAUACCCAAAAAGUAAUAAAACAAUUAAAGCACAAGAAAGAUCUCACAGUAGUGAUGAAUCAAAGCUUCAUUAACCUUCAACCAGAAAAAUAGGUUUAGCUCUUCAUAGAGAGAAGAGAAAAAUUAGAUCUAGGGUUUCUUUCUUUUUCUCCAAUCCAAAAAUCCCCCUUUUUCACAAUAGAUUCCUCCCUUAAAUACUUUCUCUCUCUUCUCUUUUAGAAUUCUAUUUAAAAUAAAAUCCUAAUAUCUGAAAUAUUAAAUUCGUAAUUACAAAAAUAACCAAAAAUACAAAACACGUUAAACUAAAAACUGCAGGUCCGCAGUUGACAGCACGCGCCCACGCCUUAUCAACAAAGUUCUUCUGACGCUCAUAAUUUCUCCAAGAGAACAAUCAUCCUUAAACAUCAUCUUAUAGCUCAAUUUUAUCAUCAAUCAAUAGAAUUGCACCUACAAAAGUAAAACACAAGUAAAUCACUAUUAUUAAGUGCAAAACAUUGAUAUUAAGGGAAGUAAAUAAUGCAAAACUAGUGCAUAAAUUGCACUCUAACAAAGGGGGUUCAGUGCAAAGAUUCUGUUGACCUAGGGUUGACUGCAUAAUGUCACUUGUUCGCAAUCUAUUAUUUAUUUUAUAUUUUGAAGAAUUUAAUGGGUAAUCCUAAUUGUUUGUUUUGGCAGGUAUGUGUUGUUAUCUCCUUCUAUCUAACAGUCGUACCUAAAUAGCAUAGUUUCAUCUGUGUUACCAUGUGAUGUACAUAAUUUCACAUUUGCCUCAGAUUAAGCUUAAUUUCCCACAAAAUAGAGCUGUCGCGACUGGACUUAGGUUGAUGUCCAAAGAGGUAAAUUAUUGGCAUGCCUAGAUAAUUUGGCCAUUUCCUAAUUCAUAAGUCUACAUUAUUUUUGAUUUUGAGUUGACUGAUUUCUUUUCAAGGUCUGCUUCCUUAACGGAGUGACCAAUGUUUUUCAACUAAAUUUAUCAUAUGAUGCAGGAAGCAGGGCAGGAUAUGAAAUGAGAUCUCAUUGGUGGAAGUAUUGCCAGUAGCAGAACCCAAUGAAAAUGAAACUAUUUCAAGGCAGCAGUUGGCAGUUGCAAGUAAAUGGAGGCCCUUGACAAAAUUCUCAAGCGGUUGCAAUGCAAUUACGAUCAUCCUCAGCCUCAGGUAAUUUCUUCUCCUGCUUUGUAUUUAUUUGUUAUCUAAUUAGGAAGCGUAAAGUAUCUUGAAUCAUUUUCUGUAUCUGGAAUAUAUGCAAGAGUUUCUAAAAUUUUGAUAUGAGUGUAAUGAUGGUAAUUUCUGUUUUCUGUCUGUCAUCAAAUGUUAGAAAACUUUCAUUGAGACCCUUGAACCGAGUCAUUUUUGACAAGUGAAGGACAAUUGCUGAAGAGUGGGAAUGGUGCUAGAUUGGGGAAUAAAGACAAAGGAGGUAAAUUAUUUGCAGUUUAUUCAGCAUUAUUUGCUUUGGACCACCGCCUGAUUCACAAGUCUCCAUAAUUUGGCUUUUGAGCAGUUGUUAAUAAAUUUUUAAUUCCAUUGGUGCUAAAUGUGCACGUGAAGCAGGCAGAGCAGGACUGUGGAAAUGAGAAGGUUUUUAGUGAAAGCUUAAACUCAGGUAAUUCUAAAAAGUACAUGUUUUUGCUGAUUUAUCUAAAUCAGGAAGUUUUAUUUCCAUCUGUUACAAGAUAAAACAGAAACAGAACACAAAGAAAAAUAUUCUACUUCUUCUGGCAAUCUUGCCUUCAUUCAGACAAUGAAACCAUUUCCUUUCACCAAUUUCUUCCAAAAGUUUGAAUAAGUUUCAUGGUUGGACAUAGUUAGCUUCUUUUUCUUUUGGUGCAUUUAGGUCCUAUCAAGUGACAGCCAUAAGUAUGAUUGCAUUAUUGGGAAAUUUUAGGUUUGGAUGGCUCCCCAUGUUAUUGCCAAGAAAGUCCUCAUGUCAGAAGCUGCGGUUCUUUUCAUCAGCCUGAACCCGAACCUGUCGUUAUGGAUAACUCAGGUUUUUGUCAUCAACUAUAUCAUCUUUUUUACUGUUUUGAAACUCUUAAGAUUAAACUUCAGUAAAGUUGUUUCAGUUAUCCAUGUAAGCAGGCUAAGGAUAUUUAGCAGCUUAUUUAGGCAACUGCCAGAAUUGAGUUUGUUUGCUCGAAACUUGUAUGGUGACAAGGAUACUGGCAAGGAUAGUGAGAUAGUUUUUUGUGUGAGUGAAAUUUGAAAGCUUGGGUGUUCUGGGAUUUGCAAUUGCAAUCAUCCUCUGAGUCAGGUGAUUUCUUCUCCUGCUCUGUCUUGAUUUUCUCUCUAAUUGAAAGCAUAAAGUAUUUCAAUCAAAUUCUGUACCAGGAAUACGUAAAAGUUACUAAUAUUUUAUUUCCAUCUGUUCGCAUUGAUAACUCGGCGGCAUAUGUGUUGUGCGCGGAAUGCGGAAUCAAGCGCGCCAAAUAAUUAUAGAAAAAUAAAGGACACAAGAAUUACGUGGUUCGGUAAUUAAACCUACAUCCACGGAGGCAAGAAAGAAUAAUUGUUUAUUUAACAACUAAUAGAGUACAAUAUUUGAGUAACGAAUCUCACUUCCCAGAAACCCAAAUAUACCAAGUACUCUCACACUCUGCAGGAAAUAUAAAUUCCCCAGACACACUUCUCUCACUUCUCUCAAAAGCUUAGAAACUUAUAAGCUUAACAAUUUUGGGAUUAUUUCAAAUGAACAAUUUCCCUUCUAUAUAUAGGAACCGUAGCUCACCUACCACUUCCAAUUUGGCUACAACUUGCCGAAUUGAUAAAUUGAAUUUAGAAUGGAAAAUCAAUUUGGUGAGCAACAAAAUCAACAAGUUUGAAAAAUCAAUUGGCUUCUAGAAAAACAUCACAUUUUUCCUCCAUACAAUUUCAACAAAAUCGUCCCACCAACCAUGUCUUUUGAAAUUUGCAUGCCAUUCUUUGACUUGUUGUGCGCGGAAUGCGGAAUCAAGCUCACCAAAAAUUACUGCAAAAAUAAAGGACACAAGAAUUUACGUGGUUCGGUAAUUAAACCUACAUCCACGGAGGCAAGAAAGAAUAAUUGUUUAUUUAACAAUUAAUAGAAUACAAUAUUUGAGUAACGAAUCUCACUUCCCAGAAACCCAAAUAUACCCAGUACUCUCACACUCUGCAGGAAAGAUAAAUUCCCCAGACACACUUCUCUCACUUCUCUCAAAAGCUUAGAAACUUAUAAGCUUAACAAUUUUGCGAUUAUUUCAAAUGAACAAUUUCCCUUCUAUAUAUAGGAACCGUAGCUCACCUACCACUUCCAAUUUGGCUACAACUUGCCGAAUUGAUAAAUUGAAUUUAGAAUGGAAAAUCAAUUUGGUGAGCAACAAAAUCAACAAGUUUGAAAAAUCAAUUGGCUUCUAGAAAAACAUCACAUUUUUCCUCCAUACAAUUUCAACAAAAUCGUCCCACCAACCAUGUCUUUUGAAAUUUGCAUGCCAUUCUUUGACUUUUCAACAAUUCUCCACCUCGGCGAAAAUUUUCCAAAUCUGAGCCGACUACCAACUAACCAUCCCCAAAGUGAUCCUUCAAUAAGGAUCCAGAAUGGCUGUGUCGAUUCGACUGCCUACGUACCCAAACUGUCUUGAUUUUCUCUCUAAUUGAAAGCAUAAAGUAUUUCAAUCAAAUUCUGUACCAGGAAUACGUAAAAGUUACUAAUAUUUUAUUUCCAUCUGUUCGCAUUGAUAACUCGGCGGCAUAUGUGUUGUGCGCGGAAUGCGGAAUCAAGCGCGCCAAAUAAUUAUAGAAAAAUAAAGGACACAAGAAUUACGUGGUUCGGGAAGCAGUUGGCAGCAAAUUCAUAUGGAGUGUAGACAAUGAUGAGCAAAAAGGUGAUUCUCAAUUUCUUUUUUUUUUAAAGUGAAAUUAUUUGUUAGAUUGAAGCUGAUAUUGUAAGAAGGCCAUUGAGCUAACCUAUGUCGCCACUUGCCUAGAUUGCAGGGGGUCAAGACUCAAAAGAAGCACUGAAAUUUAAAAAGCAUGCAAUAGUUCUUUUGCCAUGUAUCAAUUAAUGCAAGUUUGAAUAAAAUUAACAUAUAUCAAGACACAACUAGAAACAUCAUACUUUCGUGUAAGUUCAUUUCAGAAUAUUUCUUAGAGUUUGUAUAAAAUGAAAAGAUUUUAAAAUAUAAAUUUAAUAUUUGUUUAUUACCGUUGUUUGGUCUAAUUUCCUCGGGAGAAUUUUCAGAAUUUAUAGGACAUUAGUUUAUAAUUUUGAAAUUUUGUAACCUAAAUGUUUUUUUUUUUCGGUUACCAUUUUGUUUUCCUGCUUUAUCUACGUGUAUGUUGACUAAAACUAAUCUAUUUUGUUAAACCUUUACCACUUUAGACAUUGCACUAAAUAUGAGUUCGUGAUGCUUGCAUUUUAUUGAUGCUGAUGAUUCGUUGAAUGUUUUAUGUUUUUGAUUUUUAAGUAUUCCGGAUCGAAGUUUGUGUCUACGCGGAAAUUGUAAAGGCAGCAUAUAAAGUACUCGUCGUUCUUUAGAUUUUAUUGAGUACACUUUUUUCACAUUUAGCGUAUGCUAUACACUACUGAUUUGCGCAUUGACAUAUAACUUAUUUUAUCAUUUUGAAUGAAUUGCACGGCGAGGCUUAUCAACUUUGGAUGAAUCCUCCAAUUGUCACAGUCCAAGACUGGCUGCAGUGAGUGAAAAUUUACCCAUAUAUAUGCUGGCUAUUUUUAUUGGCGACGAAUUCGUUGUAGUUGGUCCAUCUUGCUAUUCUCGGACAAUAUUAGAGAAAAUAAUCAUAUUAUUUCGCGUGAUGUGACCUUCCAUAACUUAUCAAUUGAAUUACUGUAAAAUUAUUGUGUAAGUUUAGGCCCAAUGGCACUUUAGUUCAUCACAUGAUAGCCUGGAUUUAAAUGGAAAACUAUAUUGCAUUGCUUCAAAAAAAUAAAUUAAUGUUUUUAAUAUGAAUAUUUUUAACUAUAUUCAGUUAAAAUAAUAUAUUCUUAAUAUUAAUAUUCAUAGAUGAAAUUCUUUUGCGGAUUUAAGAAUAAAAUAUCAAAUAGUUUUAUUUUUCUUUUGUUGUGUAACUUGGACCGAAAAAGAAAAUGAGCUUAACAUGACCCUCCUUCCGGCACUAUGCAUGUUUUUCUUGUAUUGAUGACAGUGCUCUUGGUGCUUCUCAUCUGCUUCUUGCUUUGGUUUCAAACAAGUCUUUCUCCGUCAAGACAUUUAUUGUAAUUUCAUUUGGAGACAUCUGUCGUUCAAAUAUAUUUCAUAUUCAAGCUGUUGAUAAUUCUGCUUGAGAAAGCCUACAAAGCAGCUGUGUGAUGUAAUGGAAGACUAUAUAUGCAAGCGGUCAUCAGUUUCUCUUGAAUUCUUUCUUGAGUUUCUUUGAAUUAUUUGUGAAUGAGUUCUUAAUCGGCUGCUGCUCUUCAGGAAAAGGAAAGUUUUGCAAACUGGUGAAGCUGAUCGAUAAAAGCAAUGUACCAUCUUUGCUGGCAUGGAUCGAUGCCAGUGAGUAGCUCAUUGGUGGAAGUAUUGCCAGUAACAGAACCCAAAGCAAAUGAAACUAUUUCAAGGCAGCAGUUGGCGCUUGCAAGUGAAUGGAGGCCAUUGACAAAAUUCUCAAGUGGUUGCGAUGCAAUUACGAUCAUCCUCAGCCUCAUGUAAAUUCUUCUCCUGCUUUGUUUUUAUUUGUUAUCUAAUUAAGAAGCACAAAGUAUCUUCAAUCAUUUUCUGUAUCUGGAAUAUAUGCAACAGUUUCUAAAAUUUUGAAACGAGUGUAAGGAUGGUAAUUUCUGUUUUCUGCCUGUCAUCCAAUGUUAGACAACUUUCAUUGAGACUCUUGAACAGAGUCAUCUUUGCUGGCAUGGAUCGAUGCCAGUGAGUUUUUUUAUUUGUCAACCUUUUUAAUAAUGCAUAUGUGUUUCUUCAACUUGAAGCGGCAUAUAAGACGAAAGAAGUGAUCUUUAUCCAAUUGCUCCAAAUUAUUUGCAAAUUACUGAACACGAAUGCUGAUGAAUAAACUGAUGGCUCUAUGUAUGUAUGCACAUGCAUGGAGAAAUUUUAAGUCAGACAUUGACUCGUGGUACCAAAUCAUUAAAUAAUCUUGAAAUCAAAGUAAUAAUUAAAUACAAAUAAAUUGCUCGAAUUGUACAUAUAUCUGAAUCAUGUAGUGAAGAAAAUACAACAACAACAGCCAAUGGCUCAAAUUCCCUAUCAACUUCUAGUCUCAACACUUUUGAGUGUCAGAAGCAUUACUCUGCUACUAGUUAACAAACAUAUAAUUAGUAAUUUGCCAUUCACUUCCCUUUUAGGCCUAACACAUUUUCUAUAAAAGAGCCACAGAGUGAACUCAGCAGGAAACACUCAAUUUCAACCUACGUAGGACCAGGAAUUUCAACCAAAAAAAAAGUGUGCAAUUGCUUAUCCUAUCCUAUUGCUACUAGAAAGAAAGUGAACAAUUAAUUUCAGUGAAUAAAUUAAAAAAAAAAUUACUUCUGCAGAUACUCAAGCUAAGAACACAUUAACCCAUUAAAGACUCCAAAUUGCAUCAAACAAAUUGUUGUUAAACAAGUAAAACAAAGAAAGAGAGUUAAGGAAGCUGACCAAGUAGUAGGGGAGCUGAAGAAAGACUGCCAGUGAAUGUAAGAGAAAAUAAAAUGCAAGAAAUGGUGAAGUGCAGCUUUUCAUGUCAACUUGAAAUUGAGUUUUCUGUUUUUUUUUUUUUUUUUAAUCUUUUGGAUUUUUCAAACAAAGAAAAUGAGGAGCAACCAGGGAGAUAAAAAGGGCGCCAAGGCAACUGUGUGUUGGGUUUAGAGCCAAAAAAAAAAAGAAUAAGACAUCGUGUUCUUGUGGAGACCAGACCUAUUACGUAACGUCCCCUUCAAUACCACUAGUUCCGUAUCUGGUUUUUUCUUCGUCUUUUACAUAGUUUGCAAUUUUAUUCAUUUGAGCCCUACAGAUGAUAUAAGGGACAAGAGCGCAAAACAGAAACUCUGUCCACUACUGAUGAUAUAACAACGAACCGGGGUUUUUAAUUAAAUACCCUUUAAUAGUUUCAAAAUUAUUUAAAUACCUCCUCCCUUUUUAGUUUUCAUGGAUACCCUAACAAAAUUAUUUAAAAAUGGUUCAAUUUUAUUCUACUCUCAGGAAUUAAGUGUUGGAUAGACUAGAAAAUUCUGAGUACAAAGCAUCGCUUGUUUUCGUUGGUUUUUUUUUUGCAUUCCAGUAGAAAGGUUGUGUACAAUUGAAUCUGAUAACUAUGGCAGGAGGUAAGUUUUCUAACUUGCGCAUGAUGAAUAUAGUCUUUUAUUUCUUCCAUUGUAAUUUUUGUUUAAUAGAAAAUCUAUUUGAGAUUUUGUGAGAAGAAACUCAACAAUAAAGUUUGAUAGACUUUGUGGAUAUUAAGAGUUUGACAAGUAAUUGAAAUCUGAAGUUUACUGAAGUUUACGAGCAAACAAACUGAAAUCCGAAGUUUACUGAAGUUUACUAUCAAGAGUUUCAAAACAGUGAAAAAGAUGAUAUGGUUGAUGACAAAAACCUGAGUUAUCCAUAGCGACAAGUAACAUACUGAAGUAAGCCGUGGGGAGCUGGCCUGUUCAUGGGCUAUUUUUCUCUGAUGAUCUGCAUUUUUCUUCCUUUUAAGUGAACCUUGACUCGUAUCAAACCUGUCAAAAGAACAGUUCAUCAACUGAGCUGAGAUUUGCUUUCCUUUUUCAAAACCCACCUGAGAUAUUGUAAUUCCCAAAUUUCUCUCUCUCAGCUACACGAGCAAGCAGCCGCUUUUUCACUUCAUCGACGAAGGUAAGCGAUAAUAUCUAUUUCGUCCGAUUGAUUUCUUGUUUCCUUUUCAGUGUUCGGGUAAAUUAUUGGCAUGCCUGACUUUUUGACCAUUACAUGAUUCAUAAAUUUAUAUUAAUUUUGAUUUUGAGUUGACCGGUUACUUUUAUUGGUUUGCUUACUUUGACUAGGUGACCGAUUUCUUGUAACUAAAUUUAUGACGUGAUGCAGGAAGCUGGGCAGGAUAUGAAAUGAGAAUCUUAUUAGUGGAAGGAUUGCCAGUAACAGAACCCAAAGAAAAUGAAACCAUUUCAAGGCAGCAGUUGGCAGUUGGGAGUGAAUGGAGGCCCCUGACAAAACUUCAGUAAACUUCAGAUUUCAGUUUGUUUGCUCGAAACUUGCAUGGUGACAAGGAUACUGGCAAGGAUAAUGAGAUAGUUUUUGUGUGAAUGAAAUUACGAUCAUCCUCAGACUCAGGUAAUUUCUUCUCCUGCUUAGUUGUUAUUUGUUACCUAAUUAAGAAGCAUAAAGUAUCUUGAAUCAUUUUCGUUGUCUGGAAUAUAUGCAACAGUUUUUAAAAUUUUGAUAUCAGUGUAAUGAUUGUAAUUUCUGUUUUCUGUCUGUCAUCGAAUGUAAGACAACUUUAUUAAGAUUCUUGAACCGAGUCAUUUUUGACAAUUGAAGAACAAGUGCUGAAGAGUGGGAAUGCAAAAAGUUUUGUUGUUUUUAGCCUUGUUUUCUUUGAACCAGCGCCUGAUUCACAAGAGUUCAUUAAUUUGGCUUUUGAUCAGCUGAUUGAUAAAUGUUCAAUUUCUUUGGUGAUAAAUGUAUAUGUGAAGCAGGCAGCAGGGCAUGACUGUGGAAAAGAGAAGAUUUUAGUGAAAGCUGAGACUCAGAUAAUUCUACGCGUUUUGGCUGAUUUAUAUAAUUCGUGAAAUUUUAUUUCCAUCUGUUACAAGAUCAAACUGCAAUUAGCAAUUUAACAUUCCCUUAAAACCACUAGCUACAUUUCAUCUUUGCACAAUUACACUUAAAAUUCCACUAAAAGAAACUCUUGAGUUGCUCGCAAGCUAUAUGUCAUUAUCCAUUGAAUUCUUACCACAUACAUCUCACCUUUCAAUCAAUCACAUAAUAAUCAAUAUACAUAUUGUAAGAAUUCAACAAAUGGAGAACAUAAUAUACUAUAAAAGCAUCCAAAAUUUUUCCAUCUCAAAUUAUUACUAAACUUCUUGAACAAGUUGAAGAUUGGGGGGAAAAAGUGCAAGAAGGAAAAGCAUUAUUCUACUAGUUUCUAGGUUUCUCAUUUGAACAGAAAGAUUAAAUAAGAUAUUUGUGUAUGGCUGUAGUACUACACGGUAUCUGCUAGAAAGCAAAAUACCUUCUGCUGAUUGCACAUUGGAAUGGGAAUAAGUUGGUAAAUAUAUAAGUUACAUAAAUUAUUUUGGAUAAUUCUGCUGGUGAAUUAAUUAUCUUAAAAUCACCCUUUUAUUUUUUAAAAAAUCUUAAGUUAUUUUUCAUAUAUCUUAGGAAGACAAACAAACUUUCAUCAACUCUCCUUUUUUAGCUUUUCCCUUCAAUAAUGUUAGAAAUUCUAACAUUUGAGUCCUGCUUGAGCUUAAUACUAUUUAUCACUCAUUUAUUAGAUGAUGAAUUUUUUAAAUUAUAAAGUUAUUUGACUACCAUUCAAUGAAUGAAUGUCACAUCAUUUAAAACUCAAAGAAAAGUAUUCUACUUCUUGCGGCAAUCAUGCCUUCAUUCAGACUAUGAACCAUUUCCUUUCACCAAAUUCUUCAUAAACAUUGAAUAAGUUUCAUGGUUGGACAUAGUUAGCUUCUGUUUCUUUUGGUGCAUUUAGGUGCUAUCAAGUGACGGCCGUAAGUAUGAUUGCAUUAUUGGGAAUUUUACGAUUUGAUGGUUCCCCACGUUAUUGCCAAGAAAGUUCUCAUGUCGGAAGCAGCGGUUCUUUUCAUCAGCCUGAACCCGAACCUGUCGCUAUGGAUAACUCAGGUUUUUGUCAUCAACUAUAUCAUCUUUUUCACUGUUUUGAAACUCUUAAUAUUAAACUUACAGUAAACUUCAGAUUUCAGUUUGUUUGCUCGAAACUUGUAUGGUGACAAGGAUACUGGCAAGGAUAAUAAGGUAGUUUUUUGUGUGAGUGGAUUUUGAGAGCUUGUGUGUAUAGGGAUUUGCAAUUACAAUCAUCCUCUGCCUCAGGUGAUUUCUUCUCCUGCUCUGUCUUUAUUUGCUCUCUAAUUGAAAAGCAUAAAGUAUUUCAAUCAAAUUCUGUACCAGGAAUAUGUAAAAGUUCCUAAUAUUUUAUUUUCAUUUGUUUGCAUUGAUAACUUGACGGCAUAUGUACUAGUUAAAGAACAAACAGAAUCAGAGCUCAAGAAAAAGUUUUUUCUGCCAUCAUAUUUGAAAAUGAAGUCAUUUGCAGGAAGCGGUUGGCAGCAAAUUCAUACAAAGUGUAGACAAUGAUGAGCAAAAAAGGUGAUUCACAGUUUGAUUUUUUUUUAAUAAUGAAAAUAAUUUGGUAGGUUGAAGCUGAUAUUGUAAGAGGGCCAUUGAGCUAACCUAUGUCGCUACUUGCCAAGAUUGCAGGGCGUUAAGACUCAAAAGAAGCACUGAAUUUUAAAAGGCAUGCAAUAGUUCUUGUGCCAUAUGUCAAUUCAUGCAAGUUGGAAUAAGUUUAUUGGUUUGAACGCUGUUAGCUCCUUUUCCUUUCGUGCAUUUUGGUAUGCUAUCAAGUGACAGCCGUAUGUAUGGUUUGCAUAUAGCUGCUGCUGGGAAAUGUGAGGAUUUCAUGGCUGGCCGUGUUAUUGUUUUAAAUUAGAUGUGAUAAGCUGUUGCUUGGAGAUUCUGUUGCCAAGACUUUGCUCACAUCAGAAGCUGUGGAACCUCAACCCUUCUCUAGAUAUCAUCUUUUUCAUUGUUUUAAAACUCUCAGGAUUAAACUUGAGUAAAUUUGUUCGGUUGUCUAUAUAAUCAUGUAUUGAGUAAACUCUCAGGAUACCGAGCAGGCAAAUGCCAUAACUCGGUUUGUUCUUCAAAAACUUGUUUAAGAUUCUUGACAAAGCUGCAUGAAGUGAAUCUUGGGAGCUUUGAGGGUGAGAGAAAUUAGAGGGUGUAUAGGGAUUUGGGUUUAUUAGUAAGUUAUAUAUGUAUUUCGUCACUUAUCAUUAUCAUUUUUAUUUUCACAGAAAACCUUCUGAUGGUGCUAAAUUUUCAAACACCGGUCCGAUUCAAAACUUCAUAUUCCAAUUAUAUUCAUAAGACAAAUGGAACACUUUGAACGGCUAGUGUCCGAGCAUUGUAGUUUGAUUUAUUUUGAUGAAAGUACCUUUUGACAUUGAGAUUCUUUCAUGAUUUAAACAUUCUUUUUUAAACCAAAUUAUUAAAAAAAGUAACUAACAUAUAUUAUUUUAUUAGUGCUUUUUAAAUCAAAUAUACAUAGGAGAACUGUAAUUCUUAGCAAUCAAUUUUUCACUAAAUACACCUGCAAUAAACUAUUAAUAACAAAGUGAUAGAAAAUACCUGAUUUUUCAUACUUUCUAAUUUCUUGUGGUCCUAAAAUAUGGGCAUUUGUGUAAUAAUUAGCCCAUGUGGAUCUCUAUGCCAUGAGUUUGAUAAAUAGCUAUCAAGGAUCACUUAUUAAGCUGAAAAUAUUUGGAGGACAAAAUUGUAAAACUAAAAGGGUAGAGCAAAUAUGGCUAUCUAGGAUUAAAUAGUAAGUCAACUAUAUUUAAAGGAUAAAAUGUUAAAACUUGAACUGUGAUAUUAAAAAUAUCUCAACUAUUACAUUAUUAAACCAUAUGUUCUAAUAGUUUUUUUUUAAGCUUCAAAAUGUUCAGGAUUUUAGAUUGAAACAUUUUCAUUUGAAAUUAUUUGGUGCAGUCACAAGUUAAGAAAGAAAAAGUUGUCCCAUUGGUCAUUUCACAAAAAUGAAAGCCCUGUAUAACAUGGACUUGAAUGGAAGCCCAAUUGUUUGUGUUUGAUUAAUUGAUUUCAAGCUUUAUCGGAUCUUUGGACCUGGAUACUUUACCGCGGCCUCUAAGCGCUAUAAUUUUUUUUUUUUUGGGAUAAACGGCGCUUCAAUGAGGGCAUUUCCAAUACUUAACACUAUUUUGGUGUAACACCAACACUAAAAAUGUACAUUUUUCACACUAAAUUACUAUUUAAUCUCCAACCCAUUUGAUCUACCAUGAUUGUGACUCCCACUGGGGCCACGUUCUGUUGAUCACCCUCUCGUCACCGAUAGCGCCUCCGCUUGUGGCGAACUUGCUUGUCUAUUUUCCCUAUUUUUCCGCUUACUCUCCUCAUUUAAUACGGAGGCUGCAACAUCAUCGAAAACUAGACUGUCCACUGAAUUGUAGUUUGUCAGGUUGACGAUGAGUUGUUCAUACGAAUCUUAUAGACUUUGAAGUAGAAGCUCUGCAUGUACAUUAUCCUCUAUAUUAUGACCCAACGUUGUGAGUUGUGAAAAUAGAGUCUUCAAGGUGUUGAUGUGGUCGGUCACCAUUGUAGAUUCCACCAUUCGAAGAGUAUAAAGUCUCCUCUUCAAAAAGAUUUUGUUGUGUAGUGACUUGGCCUCGUACAAUUUUGUAAGAGUAUCUCAUAUUUCCUUUGCUGUAUUUUUCUCUGCCACACUGGAUAAUACUCCAUCCGCAAGUGCCAAGUGUAGAUCAGAAAUAGCGUUGCCAUCUAUCUCAUUCCACUUGUCAUCAGUUAUCUCCAUGGGCCUUUCUCCAAUUGCUGCCAAACAAUUAUUUUUCCUCAAUACAACUUUCAUCUUCAUUUUCCACAAUGAAAAAUUAUUUCCGUUAAACUUCUCAAUUUCAUAUUUUGCUGCCAUUUUUUUGAUAAAUACCGCACACAAGUUAGUGUAUCACCUUGAAUAGUUGUCGGUAUGUGUGAGAAUGCACACCAGGAAAGUUCCCAGGAAAGACUGGAGGGGUCACACUGGUCCACUUAAAACUCAGACUCCUUAAGCACUUAUCGCGUUUGUAACAGAACUUUCCUAGACAUGUACAAAACCACACAGUUGCUUUUACUUACACCACUAUUUCCUACUUUGCAGUGCAAAAGUUCUUGGAUCGCUCCCAUCGUUUCUCGUGAACAGUACCAUAUACGUGAACAGUGCCACAUACAUGAAUAGUACCGUAUACGUGAACAGUACCGUAUACGUGAAUACUACCCUUUACGUGAACAGUACUUGACUCCAAAAAAUUCAACCAAUAGCUUUGAUACCACUGUUAGGAAAUUGGUAGGUGAAGCAGACACGCAGCUAAAAUAAAAUUGGAAGAAAAUAAAGAACAAGUACAAAGUGGACACCAAGAAAUUACGUGGUUCGGCUUUUAGCCUACGUUCACGGGCGAAGAUAGAAGGAAAAUAUUAUACUAGUGAUAUGAAGAUUACAAGUAUUGUAAUAUUUUGGCUCACUAUCCAAAACCCCAAUACACUCAAUCUCUCACUCAAUAAACUCUCAGGAGCUUUAUUAUUUUAAGCUCUUAAAAUCUCUCAAGCUUUCUCCUUAUUAUUCUCUCACAAAUUGUAUGCUAAAAUUAGGGUGGGAAGCCCUCUUUAUAUAUCCAAGAUUUUGGCUCUUUUUUUUUUAUAUAACAAGUCAACACGGCACCAUUAAGAAUGGCGAGCCAUGUUGAAUGGCAUGGCACCGCCCAUCUAGAUGGCCGGUGCCAACCAUGACUUUAACAUUCUAUCACUUGGAGAUUUGAUUGAGAAUCAAUCAAUCUCCACAUCAUCCUUUCUACUUCGCCAUAAUCAUGUUGCCUACGUUUUUACUAGGCCACAAGAGGAUCUACUCCAGUUAAACUUAUCAAUAUUGAUUGGCUUAGUCAAAACAUCUGCUAGGUUCUCCUUCGUAUGGAUUUUUGCAAAUUGACACUUCCAUCUUCCACUACUUCUCGAACGAAGUGAUACUGAACUCCUAUGUGCUUUGUCUUGGAAUGAAAGGCUGGAUUCCUUGCAAUGUGCAAGGCACUCUGACUGUCACAAAACACAGGAAUUUUCUGUUGUUUGUGCCCGAGCUCCUCCAAUAAUCUUUGUAUCCAAAUAGCUUCCUUGCAAGCUUGUAUAGCUGCCAUGUAUUCUGCUUCUGUUGUAGAUAAAGCCAGAACGGUCUGCAGUUUCCAAACCCAACUUACAACUCCUCAUGCAAAUGUAAACACAUAACUAGUAGUGGAUUUCCUUUUAUCAAGGUCUCCUGCAAAAUCUGAAUCCACAUAGCCCCUGACAGUAAACUCUGAUCCUCAAUAACAUAAUACAACAUCUGAGGUUCCUCUUAUGUAUCUCAGAAUCCUCUUCACAGCUAUCCAAUGCUGUCCACCAGGAUUCACCAUGUAUCGACUGAUUGCUCCCACUGCUUGUGCAAUGUCUGAUCUUGUACAUAUCAUAGCGAACAUCAAACUUCCCACUGCUGAUGCAUACGGUACUUGAGACAUCUCCUUCCUCUCUGCUUCAUUGCUAGGACACAUACUUGAGGAUAAUUUGAAAUUAACAGGAAGUGGGGUAGAAAUUGACUUACAAUCUUGCAUGUUGAAGCGCCACAAGAUUUUCUUCAAGUAGUUAUUCUCAGAAAGCCAAAUCUUUCUGUUAUUUCUGUCUCAGUGAAUUUGCAUCCCUAGAAUCUUGUUUGCUGGUCCCAAGUCCUUCAUUUCAAACUCCCUAGCCAACAGUGCCUUCACUUCUUGGAUUCGAUCUUUGUCGGGGCCUGCUACCAACAUGUCAUCCACAUAUAACAACAAAAUAAUGAAAUCAUUAUCUUCAAACCUUUUGUAAUAUGCACAAUGGUCUGAACUGAGUCUGUUAUAUCCAAGACUCAUGAUGAAGGAAUCAAAUCUCUUAUACCAACACCUCGGCGCCUGUUUGACACCGUAUAGAGAUUUGUUCAACCUACAAACCAAGUUUUCCUUUUCUGUUUCUGCAAAACCUUCUGGUUUGAGCAUAUAAAUUUUCUCUUCAAGUUCUCCAUGAAGAAAUACAGUUUUCACAUCUAACUGCUCUAGAUGUAGGUCAAAUAUAGCACACAUUGCCAAGACUACUCUGACUGUUGUGAGUCGAACCACCGGAGAAAAUAUCUCGUUGAAGUCAAUACCUUCUUUCUGAGCAUAUCCUUUCACCACCAAUCUUGCACGAUACCGCUCCACUUGAUCAUUGCCAUCACGUUUGAUCUUGUAGACCCAUUUGUUUCCAAUGACUUUUCUUCCAUGUGGUAGUGGUACAAGUUCCCAUGUCUUAUUUUUAUGUAGAGCUUCAAUUUCUUCCUGCAUUGCUGUCAUCCACAAAGCAACAUUUGAACUUUCUAAAGCUUCAUGGAAAGUUGAUGGCUCUCCAUCCUCUGUUAGAAGACAGUAUGCAACAUGGAUCUCUGUGACAUACUCCGAGUGCCACGCUGGCGAUCGUCUCUCACCAAUUGACCAAAGAACUUCUGGAGUCUCAGACUCGACUGGUUCUUGUUCCUCGUGCUCUGGUGCUGCUUUAGAAGAAUCUGAAUCUUCUAGAUUAUUUCCACAUAUACCGGCACAGUUUCUGACUUUUCUUUUACAGUGUCAUCAUCUCCAUCUUUCCUUUACAGUUGAUCUUCUACAAAAAUAACAUCUCUGUUGAUGACGAUCUUGUGGGCAGUGGGGUCCCACAAACGAUACCCCUUUACUCCAUUAGCAUAUCCCAAGAAGAUACAUCUUCUAGAUUUUGGAUCCAGCUUUGUUCUUUCUUACGGAUUGUACAUCACAUACACAGGACAUCCAAAUGCAUGUAAGUAGGAAUAAUCAGCUGGCUUUCCAGUCCACAUCUCCACGUUGUCUUCAGCCCAAUAGCUGUAGAUGACGACUGAUUUACUAUAUAACAAGCAGUUUUGGCUGCUUCUUCCCAAAAUGAAUUGGGUAGACCAGCAGUCCUCAACAUAGCUCUUAUUCUUUUGUAAGAGUUUUGUUCAUCUACUCCGCCACUCCAUUUUGUUGAGGAGUGUAUGCUACCGUGAACUGUCUAUGAAUACCUUCUUACUUACAGAAAGCAAGAAACUCACCGUCUGUAUACUCUCCACCAUUAUCUGUCCUCAAGCACUUGACCCUUUUACCAGAUUCAAGUUCCACCCGCGCUUUGUAUUCUUUAAAUACUGGAAAUAUAAUUGACUUUUUCAUAAUUGGAUACACCCAACAUCUCCUGGAAUAAUCAUCAAUGAAAGUCACCAUAUACUUUGCACCUCCCAUGGAUAUAUCCAGUGAUUCCCAAACAUCAGAAUGAAUCAAGUCUAAAAUGCAUUUACUUCUAGCAAUAGAUUUACUGAAUUUUAAUCUAUGCUGCUUACUUGUAACACAAUGCUCGCAAAAUGGUAAACUUACCGAUUUAAGCCCCGGAAGUAAUUUUCACUCAGAGAGAAUCUUCAAACAUUCUGACAUGUGACCAAAUUUGAGAUGCCACAUCAUCGUUGACUCUUCUCCAUUUGAUACGAGACACGCAUUAGCCUCCUAUAGUGUUUCUCCUUUAAGCAUGAAUAGAUUAGCACCGAUCUUUUCUGCCUUCAUCAAUACAAGCGCUCUUUUAACAAUUUUCGUAAUUUCAUUCUCCAUAUGAGUUUUAUACCCAUGACUAUCCAUUUGUCCCAAAGACAAUAGAUUUUUAUUCAGGUCAUUGACAUGUCGUACCUCCCCAAUUGUGCGAAUUGUACCAUCAAAAUUUUUAUUUUGAUAGUGUCAAUACCAGCGAUCUCCAAGGUAUGAUCAUUACCCAUAUAUAUAGAUCCUCCUGAGAUAUGUUCAUAUGUGUGGAACCAUUCUCUCCGAGAGGUCAUGUGCCAGGUAGCUCCUGAGUCUAUAAUCCAGACAUCAGAUAGUCGUUUUCUACCUUCUAAAACAGUUGUUGCCUCGCUUUAGAGAAUUUCACCAUUAUCUGAAGUACUUGCUACACACCCUUGAGCAUUUGAUGACUCAGGUUAUUUGCCCUCUCUUCUCUUCUGGUUACUCCAACACUUUUUCUUGACGUGCCCUUUCUUGCCACAGUUGUAGCAUUUAACAUUCUUCUUACUUCUGGAUUUUGAUCUACCAUGAUUAUGACUUCUACUGGGGUCACGUUCUGUUGAUCUCCCUCUCGUCACCAAUAGCGUCUCCGCUUGCUGCGAACUUGCUUGUCUGCUUUCAUUAUUUUUCCGCUUACUCUCCUCAUUUAAUACGGAGGUUGCAACAUCGUCGAAAACUAGACCGUCCGCUGGAUUGUUGUUUGUUAGGUUGAUGAUGAGUUGAUCAUACGAAUCUGGUAGACUUUGAAGUAGAAGCUCUGCAUGUACAUUAUCCUCUAUAUUAUGAUCCAACGUUGUGAGUUGCGAAAAUAGAGUCUUCAAGGUGUUGAUGUGGUCGGUCACCAUUGUAGAUUCCACCAUUCGAAGAGUAUAAAGUCUCUUCUUCAAGAAGAUUUUGUUGUGUAGUGACUUGGCCUCGUACAAUUUUGUAAGAGUAUCUCAUAUUUCCUUCGCUGUAUUUUUUUCUGCCAUACUGGAUAAUACUCCAUCCGCAAGUGCCAAGUGUAGAUAAAAAAUAGCGUUGCCAUCUAUCUCAUUCCAUUUGUCAUCAGUUAUCUCCAUGGGCUUUUCUCCAAUUGCUGCAAAACAAUUAUUUUUCCUCAAUACAGCUUUCAUCUUCAUUUUCCACAACAAAAAAUUAUUUCCGUUAAACUUUUCAAUUCCAUACUUUGCCGUCAUUUUGUUCAUAAAUACCGCACACAAGUUAGUGUACCACCUUGAAUAGUUGUCAGUAUGUGUGAGAAUGCACACUAGGAAAGUUCUCAGGAAAGACUGGAGGGGUCACACUGGUCCCACUUAAAACCCAAACUCCUUAAGCUCUUAUCGCCUUUGUGACAGAACUUUCCUAGACAUGUACAGAAUCACACAGUUGCUUUACUCACACCACUAUUCCCUGCUUUGCACCGCAAAAUUCUUGGAUCGCUUCCACCGUUUCUCGUGAACAGUAUCGUAUACGUGAACAAUGUCGUACAUGUGAAUAGUAUCAUACAUGUGAAUAGUAUCGUAUACGUGAACAGUACCGUAUACAUGAAUACUACCCUUUACGUUAAGAAAUUGGUGGGUGAAGCAGACACGCAGCUAAAAUAAAAUUGGAAGAAAAUAAAGAACAAGCACAAAGUGGACACCAAGAAAUUACGUGGUUCGACUUUUAACCUACGUCCACGGGCGAAGACGGAAGAAAAAUAUGAUACUAGUGAUAUGAAUAUUACAAGUAUUGUAAUAUUUUAAUUUACUACCCAGAACCCCAAUACACUCAAUCUCUCACUCACUAGACUCUCAGGAGCUUUAUUAUUUUAAGCUCUUAAAAUCUCUCAAGCUCUCCUUAUUAUUCUCUCACAAAUUGGAUGCUAAAAUGAGGUGGGAAGCCCUCUUUAUAUAGCCAAAAUUUUGGCUCCUUUUUUUUUUUUAUAACAAGUCAACACGGCACCACCAAGAAUGGUGGGCCGUGUUGAAUGGCAUGGCACCGCCCAUCUAGAUGGCCGGUGCCAACCAUGACUUUAACAUUAUAGUCCAAGUUUUCGAGGACCACUAUAUUGUAUUGAUUUAAAAAAAACUAAUAUUUUUAAUAUUAAUAUUCUAAAUUAUAUUCAGUUAAAAUAUUAAAUAUUAAAAACAUUCUUAAUAUUAAUAUUCUUAGAUGAAAUUAUUUUGCUGACUUAAGAAUAAAAUAUUAAAUAAUUUUAUUUUUCUUUUAUUGUGUAACGUGGACCAAAAAAAAGGAAAUGAAUUUAAUAAAACCUUCAUUCAAAACCUUCAUUCCGCCACCAUGCAUGCAUGUUAAUUGUUUCCAAAUUCCAACCUCCGUACUCUCUUGAGGAGUUUCCCAUUCAUCAAUUAUUAUUUUUUAUAAUCCAUACCAUCCUGAUAUAAUUAAACACCAUUAAUAAUGUACCAGCCUUUAAAUAGUAAUUAAUUUAUUUAGUUGGCCACCUAAAAGAAUCCUGCAGGAAAUAGAGGUUAAAAAUUUUAUUAAAUUUGCUUACCGCUGUAUCAUUAUAUAUAUAAAGAGUGAAAUCUAAAUGAAAUUUUUUAUCAUCCAUUCAGCAAACACUUAUAAUUCACAAAUAGUGAAUCUAUGCAUUGACAAUGUGGAUUAAGAAUUAUAACACAUGAAUUCAAACAUACCCUUGUGAAGUUAAGAAUAAGUUCAUACUUCAAAUGAUUUUUUAGCUAAUAAAGCAAUCAGUUUCAUUAAACGACAGCGUUGAAGGAAUUGUGCAAUUUUUUACGUUCUUUUCUAGACAGACGUUACAGAAAUGGGGUAAGUAGAGGGCUGGCCUCAGAUAUCUCACAAUUGUUAGUGAGAUAAAAUGUUAUUGUAAAAGGCGUUUAAUAGAAUAAUAUUAAUUCUUUUGCAUUGUUAUAAAAAUAUUUUUUUCUUUUGACAGUUCUGCAGGACAAGUGAUCAGAGCUCAAUGAAUAUAGCCGUGGAGGCACAGCAGAGCAGGAUUAUGAAAAAGAGAAGCUUAUUACAGGUCAUUCAAGUUUACUUGCUUUUAUAUAAUAAGUGUUUUGGCCGAUUUAUCUAAUUCACCAAAUGUUUUUUCCGGUACAUAUCUCCAUUGGUAUCAAGAAGAGGCAGAACCCAAAGAAACGUUUCUUGCAUCUUCAUAUUUGUGCGCAUUCAUCCUUUCAUUGAGAAUAACCAUUUCCAGGCAGCAGUUGCCAAUCAAUUCGCACGUCGAUGCUAUUCAUAGAUAUUAAAGACAAUGAUGAACCAAAGGUGAUAAAUCAUAAAUGCAUAAUUACCAAACCUCCAUCCUUCUCUCAUUAUGAUUUGAUUUUAAAUGAAUUAUUGCUUGGUAACAUUAUUUCCAACCAUUGCAAGACCUUUUUUUUUUUUUGGGAGAAAUUUCAAUUGAAAGUGAAACCUUUAGACAUUUACCUAAUGAAGUUAGUUAAUCGGGAGGGUGGAAAAAAAAAAGUUGACGCAAGUCAAUACACAAUAAUGAUUAAUUAAAUCCGGAGUGACUAAAACAGAGCCACUACUUUUUCAAAAAUAUCUGCAUUCAUCACUUUCUCCAGCAGCUAGUCAGCUACACACGAAUCAAUUUCUCUCCUCGUUUGUCAUCCAAAAUUAUUCACCAAUACCAUGGCUGAUGCAAUCGUUUCCACUAUCUUGGAGCAGCUGAUUUCCUUCGCUGCUGAAGAGAUAAAACAACAGGUGAUCGAAGUUACACCCCUCAUAUUACAAAUACUUCCAAUGAUUUUAAUUGGUUUUGUUUUUAUCAAAAACAUUAUAUAUUUUUGCUUUUUUUUAUUUAUCUGAUAAUUUUAUAUUUUGAAAUUUGAAUUGAAUUUAAUUAAAAGGUGAUGUAGUAACCACUCAUUUUUAUUUUAUUUCAUUUAUAUUCUCGAUAACUAACCAUAUUUUGGUAACUUAAUAUAACUCUCGUACAUAAGAAAUGAUCCAAACCCACAAUUUUAACUCUGUAUAAAUAUUCAACGUUGAGUCAUUAAUUCUCAACUCAGCACUGAAUCCCAUAGCUAUUACUUAGACUCUAUGAAAAAUUUCAUAGUUUUCUUACAUUCUUUGAGUUUGGUAAGUGAUUUCGUAUAAUUUCUUUUCAAGUUAAAUUUUAAUUUGGUUUAUGAUAUAGUCUCUGUGCCGAAUUGUAUCUUUUAUGAUUCUUGGAUUUUGGGCUCCAACUUUUUAGGAUUUGAUAGUCACAUUUUAUGCCAUGCUCAGAUUGAUUUUCAUGAUUUUAACUACCCGUUAAGUGGCUUACAAUUUGACAAAAGUUUGAAAGGAAAUAUGUUUCAGGAUUCUGUUUUAAUUGACCUUUAAGUAGAAAUAGGAUGCUUAUAACUUAAUGUGGAUGGUUUGUAAAAUCAUGAAAUUCGGAUAGGAUUCACUAGAAAUAUGUACAAGACUCUCCAUAAAGUUUCAUAAUUUUUCAUUCGGUAUGGGGUGGUACAGGUGAAACUUGUGGUUGGUGUUGAAAAAGAAGUGAAAAGCAAGUUGUGCUCGAUGAUGCAGAGGAAAAGCAAGUGAAGGACAAAGCUGUUAGUCUUUGGCUGGGUAGACUCAAGUACGCAUCCUACGACAUUGAAGAUGUGUUGGAUGAGUGGAUCACAGCAAGACGCAAAUUGCAAAUUGAGGGUGGCGUUGAUGAAAAUGCUCUUGUUGUUCCUCAUAAGAAAAAGAAGGUAUGUCUCUACUUUCCCGGCUCUUGUUUUGGAUUCAAACAAGAAGAAUUUGGUUUCAAACAAGUCUUUCUCCGUCAUGACAUUGCCGACAAGAUCAAAGAAAUCAAUGAAGAGCUACAUGAUAUUGCCGCUCAAAAAGACAUGUUUGAUCUUGUUAAGAGUGGCAAUAAAAGUAGUGAAAGACCAAGGCGUGUACAGAGUACCUCCUUGAUUGAUGAAGAAGAGAUUUGUGGCAGAGUUGGUGAGAGGAAUGAACUCUUAAGCAAGCUGUUGUGUGAGAGUAGCGAGCAACAAAAAGGCCUUCAUAUCAUCUCAAUCGUUGGUAUGGGAGGCAUAGGGAAAACAACUCUUGCACAACUAGCUUGUAAUCAUGACGAGGUGAAGAGAAAGUUCGACAAAAUUCUGUGGGUGUGUGUAUCAGAAACUUUUGAGGAGUUUAGGGUUGCCAAAGCGAUCGUUGAAGUUUUGGAUGGUCGUGAAUCUCAUUUAGCUGAAUUCCAUUCUCUUCUUAUAAGUAUUGAUAAAUCUAUUGCGGGAAAGAGAUUUCUUCUUGUCUUAGAUGACGUAUGGGACGGAGAUUACAUUAAGUGGGAACCGUUCUACCGUUCCCUAAAGAAUGGUCUCCAAGGAAGUAAAAUUUUGGUUACUACACGUAAGGAGUCAAUUGCGUUUAUGAUGGGAUCCAUUGAUAUUAUCUCUAUCAAGGGAUUGGCCGAAGAAGAAUGUUGGUCGUUGUUUAAGCGGUUAGCAUUUUUCGGUCGAUCCAUUGAGGAAUGUGGAAGAUUGGAACAAAUUGGACAAAGAAUUGCAGGAAAGUGUAAAGGCUUACCUCUUGCAGCAAAGGUAAUAGGGAGUCUCAUGCGUUCUAAAAAAACUGAAGAAGAGUGGCAAAGAAUCUUAAAUAGUGAGCUAUGGAAAAUAGAAGAGAUCGAGAAAGGUGUUCUAACUCCUUUGUGGUUGAGUUAUAACGAUUUGUCAUCUCGAGUAAAAAGAUGUUUUUUAUAUUGUGCUGUCUUUCCAAAAGACUACAAUAUAAAAAAAGACAAACUAAUUACAUUAUGGAUGGCUCAAGGUUAUCUUAAUGCAGAACAAAAUGAAGAGAUGAAGACAAUAGGUGAAGAGUAUUUUGGCAUCUUAGCUUCUCGCUCUUUCUUUCAGGAGUUUACGAAAAGUUAUGAUAAUCGUAUUAUAUGGUGCAAGAUGCAUGAUAUGGUGCAUGAUUUUGCCCGAUUUGUAAGUCAAAAUGAAUGUUUUUCGAUGGAAAUUAACGGCAGUGAGGAACCAAACGCCACAAACUCUCCUCAUGGGAAGCUUCGUCAUUUAAUGUUAAUCAUUGGUGAAGGGGCUUCAUUUCCUGUCUCCACUUGUAGAGUCAAAAGAAUGCGAAGCCUCUUAAUUGAUAGUAGCAGAUUUGAUUAUCAGUCGUUAAAUGGUGAGAUCCUAGAAGAAUUAUUGAGGGAAUUGACAAGUUUAAGGGCAUUCGAUUUUUGCAGAUCGGACCACACACGAUUGGGUUUCACUCUAGAGAUUCCAAGAAAUAUAAAAAAGCUGAUACAUUUAAGAUACCUUAAUUUGUCUGGUCAGAAAAUAGAGAAGCUACCGGAGGCAUUGUGCGAGCUAUAUAAUCUAGAGAAGUUAGAUAUUUGUGGUUGUUGGUGUCUUAAAGAAUUACCUGAAGGGAUUGGGAAGUUAAUAAACAUGAAGCAUUUACUAAAUAGAAAUACCGAUUCUGUAAGGUACAUGCCAGUAGGGAUUGCGAGAUUAAAGAGUCUUCAGACAUUGGAAGAGGUCAGUGUGAGUGGAAGAGGAUGUCUUGAUGGUAGGAAAGCAUGUAGGCUCGAAUCUCUUAAAAACUUGGAACACCUUCAAAUAUGCGGUAUACGUGGACUGGGUGAUGUAUCAGACGUGGGCGAGGCUAAGCGAUUAGAACUUGACAAAAAUAAAUACCUCUUCAGUUUGACCCUUUGGUUUGAUAAGAAGGAGGAAGAAGGAGAAAGGAGGAAGAACGAGGACGAUCAACUUCUUCUUGAAGCCCUGCAACCACCUCUGGAUUUAAAGAAAUUAACGAUAUGGUCAUACAGAGGCAACACUGUUUUCCCCAGCUGGAUGAUGUCAUUAACCAAUUUAAGGAGUUUAGGUCUCUGUUACUGCAAAAAUUGUGAGCAGCUGCCUCCUUUGGGAAAAUUGCCAUCCCUUGAAACGCUCCACAUAUUGGGCAUGAAUAGUGUGAAAAGAGCGGGUAAUGAAUUUUGGGGUAUAGAAAGUAAUCACCAUGACUCAUCUUCAUCUUCAUUUUCAUCAGUUAUUAUUGCCUACCCCAAAUUAAUAUCACUUUCAAUUCAUUGUCUGACGGAAUUGGAGGAGUGGGAUUAUGGGAUUACUAGAACGGGAAACACGUUCAUCAACAUCAUGCCACGUCUUUCUUCCUUGCGAAUUACUAUGUGCCCCAAACUAAAGGCACUGCCCGACCACAUUCAUCAAACGACAACACUGAAGGACUUGACCGUUGGGUGGAACUCUGAUCUUCUGCAAGAACGUUACAGCGAGGGUAUAGGAGAAGACUGGCCUAAGAUAUCUCACAUUCCCAACGUCAGGAUUUGGCAAGACGUAAUUUCUUCUCCUACUCUGAUUUGCUUUGUUGUUGUUUUUAAUCUAAUUAAGACGCAUAAAUAGCAUUUUGAUUUUGAGUUGACAAUUUUCUGGACCAGUGAUCAAGGGUGAGAAUGGCGCUAGGAUAUUGAAUAAGGCACUGAACUUAGGCUGAUGUCAAAAGAGGUAAAUUAUUGACAUGUGUAGCUAAUUUGACCGUUUCCUGAUUCAUAAGUCUACAUUAAUUUUGAUUUUGAGUUGAGUGAUUACAUUUUAAGGUUUGCUUACUUAACAGGGCCAGGACAUGAAAUGAGAAGCUUAUUAGUGGCAGUUGGCAGUGAAUGGAGGACCUUGACUAAAUUCUCAAGCGGUUGCACUGCAGUUACGCUCAUCCUAAGCCUCCUGUAAUUUCUUCUCCUGCAUUUUUGUAAUUUGCUAUCUAAUUAAGGAGCGUAAACUAUUUUGAAUCGACUUCUAUAUCAGGAAUAUAUGCAACAUUUUCUAAAAGUUUGAUAUGAGUGUAAUGAUGGUAAUUUCUCUUUUUUGUCUGUCAUCGAAAUGUAAGAUAACAUUCAUUAAGACUCUUGAGAGUCGUUUUUGGCAAUUGCAGGACAAGUGAUGAAGAGUGAGAAUGGUGCUAGAUUGGGGAUUAAAGCAAAAGGAGGUAAAUUAUUGGCAGAGAAUUGUGAGAGCUUGAGUGUACUGGGAUUUGCAAUUACAAUCAUCCUCUGCUUCAGGUGAUUUCUUCUCCUGCUCUGUCGUUGUUUGUAUCUCAAUCAAAUUCUAUAACUGGAAUAUGCAAAAGUUUCGAAUUUUUUAUUUCUAUCUGCUUGCAUUGAUAACAUCACGGCAUAUGCACUAGUUAAAGAACAAACAGAAACAGAGCUCCGGAAAAAGUUUCUUCUGCCAUCACAUUUGAAAAUUCAUGUAAAAUGUAGACAGUAAUCAGCAAAAAGGUGAUUCACAAUUUCAUUUUUUUUAUGAAAUUGAUUGUUAGGUUGGAGUUGCUAAAAGGCCAUUGGGCUAACCUAUGUCGUUACUUACCUAGAUCAAGACUCAAAACAAGCAUUGAAUUUUAAAAGGCAUGCAAUAAUUUUUGUGGCCAUAUGUCAAGUCAGGUAAGUUUGAAUAUAAUUAUUGUUGAAGGGGUUUUAUUUUCGGUGUCCAAAUAGAGAUACUGAUUCUUUAAGGUAAUGCCAGUAGGAAUUGCAAGAUUAACAAGUCUUCGGACAUUGCGAGAGUUCCAUUGAGUGGUGGAUGAGGUGUUGAUGGUAGCAAAGCAUGUGGUAUGCGUAGACUGGAAAACAUGUAAGAUGUGGGCGAGGCUAAGAGAUUAGAGAUUGACCAAAUGAAAUACCUCUUUAGUUUGAGGCUUAAAUUUGAUGGUGAAGAAGAAGGAAGGAGGAAGAAUGAGGAUGAUCAACAUCAGCUUGUUCUUGAAACCUUGCAACCACCUCUGACUUUGAAGGAAUUAGAGAUAUGGUCAUACAGAGGCAACACUGUUUCUGCAAGUAGUCCUCUCUUUUCUUUUUAUUAUAUUUUAUUUAGUUAUUAUUUAUUAUUUAUUUUUUGGUUUACUCUGCUUCUUCUUUUUACGUUUCUCAAAUUUUGAAUUUCAUUACUUUUGAACAUACGACAGUCUGUUAUGUGGCGACCCUGGUUUUUAAUUAAGGUUGUAAAAUAUUAUUGUAAAAGAUGAUUUAUUCAAUUUGAGUAAUUCGUUUGCUUUGAUAAUGAUAGCAAUUUUUUAUUUUGACAAUUUGCAAGGUGAGAAUGGUGCUGAUUGGUGAUUCAGGAUAUGGUUCAAACACCAUUGAAUAAAGCUAUGGACAUGGUGGCUCAACUUAGCUAGAUUGGUAUCAAAAUUGGUAAGUUGGCUUGUCAAUGUACCGAUGCUUUUGUUUUCUCUCAACCCUAAUUACCUUAACUUCAUUUAGUUUGGCUUUGGAGUUGAGUAAUAACUUAUUGUUCAAAUGUUAUUUCCUUAUUGUUCUAAUUCAUCAAAUGUUAUUUCCUUAUUGUUCCAUUGAUAUAUUUGUUGCAUAUCAAGCAGAAACAGAACCCAAAGAAAAUGAAACCAUUUCCAGGCAGCAGUUGGCAGUGAAUUCAUGCAAAUGUUGAUGCCAUUCAUAGAUGUUGAAGACAAUGUUGAGCCAAAGGCGAUAAAUCAUUAAUGCAUAAUUCCCAAAACCUCCAUCCUUCUCUCAUUGUAAUUUGAUUUGAAAUGAAUAAUUGCUAGGUAAUUGAAGCCAAUGUUGUUAAAGACCGUGUUGAGCUACCCAAGCUAAGAAGUUACUUGCCAAAAAAUGCAGGGGAUCAAAAGAAGCAUUGCAUUUGAAAAGGCAUGAGAUUCUGGUGGCUACAUGUCAACUCAUAUAUGUUUGAAUAAGUUUGAUCGUUCAAGAUUGUUAGCUUCUGUUUAAAUUUGUGCUACUGCGGUGCUACAAUGCUGCUACUGGGAAAUUUGAAUCCCAUAUUAGACUUUCCUCACAUCAGAAGCUGUGGAUCUUCGGACAUCAGGUUUUUUCACAGUUCUGAAACACUCAGGAUUAAACUCUAUUAAAGUGUUGUAGUUAUCUUGUUGUCAGAAUUCCCAUAUUAUUAUCUUUUUCAUGUAAAAUUAUCUUGUUGUCUUCGCCCAUGAAUCUAAGCUAAAAUUUGAACCAAUUGUUUGCCAUUAUAAAUUUCAUUGUUAAAUGUUAAUUAUGAUGUUGGCGUUGAGUUUCUUUUAAAGUCAUAGAAGCCUGACGAUUGAGUUCCAUGGGAUUCUGAGAAGCAGUAAUAUUUGAACAAGUGAAGGUUCUUCUCUUUUAAUUAUGUUCUGCACUUUUACAGUUUGGCUUUGGAGUUGAGUAAUAACCUUUCGAGGUCGCGGCUAUAAAAAGGCGAUGCUCAAUUUGCCACAGAUUACAUGUAUUGCCAUCAUUGACAAUUUUCUGGAUAAGUGAUGAAGGGUGAGAGUGGUGCUAGACUUCAGCCCUCCAGAAUAUUGAAUAAAGCUGUCAAAAGAGGUAAAUUAUUGGCAUGCCUGUUAGUGAAUUGGAUAAAGCUGGAGCAGAGCAUGAUGUUGCUGUAUAGCUGGAGCAGAGCAUGUUGUUGCUGUGUAGCUGGUUGUAGCAGAUCAACUCACUGAGCUGACCUGUCAAAGCUGGAGCAGAGCAGAGCAGAGCGGAUAAAGCUGGAGCAGAGCAGAGCGGAUAAAGCUGGAGCAGAGCAGAGCAUGAUGUUGCUGUAUAGCUGGAGCAGAGCAUGCUGUUGCUGUGUAGCUGGAGCAGAGCAUGCUGUUGCUGUGUAGCUGGUUGUAGCAGAUCAACUCACUGAGCUGACCUGUCAAAGUUAGUUAGCUGGUUGAGCUGAUGUGUAAAGUUAGUUAUGCAGCAAAUGGUUAUGUGAUGUAACAAACUCGUGUGUGUAGUGAAGAUUGUAGCUUAGUAUAAAUGUCAAUCAGUAUUCAUUAAGUUGAAAUAUCUGAGGAUAAUAAAAAGGUUCUUUAGAGUUCUCUUUCAUUUUCUUUUACUUUCUUGCUUGCCAAACAAUAUAGAACUAAGUUUCUUUCAUGGUAUCAGAGCCAUAAAUGGCAAAUACAGUUCAAAACAACAACUCUUUUAGUUUUGUUACGCCUGUAAAGCUAGAUCAAAACAACUAUAUUUUGUGGCGCACACAAAUUCUAGCUUCGAUCAAAGGAAAUGGUUUGGAAGGUUUUAUCAAUGGUGAUCGAGAAUGUCCUGAGCAGUUUCUUUCUUCUGGCAACAACAAUGGAGCUGAAAUCUUAACUGAAUCUGGAUCCAGAUCUGUUACUGAAUCUGGAUCCAGAUCUGUUACUGAAUCUGGAUCCAGAUCUGUUAAUCCAGAGUUCGUAGCUUGGAUGAAGGCUGAUCAACUUCUGCUGAGUUGGAUGAUGUCAUCGAUACAACAAAAUCUGCUUGCUACUAUGAUUGACUCAACAACCUCAAAACAGCUUUGGGAGACUCUUGCUAGUAUGUUUAUCUCUCAAUCACAGGCUAGAAUUCAAACACUUAGAAUGCAGAUUCAAACUAUUAAGAAAGGUGCAAUGCAUAUGUCUGAUUACUUUGUAAAAGUAAAACGUAUAGCUGAUACUUUAGCUCUAGCUGGAAAACCUGUUGAGUUAAAUGAUCUUGUGAUGCAUGUAUUAACUGGUCUUGAUUCAUCAGAUUAUGAAUCUUUAGUCACUGCUGUGUUAGCUCGAGGUGAAAAGAUAACAUUAGAUGAACUAUAUUCUUUGCUGUUAAAUCAUGAAAAUAGAGUUGAGCAAAAGAAAGGAAAAAUUGCUGGUGAUGUGAUGCAUAACAUGACAGCAAAUAUUGUUCAGAAGAACUCAUAUGCUAGAAAGAAUAAUGGAAAUUUUCAGAAACAGUAUGGAAAUAACUCUGGAGGUGGUAAUAAUUCUGGAUAUGGAUAUGGUCAGUUUAAUAAUAAUAGUAAUUUCUCUGAAGUUGUUUGCCAAAUUUGCUUCAUACCUGGUCAUGCAGCCUAUAAAUGCAGAAAUAGGUACAACUCAUCUUUUGUUCCACAUAGGAACCAUGGUAGAGGUAAUAUGAAUGGUGGCGGAGGUUUUAAUCAAGGGCAAUAUGGUCGAGGAAGAGCCUUUAAUGGUAAUAGUGGAAGAGGUUUUGGAGGUUUUGGUUCAAAUGCUGGUUUUGGACAAAAUGUUGGUUUUGGUAAUGCCCCCAGGGGUUUUGGCUAUCAAGGAAAUAUAGUAUAUCCAGAGAGCAACCCAUCUGCUUAUUUCUCAUUCAACCCUGGAUCAUCUAAUUUUGUUUCUGGUCUAGGACAUAAUAAUCUGGAACAGUCAAGUGCUUCCUCCUCCUCUGCUAUGUCUUCUUCACUUCCACCUGAACACAUUGAAGAUCCUUCCUGGUAUAUUGAUAGUGGAGCAACAAAUCAUAUUACCAACGAUCUAGGUAAGCUUCUGGAUUCAAAAGUUUACACUGGUACUGAAAGGUUAUUUGUUGGAGAUGGAAAUGCAUUAGCUAUUACACAUGUAGGGUCAGUUGUGCUAAAUACUUCAGCUUCUCAAUCCUUAUUUCUUAACCAUGUUCUUCAUGUCCCUUUUAUUACUAAGAAUUUGCUUAGCAUCUCAAAAUUGUUGGCUGACAAUCCAGUUACUGUUGAAUUUCUUGGUGAUUUGUGUUUUAUAAAGGCCAAGAACACAGGGAAAAUUUUACUUGAAGGUGUUGCUAAAGGUGGGCUUGUAUAGAGUCUCUUCUCAUGCUGCUGUUCAUUCAGUCUUUCUCAGUUCAGUUGGUCAAAACAAAAUUCAGUCUCUUUUUGCUUGUUCUCCUGUUUUUAAUUCUGCUCAGCUCUCUACUGUUAGCUCUUAUGAGUUGAAUAAAACGUCAUGUCUGUCAGUUGUUGCAAAGGGUUCUAUUGAUGUAAAUCUUCUUCAUAGAAGAUUAGGACACCCAGCAUCUUAUACUCUCAAAACCAUUCUCAAAGCUUGUAACAACUCUACUGCUUUUAAUAAAGUUGACAGUUUGAAAUUUUGUUCAGCAUGCCAAUAUGGUAAAAAUCACAUGCUGCAUUUUGAUUCAGUAGAAACAAAAACUUCAGCACCUUUACAACUGAUAUAUGCAGAUCUUUGGGACCCUUCUCAUGUUUGUUCUACCCAAGGAUAUAAUUACUACUUGUCAAUCCUAGAUGAUUACAGUAGGUUUACCUGGAUUUUUCCCUUAUCAGCAAAAUCUGAUGCUCUUGAAGUUUUUACCAAUUUCAAAAUAUUCAUUGAGAAGCAUCUUCAACUUUCCAUCAAAACUGUACAAACUGACUGGGGAGGGGAGUUCAGAACAUUUUCAUCGUUACUCACUACUUCUGGCAUCCAUUUUCGACAUCCUUGCCCCCACAUUCAUCAUCAAAAUGGAAAAAUUGAGAGGAAACAUAGACACAUAGUUGAUGUAGGACUGACUUUAUUAGCUCAAGCACAUUUACCACUCAAAUUUUGGUGGAAUACAUUCCAUACAGCUGUCUACUUGAUAAACAGACUUCCAACUCCAGUUCUAAACAGCAUUUCUCCUUUUCAAAAGUUGUUUAAUUCCCAACCAGAUUAUUCAACACUUAAAAUUUUCGGCUGUGCUUGUUAUCCAACACUCAGACCAUACAAUAGACAUAAGUUUGAUUUCAGAACAGCUAGAUGUAUAUUCAUUGGCUACAGUUCACGACACAAGGGAUAUCAGUGUCUUCACUCUUCUGGGAGGGUCUAUAUUUCAAAUCAUGUAACCUUUGAUGAAAGUUCUUUUCCUUAUGAGUCAGGAACAGAUUUUUCUUCAGUUUCUUCAAACUGUCAGUCAUCAACUCAUUCUGAGUCUUCUUUUAAUUCUUCUACUCCUUUUGUUACUCAGUUACAAGCACCUUUAGCAGCAUCAUCAGAAUAUCAUCUUAAUGAUUCUCAGUCACAUGCUUCUAUUUCCUUCCCAAAUUCUACUCCAGUUUACUUUUCUGAUAAUUUCAAUUCCACUUCUUCUUCUCCUUCUUCACCAUCCCAUCAUUCACCUCCACAUACCUUGUCACAACCUGCAUCAUCUGGUCAUCCAAUGAUAACCAGGUCAAAAGCAGGUAUCUUCAAGCCCAAGAUCUACUUGUCAGCUUUACUAGCUCAGAAAUCAGAACCAACCUCUGUUUCCAAAGCACUUUCUGAUCCUAUGUGGUAUAAAGCUAUGCAAGAAGAGUAUCUAGCUCUUAAAACCAAUCACACCUGGGAUUUAGUCUUACCUGCUACUCCAGUGAAGAUAGUUGGCAACAAGUGGGUAUUUCGAGUAAAGUAUAACUCAGAUGGUUCAGUUUCAAGGUAUAAAGCCAGGCUUGUGGCUAAAGGGUUUCAUCAGACACAUGGGAUUGACUACACAGAAACCUUCAGUCCAGUGGUUAAGUCCUCCACUGUUAGAGUUAUUCUUAGCUUAGCAGUAUUGAGUCACUGGGUUGUAAGGCAGGUGGAUGUUAACAAUGCCUUUCUAAAUGGCAUUUUAAUUGAAGAUGUGUACAUGGCUCAACCUCAAGGUUUUGUUGAUUCAACUAAACCUAAUCAUAUCUGCAAGCUAAAUAAGGCUUUGUAUGGCUUAAAACAGGCUCCUAGAGCCUGGUUUGAUAGGUUUAAGGAUGCAAUGAUCUCCAAGUGGCAUUUUUAGCAUUCCAGGUCUGAUAACUCUCUCUUUUAUGCCUGGAACAGUGGUCAUCUAACUGUUGUUUUGGUCUAUGUUGAUGAUAUUAUCAUCACUGGUUCCAGUCCAUCCAUAAUUCAACAAGUUAUCCAGAAUAUGCAUCAAGCUUUUGCUUUAAAAGACCUGGGGGAACUUCACUAUUUUCUGGGGAUUGAAGUCAGCAAAUCUUCACAAGGGGUUUCCUUGACACAAGCAAAGUACAUUGCUGAUAUUCUGGAUAAACAUGGCAUGACAGACUGCAGUCCUGUGCCAACUCCAAUGUCUACAGGCUUUUAUCUCACCAAAGACUCAGGAGAGCCACUUGAUAAUGUUUCUCAAUAUCGAAGUGUUAUAGGAGCUCUUCAAUAUGUUACUCUUACCAGACCUGACAUUGCCUUCUCUGUAAACAAGUUAAGUCAGUUCCUUUCCAGUCCUAGAACUCAACAUUGGGAAGCAUGUAAAAGGUUAUUGAGGUACUUAAAAGGCAUUAUCCAUCUGGGGCUGCAUUUCUACAAUCAAGGAGCUCUGCAAUUACAUUGUUUUUCAGAUUCUGAUUGGGCUUGUGAUCAUGAUGAUAGGAAGUCAGUGGCUGGCUUUGCUGUUUAUCUAGGUCCUAAUCUUGUUUCCUGGUCGUCAAAGAAACAAGCUGUUGUUUCCAGAUCCAGCACAGAAGCUGAGUAUAGAUCUCUUGCUCAUGCUGCUUCAGAAGUUACCUGGAUUAAAUCCUUACUUGGUGAACUUAGUAUCACAUUAAGCUCCACUCCUAUGAUGUGGUGUGAUAAUCAAGGAGCAAUUGCUUUAGCUUAUAAUCCAGUUUAUCAUGCUAAGACUAAGCAUGUUGAAUUGGAUAUACAUUUUAUCCGAGAUAAGGUCACUGCUAAAGAGGUUGCAGUAUGCUAUGUGCCUAGUCCAGAUCAAACAGCAGAUGUGUUGACUAAGGCUCUUACUUUCAAACAAUUCAGUUACUUCAGAAGCAAGCUGAAUGUUCAUCCUAAACAUUUCAGCUUGAGGGGGGAUGUUAGUGAAUUGGAUAAAGCUGGAGCAGAGCAUGAUGUUGCUGUAUAGCUGGAGCAGAGCAUGUUGUUGCUGUGUAGCUGGUUGUAGCCAAAGCUGGAGCAGAGCAGAGCAGAGCGGAUAAAGCUGGAGCAGAGCAGAGCGGAUAAAGCUGGAGCAGAGCAGAGCAUGAUGUUGCUGUAUAGCUGGAGCAGAGCAUGCUGUUGCUGUGUAGCUGGUUGUAGCAGAUCAACUCACUGAGCUGACCUGUCAAAGUUAGUUAGCUGGUUGAGCUGAUGUGUAAAGUUAGUUAUGCAGCAAAUGGUUAUGUGAUGUAACAAACUCGUGUGUGUAGUGAAGAUUGUAGCUUAGUAUAAAUGUCAAUCAGUAUUCAUUAAGUUGAAAUAUCUGAGGAUAAUAAAAAGGUUCUUUAGAGUUCUCUUUCAUUUUCUUUUACUUUCUUGCUUGCCAAACAAUAUAGAACUAAGUUUCUUUCAAUGCCUAGCUAAUUUGACCACUACCUGAUUCAUAAGCCUACAUCAAUUUUGAUUUUGAGUUAAGUGAUUAAUUUUCAAGGUUUGCUUACUUAACCGGCGACUAAUUUCUUGUAACUAAAUGUAUCAUAUGAUGCAGGAAGCAGGGCAAGAUAUGAAAUGAGAAGCUUAUUAGUGGAAGGAUUGCCAGAAACAGAACCCAAAGAAAAUGAAAACAUUUCAAGGCAGCAGUUGGCAGCUGGCAAUGAAUGGAGGCCCUUGAAAAAAUUCCCAAGCCGUUGCACUGCAAUUACGAUCAUCCUCGGCCUCAGGUAAUUUCUUCUCCUGCAUUUUUGUUAUUUGCUAUCAAGUGACAUUCGUAAGUAUGAUUGCAUUAAGCUGCUGCUGGGAAAUUUGAGGUUUUGAUGGCUGCCCAUGCUAUUGUCAGAAGCUGCAGUUCUUUUCAUCAGCCUGAACCUGGACCUGUCGCCAUGGAUAACUCAGGUUUUUUUUUUUUUUAAUCAACUACGGCAUCUUUUCCACUGUUUUGAAACUCUUAAGAUUAAACUUUAGUAAUGUUGUUUUAGUUAUCCAUGUAAUCAGGCUGAGGAUACUUAGCAGCCUAUUUAGGCAAAUGUCAGAAUUUAGUUUGUUCGCUGGGAAUUGGUGUGGACUGGCAAAGGAUGAUGAGAUAGUUUUUUGAGUGAGUAAAUUUUGGGAGCUUGAGUGUAUUGGGAUUUGCAAUUACAAUCAUCGUCUGCCUCAGGUGAUUUCUUCUCCUGCUCUGUCAUUGUUUGUUCUCUAAUUCAAAAGCAUAAAAUAUUUCAAUCAAAUUGUAUGCCAGGAAUAUGCAAAAGUUUCUAAUAUUUUAUUUCCAUCUGUUUGCCUUGAUAACUUUGCUGCAUAUGUACUAGUUAAAGAACAAAUCGAAACAGAGCUCAGUUAAAAGUUUCUUCUGCCGUCAUAUUUGAAAAAUGAAACCAUUUCCAGGAAGCAAUGGGCAGCAAAUUCAUAUAAAGCAUAGACAAUGAUGAGCAAAAAGGUGAUUCACAAUUUCACUUUUUUUAAUGAAAUUAAUUGUUUGGUUGGAGCGGAUAUUGUUAGAAGGCCAUUGAGCUAACCUAUGUCACUACUUGCCUAGAUUACAGGGGGUCAAAUAAGGCAUCCAAUAAUUCUUGUGGCCAUAUAUCAAUUCAUGUAAGUUCGAAUGUAAUUAUUGGUGAAGGGGUUUCACUUCCCGUCUCUAAAUAAAAAUACUGAUUCUUUAAGGUACAUGCCACUAGGGAUUGCGAGAUUAACGAGUCUUUGGACAUUGGAAGAGCUCCUUGUAGUGGAGGAGGAGGUGUUGAUGGUAGCAAAGCAUGUGGGCAGUGGGCUUGAAUCUCUUAAAAACUUGGAACUCCUCCAAGCGUAAGUAUACGUAUACUGGGAAAUGUGUUAGAUGUGGAUGAGGCUAAGAGAUUAGAGCUUGACAAAAUGAAAUAACUCUUUCAUUGAGACUUAAAUUUGAUGGGGAAGAAGAAAAAGAAGAGGGAAGGAGGAAGAAUGAGGAUAAUCAACUUGUUCUUGAAGCCUUGCAACCACCUCUGAAUUUGAAGGAAUUAGAGAUUUGGUCAUACGGAGGCAACAUUGUUUCCCCCCGGAUGAUGCAAAAAUUGAAGGAAUUUACCAAUCUAAGGAGUUUGACACUCUUUAAAACUGCAAAAAUUGAGAAAAGUUGCCUCCUUUGGGAAAAUUGUGAUCCUUUGAAAAUCUCAGCAUAUUGUACAUGGAGAGUGUGAAAACAGUGGGUAAUGAAUUUCUGGGAAUAGAAAGUGAUCUUCAUGACUCAUCUUCAUCUUCAUCAGUGAUUAUUGCCUUCCCCAAAUUGAAAUCACUUUCAGUUGAGGGAUUGAUGGAAUUGGAGGAGUGGGAUUAUGGGAUUAAAAGAACAGGAAACACCUCCACCAACAUUAUGCCACGUCUUUCUUCCUUGGAAAUUAGUGUGGGGUUAUGGGAUCGCACAACGACGUUGAAGGUAUUGCAGAUUGUGGCAUGUGGUACUCUAAGAAGACGUUACAGACAGGGGAGAGCAGAAGACUGGCCUAAGAUCUCUCACAUUCCAGACAUCAUGAUUGUGUGAAAAGAUGCCCGUGACAAAAUUCUCUAGGCGGCUACAUGGAGUACAAUCAUAAAAUGCUAAUGUGGCCACCCUGGUUCUUAAUUAAGGUUGUGAAAUAUUAUUGUAAAAGAUGAUUAAUUCAAUUUGAGUUAUUCGUUUGCUUUGAUAAUGAUAGUAAUUUUAUAUUUUGACAAUUUGCAGGGUGAGAAUGGUGCUGAUUGGUGAUACAGGAUAUGGUUCAAACACCAUUGAAUAAAGCUACGGACAUGGUGGCUCAACUUAGCUAGAUUGCUGUCAAAAUUGGUAAGUUGGCUUGUCAAUGUAUUGAUGCUUUUGUUUUCUCUCAACCCUAAUUACCUUAACUUCAUUUAGUUUGGCUUUGGAGUUGAGUAAAUUCUGGCCUCUUCCGAAAAAAAAAGCUUAAUUUGCUACUGAUCACGUGUUACCAAUUAUUUAAGGUAAUUCUCGCUUACUUGCUUCUGCACUAUAGAGUACGUGUUCUGGCUGGUUUAUCUAAUUCAUCAAAUGUUAUUUCCUUAUUGUUCCAUUGAUAUAUUUGUUAGAAAGUGAAACCAUUUCCAGGCAGCAGUUGGCAGUGAAUUCAUGCAAAUGUUGGUGCCAUUCAUAGAUAUUGAAGACAAUGAUGAGCCAAAGGUGAUAAAUCAUUAAUGCAUAGUUACCAAAACCUCCAUCCUUCUCUCAUUGUAAUUUGAUUUUAAAUGAAUAAUUGCUAGGUAAUUGAAGCCAAUAUUGUUAGAAACGGUGUUGAGCUACCCAAGCUAAGAAGUUAGCUGCCAAAAAAUGCAGGGGAUUAAAAGAAGCAUUGCAUUUGAAAAGGAAUGAGAUUCUGGUUGCUACAUGUCAAUUCGUAGAAGUUUCAAUAAAUUUAAUGGUUCAAGAUUGUUAGUUUCUGUUUAAAUUUGUGCUACUGCAGUGCUACAACGCUGCUACUGGGAAAUUUGAAUCCCAUAUUAGACUUUCCUCACAUCAGAAGCUGUGGAUCUUGAGACAUCAGGUUUUUUCACAGUUCUGAAACUCUCAGGAUUAAACUCUAUUAAAGUUGUUGUAGUUGUCUACGUUCUCAGGUCAAGGAUUCUAAGCUGCCGAUUAAGCAUUGCGCAUUUUCAUUUGUCCGAUUCAAGAGGAACGUCACAGAAAGGGGUAAAGAAAAGAGUAGCCUAAGAUAUUAAAGACAAUGUUGAGCCAAAGGAAACAUAAAUCCCAACCAUUGCAUGUGAACAUGAUCACAAUAAGGUCAAGAACCUACCAAACCAUUUUUUUGAGAAUUUUCAAUUGAAAGUGAAACCUUUUGAUAUUUACCUAAUAAAGUUAGUUAAACGAGAGAAAUAAAGGGGGAAAGAAAAGUUGACUCUAAGUCAAUACAGAAUAAUUAGUUCAAUACAGAAUAAUUGCUGUAAAAUAUUAAAUAGUUUUAUUUUUCUUUUAUCGUUUAACUUGGACCAAAAAAGGAAAUGAGUUUAACACGACCCUCAUUCUGCUUCUUGCUUUGGUUUCAAACAAGUCUUUCUCCUUUAUGACAUUUAUUGUAAUUUCAUUUGGAGACAUAUGUCUGUCGUUCAAAUAUAUUUCAUACGCAAGCUGUUAAUAAUUCUGCUUGCAGAAAGCCUACAAAGCAGCUGUGUGAUGUAAUAGAAGACCAUAGAUAGUCUCGUCAAUUUUUCAACAUUAGAUAUUCAGGUCAUCAGCUUCUCAUGAAUUCUUUCCUGAGUUUCUUUGAAUUAUUUGUGAUGUAAUAACUUGUGCAUUUGAGAAACUGUUCUCUUGAAUUCUUUCUUGAGUUUCUUUGAAUUAUUUGUGAAUAAGUUGUUAAUCGGCUGCUUCUCUUCAGGAUAAGGAAAGUGUUGCAAACUGGUGAAGCAGCUGAUAGAUAAAAGCAAUGGGUACAUCUUUGCUGGCAUGGAUCGAUGCCAGUGCGGCUGAAUUCAGCAAGACUGCCGUUCGUGAUGUUGUUGAUUGGGAUUACAUUAAGGAUGAUGACAACAUUGAUUAAAAUGGGACGUGAAGAUAUAUGGUGUGCAAAUUAACCCAACCCAACCAAACCCGUACAUUUUAUCAACCCAACCCAACCUGUAAAAAAUCACACGGGUUAGGUUAGUUUCACGGAUUGGGAGGUUGGUGCCCACCCCUAAAUAUAACCUCCAUUUCAGCACAAUGCAUGUUAAUUGUUCCCCAAGGACUUCUCCUGAUUCCCAUUCCCAACCUCCAUGCUCUUGAGAGGAAUUUAGCACCCAUCAAUUUUUAUUUUUGAAAACUCGUAAUGGUCUGAUAAAAUUAAACAACAUCAAUAAUGUUACCAGUCUUUAAAUAGUAAUUAAUUUAUUUAAUUUGCCACCUAAAAGAAUCCUGCUGGAAAUAGAGGUUAAAAAUUUUAUUAGAUCUGCUUACCUUUGUUCAUUCAGCAAAAACACUUACAAUUCACAGCUAGAGAAUCUAUCCAUUGACAAUUGUGGAUUAAAAUUAUAACACCUGAAUUCCAACAUAUCCUUAUGAAGUUAUGAAUUUGUUCAUACUUCAAAUGAUUUUUUUUUCCCAAGCUAAUAAAGCUACCACUUUGAUCAAACGACGACGUUGAAGGAAUUGCGUAUUUUCAAUGUCCUUUUCCAGACAGACGUUCGAGAGAGAGAAAGGAGAAGACUGGCCUAAUUAAGAUAUCUCACAAAGAUUAUUAUUGAGUUAAAAUGUUAUUGUAAAAGAUGUAUAAUACAAUAAUAGUAAUUCUUUUGCAUUGUUAUAAUGAGGCUGGUGGGUUUCCUCAGAGGAUGGAUCUUGCUCGCUAGUAUGCAUUUGGGAAGCUGCUAAUUAUUGGCCAUAAAAAGUCAGGGGGUUGUGGCUCUUCCGUCGCCCAGAAAUUCCUCAACUCAUAUCUCAAACUUCAGAUGAACUUGGGCAUUAUGUAAAUAUGUAUUUUGAGAAUUAAACUAGUGCCUUAGAAAAAAUUUGAGCCAUUGUAAUCAUUUUAUUUUGCUAAGGGAAAAUUUUACUUUGUGUUUCGCUUUGACUUUUUUUUUUUUGCCUUGUGAUAAUAAGAUUCAUACGAAAGUGAUUACACGCCUAUCAUGCAUCUAUUUUCAUUUGCUUGUCAUGAGAGAUCAACAUGCUCGAAAUAAUUACUUAGGUUGGAAAUAUUUGAAUCCACUAAAAUACUAUACAAACCCAUUUUAAAAUUAAAAAAAUGAUUAUCAUAAUACUUGUGAAGAUAACACGAUAUCAUACAUAAAAUAAAAUAUUUCGCAAAAAAGAUACGAUACAAAUCUUGAGUAAACAGGUACAAAAAAUAUUUUUUUUUGGUUAAACCACGAGGUACAAAAAAUAUUUUAGUGGGUUAAGUAGCACUAAUGCCCCCUUAUCAAAAAAUAUAGAAAAAUAACUAGUUUGAUUGGGUAUACCGUUUAUAUAUAUGUACAUAUUCUUGAUAAUGUGUAAUGUAUAUUAUAGACAAAGAUUUUGAAAGCAAUAUUUUUUGGUAUUAUUAUAUAAUAUUUUUUAAAAAGUUGAGAGAAUAGGCAAAGUCCAAAUCAACUUUCUAAUCCCUACCUCCUUUAUGAUUUAAACUUUAGCGUUUAGUGUCGCGAGCCACUCAAAUUUUCUAAUCAAAGAGACUAAAUUGCACGAAAUUGUGCUAGCUUAUUUGAUUCUAGAAAUUUCCAGUACACUGUAACACACUCUCAGGCUUGUACAUACCUCGAAAUUCUCUAGAAUUAAUUUACUAGAGUAGUGUUGCAUGUAGCUUGUACAUAGGUUUUUCUGGAACACUUCAGGUAUUACUAAGCAUGAGAGCUUUGAGAACUCUCUAGCCAUAAAACAUUCUAGGGUAUGUCUACCCUAAAAAUUGGGCAUGAUGCUUGCCACUUGAGCAUACAACAAGUAAGAACAAAUCAAGCAUACUUGUAAGCUCUCAAACUCUCUUAUACACACUUUUAUGAAUAAUAUACUUUCUCUUUGGCUAUAUUGCUCUCUCUUCUCUCUAGUUUUUUCGCAAGCAUCAUACCUUAGUUAGUCGAAAAGUUCAAGGCUUACUUUAUAGCUAUCUCACAAAAGUUGUUUAAGUACCACAUGGAUUUGCUGUGUAAAAUACUCAUCACAUGACAUUAGCUAAAUAGAUUUGUUUGAAAGCCACUUACCCAAACUAUUAAACGAAUAUUAACUUUUGUCUUAAUUUUCUAUCACCUAUGAUAAAAUUUAUAAUUAAAAAUUGAAAAAAUUAAUAACUAUUAGAUAGAGCAUUCUUUACUGUUAAAAGAAAUCUAUAUAGAUAGAUAGAUGGUAAUAUAAAAACUUACUUAUUGUAGUAUAAUGUUUUUAGUUUUUUGAAACAUAGAUUCUUACUUUUUUAAGAUAAAAUUCAAAGAAAACAAGUUAAAUGUUGUGGAAAAUCUUCCAGCCAUACAAGAAAUUGUGAUAGCUAAAUGCAAACCUAACUAAAGUAUUAGUUGUUUUAUUACAAUCUCCAAAAAGAUGAGCAAUUCCAAAAUAUUUUUUUGUAACAAUAAACACUAUAGGUCAGCAAUUAUCCAAGUCAAAAGCAAGCUACUCUAUUAAAAAAAAAAAAAACUUGUAGUGAAUCUGAAGAUAAACCAAUUUUACUAGCAAGUUGGAUACCAAAGAGUAGGGCUUCAGCCUCAAUUACUCAAUGUACCAACAACACAGUCUCGGUGAGUUAAAAUCAACUUCUACCACUCUUUUACUUGCUGAUAGAUCGAUUAAGGUACCAAAAGGAAUAAUCGAAGAUGUAUUAGUUCGAGUUGAUAAAUUCAUAUAUCCUGUGGAUUUUAUUGUUUUGGAAACUGAACCAAUUGCUAAUGAAUGCAAACAAAUUCCUGUUACAUUGGGUCGUCCAUUUUUAGCUACUGCUAAUGCAUUGAUUAAUUGCUGGAAUGGAGUAAUGAGUUUAUCUUUCGGCAACAUGACAUUGGAACUCAAUGUGUUCAACAUAUGUAAACAACCUCACCACCAGGAAGAUGAUGAUAAUGAGAAUGAGGAGAUUGAUUUCAUCGAGCCAAUCAUUGAUGAACACAUUCAGAAUAAGAAUUUUACAAACUCAGUGGAAAUUUAUUCUGCUCGUUCUUUUGAAUCGAGUAAGAAAUUAGAUUACGAUACUGAUAACAUAUACCCUACACUUGAUUCUAUGCAGGUACUUGCUGACGGUGACCAAUCAAACUUUAAAAAUACAGAACAAUCUAAAGAACCAAACGAAGAGGAAGUACCAGAGCUCGAAUUAAAGCCCUUACCGGAAGAAUUGAAGUAUGCCUAUCUUGGAGAAUAACAAACUUAUCCGGUGGUAAUUUCUUCCCAACUCACGCAUGAUCAAGAAGGUAAGUUGUUGUCUGUACUAAAAAGGCAUAAAACUGCAUUUGGUUGGACCUUAAAAGACAUAAAAAGUAUUAAUCCUUUAAUCUGCACACACCGAAUACACUUAAAGGAAAAUACCAGAACAACCCGUUAACAUCGACAUUAUCAGUGUAAACAUUAAAUACCAAAAUCAACCCCAAAAACUAUAACUAAACUAUCAUGACUAAAAUAAAGUUUUUUUUUUUUAGAUAUUCGUUGUAGUAUCUCUUUAGAUGACAAACAAGAGAUAAAAUACAUAAAUAUUUGCUGUGUAAAUAAAAAUAAAUAAUUUUUUUGAACUGAAAAAUAUUCUCAAAAACUAAAUAGUUCAAACUUUUUUUAACAUUAUCGGUUCUGGACCUGAACCGAACCGUGAACCGUAAACUGCCCACCCUUACGUAGUUGUUUCCGUUAACCGAUGUUGUAUUGCUGGUAUAAAAUUGUUCAAAUGUUCAAAUCACAGUCUCCCGCUCUCAGCUCAGUCAGAGUUUCAGGUCCAGAGACUUCCCGCUGACUGAGAGCUUUUUUGUAGCAGUUCUACAAAUAAUGGAGUAGAGCUGAUUUUAUGAUUAAUUUAUUUCCUUUUUCAAUUUCUUAUGAUUGCGAUUUAAUCUGGAAAGUUAAACGUGAAUUGUUUAGUGCGGAUUAAAUGUUCGACGAAUUUCCCGCAAGAGUAUUAAGUUAAAGAGAAAAAAGAAAACAAUUGAGCGUGAGCGUGAGCGUGAGCGAGAAUGGUGUUUGGGCAAGUGGUGAUUGGUCCGCCCGGCUCGGGAAAGACCACUUACUGCAAUGGCAUAACUCAGUUUCUCAGCCUUGUUGGCAGGUAACUUCGUUUCUUGAUUUCAAGCAGCUUUAUCUUUGAUGACCAAAAAAAUUGAUUUGGGCUUUGCCCAUUAAAUGAAUGUAAGAGCGGUAGGGAAUAACUGAGUUAUAGGAUUAGCUUUAAGUGAACAUUGAUGGUAACAUGCGCGUGAAGGUUGUAUGUGUUCAGUGGCAAGCUGUAUGCCAAUUUGGUCUAUAUGGUUGCUUAGGUAGUAACUUAUUAAUUUUUACGCAGGAAGGUUGCAGUCAUCAAUUUAGAUCCUGCUAAUGAUAGUUUGCCGCAUACUUUGUCAUUGAACUUUCUUACAAAUGCUGUGGUUUGUUGUAGUAUAAUUAGUUCAAUUGGAAACUUCCUUGAUGUUAAUAUAGAAAUGAGUGUGCUGUGAAUAUUGAGGACCUCAUUAGACUAAGUGAUGUGAUGAUGGAGUAUUCACUUGGUCCCAAUGGAGGUUAGUCAGCCUAUUGUUGUUUACUCUUUCUUGCUUUAUCACGCAAUGAUAUUCCUUUGCUUUACAACAAAUUUCGUGAAAUUAACUUCAAUCAAGUGGCAAUGUUCAUAUGCUGUUGAGAUUUUAUGGACAAUGAUUGGUAGACUUUAUAUGCCGUCUUCUUUCUUUUUGCAGUGAUAUGCUUGUAUUCAAUGAGCAUGUACUUAUUCUAUGGUUUCUAAAGUAGGUGUUUUUAUGAUAAACUAGGUCUUGUGUAUUGUAUGGACUAUCUAGAGAAGAAUAUUGACUGGCUGCAGUCGAAAUUAGAACCACUUUUGAAAGGUAAGAAGAGGCCAUUUUCCUUCAUUCUAAUGCCAAUAAUGCUGUCAUGAGACUCAUAAAAAUGUUAAAACGUUAAUGUUUUUGGUAUUUUGCAGAUCAUUAUCUUCUGUUUGAUUUUCCUGGCCAAGUUGAAUUAUUUUUUCUUCAUUCCAAUGCCAAGACUGUUAUAAUGAGACUCAUAAAGAAGUUAAAUCUCAGGGUAUUGUUACAUCUUACAUCUAUGAAGGGACUCAAAGAGUUGAGAUGAAUUCAUCUUUGUUAUUUUGAUGCCAGAAUUGUGCAAUUCUCAGUUGGUUCCUUGCACAUGCAGUUGACUGCAGUGCAUCUAGUUGAUGUGCAUCUUUGCAGUGACCCCGGGAAGUAUGUUAGUGCUUUGCUUCUCUCAUUGUCUACGAUGCUACAUCUGGAACUUCCCCAUGUCAAUGUCUUGUCUAAUCGAUCUGAUUGAGAAUCAUGGAAAGCUAGGUGUGGUUUUAAGUGUAUCUCUCCUACUUGUUUGUUUAGUUUGAAAUAUCAGAUAUUGUCACAAGCUCCUAUUUGCUACAUUUCCUCACCAAUCAAUUACUUUGGGUAUGUUGCAGCUUUUAAUCUCGAGUACUAUACAGAUGUGCAAGAUUUGUCAUAUUUACAGCAUGCUCUCGGUCAGGACCCUCAUUCUGCUAAGUACAGGUUUGAAUUCUAGCUGAAUCAAUGAUGCAAAUUAUGUUCAUUGCUAUUUCUGCUGUUGUUUCUAUCAUUUUCAAUUGUUACCUCCCCUUGCCAUCUACUGCCACACUGCAAUGCCUACACAAAUGUUAUGAAAUUUGUCAAUGGCAAUGCCAUCCUGUUUGUCCAGAGACAGCUCUUAGAUGCAAGUGAACAAUUUUUGGCUUUGGCCGUAGUACAGCCUUAGAUUUCAACUUGCCAUAUCUUGUCUCGGAAGUCAAAAGAAAGCGUAUAUGUUAGCCAAAUUUUAUUUGAAUUUAUUAAGUAACAAUGAAUGGGUCAGAAAAACAGUUCCUCUUUUGUUUUGAUCAGACUCAAUGAAUAAGUGUUUAAAAUGUGCCUGUCCUAAAAAUAUAGAUGUGUGGUUUCACAAAAUUUUCUUGAUCUUAAGAAAGAGUUAUCUUGAAAAGAAGAUAACAUGGAGAAUUCAGCAACUAUACAGUCAUAUUGAUGUCUGUCAACUUGGGUCAGAUGGUGUCGUUUGGAUGGAGAUGUUAGGUCCCAGAUGGUAUGCUUGUUAUCAAAUUCCAGUCUAAUUCAUUCAUGCUUUGAUGACAUAUGCGGUGCAGCUUCUUAUCUAAGACCUGUAUAUGUUCAGUCAUCAUUCAGUUCUGUAUUUGGCUGUCAUUCUUUCAAUGAAUUCAAACCACUUUCUGAAUACUUGCAAGGGAAAUUAUCAUUCGUAUACCCUAUAUUUACUCUGUUAUCAAAAAUACUACAACACUUUGAGGGUGUAUCAAUCGUCCACCAUAAGUUGACAAAAUGUAUCAACCGACCACCAAACCGUUAAUUGUCGUUUGAAAGUUAACGGAAUUACAGUGAAUUGACGAUUUUACCCUUGAAAAUUAUCACUUGUAUACCCAUAAAAUUCUCUUUUUAGCACUUGUAUACCCUUAAAUUAUCACUUGUAUCAUAUGAAAAGACCAAAUUACCCUUCUGAUGUUAUCAUAUUUAAACGGCAACUAACGGUUUGGUGGUCGGCUGAUACAUUUUGUCAACUUAGGGUGGACGAUUGAUACACCCUCAAAGUGUUGUAGUAUUUUUGAUAAUUGAGUAAACUAAGGGUAUACAAGUGAUAAUUUCCCUACUUGCAAAUUCAUCCAGUGUUGUCAUUGAGAUGCCAAUAUGUAAAGGAGCAAUAGUUGCCCUUGAUAGUAUGCUUAUUGAUUGCCUCUUGCCUCACUCAGCCUAAGGAAUCUGGUUGUAUGGUGUUCUUGUAAUUUCAUUUGGAGAUAAGUAAUAUCUGUUGUUCAAAUGUAUUUUAUAUACAACCAGUUCAUAAUUCUGCUUGCAGAAAGCUUACAAAGGAGCUGUGUGAUGUAAUAGAAGACUACAGUCUGGUCAAUUUUUCAACUUUAGAUAUUCAGGUCAUCAGUUUCUCUUGAAUUCUUUCUUGAGUUUCUUUGAAUUAUUUGUGAAUAAGAUCUUAGUUGGCUGCUCCUCUUCAGGAUAAGGAAAGUGUGGCAAAACUCGUGAAGCUGAUAGAUGAAAGCAAUGGGUACAUCUAUGCUGGCAUGGAUGCCAGGGCAGUUGAAUUCAGCAAGAUUGCCGUUCGCGAUGUUGAUUGGGAUUAUUUCGGAUAUCCUUCUUUUCACCUAUUUUCAAUCUUGUUAUUCUCAUAUUCAUAAAACAUUUUGGUUAUUUAAUUAUGGUUCAUCAUAUGCAUCUGCAUCUUCUAACUUGUUCGUUUGAGAAACUAAUUUUGCCGUUAGGUAGGCUUCAAGCUUGAUUCAUGCUUUUUUCAAAAAUGUACCAAAAUCAUGGAAACUUCUUUUUCCCAGAUAUUGUAUCCACACUUUUCCCAUAUAAUUGGGUCAGACAAGUUUUGCUUAACAAAGAUAUCUACAGUAGCCGAAGUGCAGGAGAAGUACAUUAAGGAUGAUGACGAUGUUAACUAAAAUGGGACGUGAAGAUAUGUGGUGUGCAAACCGUAAGCCUGCCUCUUAUUUUUGUGCAUGUUUACUUGCUUGUGAUUCACGUUUGUUAAUCUAUUUUGCUCUCUUGCAGGAGUUAUAAAGUUUUCAAUCAAUCAAACAUUUAACUCAAGUCCUUAGCUCUUCACGGCUUGAAUGGGUCAGAUAGGACAAGCGCCGAAGAGGUGGUUUUAAUCAAACCCCUCCUAAUUAUGAUGUAUGGUCCAAAUCUCGGACUUUCUGUACAAUAUCGAGCGAUUCGGACCUUUCAAGUCGAAUAUUGAUUUUUCUCCAGUAUUGUUUGUAAUUACAAGAAACGAAGUAAUGAAAUUUAUCACUGCGUUCAUAGUUAUGCUUAAGCUCAAAGAUUACCGUCAAGAUCAUUUUGGGCCCUCAAAGAAACAUGAUGUUGACACAUGUAAAAUUAUGAAGCUUGUGAUUAAAAUACUUUUGACAUAUAUAUGUUAAGUACUAUUAAUAAUUAAACAUAUGAAUAAAUAUGGUCAAUGAGGAGAGGAUAAAAUAAAAUGGUUUCAUUUUUUGAAUUACUCAACCGCUUCAAACUUCUAAGAAGUAGAUAUACAAUGAGUGGAAUACUGAAUUGAGUGCGAGCUGCGGAUAACUUAUAAAAUUGGGAUGCAAGCUUCAAGGAAAGUGUAUUGCUAUUCAAAUGUAGAUUUCAAAUUAGGAAGAUAUGCCAGCAAAUUGUAUAAAAAUGUAUAAAUUGAUCAGUAACAUUAAUUCCAAAUGAUGAAAUGAGUUAUCUUGAUCAAAAGGUCAAGAACCUACCUUACUUCUCUUAGAGAUAACUUGCAUCAACCGUUGUGGUAUUCAUACUUGUCUUCAGCUAGUAAAAGUGAAAGUUUCACAAUUGAAAUAAAGCUAAGGGAAGAUGCUAUGCUGCAUUUAUUAUUAUUAUUAUUGAUGUGGUCGAGAAGUAAAGCCAUGCAUAUGAUGAAGUAUAAAUAAGAAUGCAAUAGCCCGGAAUUCAUUUUCACAAACACUUCAAUAUCCUUUUGAUCACUUUUGCAAACAUCAAUUUGUCUCCUCUUGUAUUCACCAUGGUUGAUGCCGUCAUUUCCCCUCUCGUGGAGCAGCUGACUUCCUUCGCUGCUAAAGAGAUAAUACAACAGGUGAUCGAAGUUAAACCCCCCAUAUUAUAAAUACUUCUAAUGAUUUUAAUUGGUUUUGUUUUUAUCGAAAACAUUAACUUUGCUUUAUUUUACUUAUUUAGGCAUUUUAAAUUUUGAAAUUUGAAUUGAAUUUAAUUAAAAUGUGAUGUAGUUAGUAACCACUUUUUUUUAUUUCAUUUAAAUUCUCAAUAACUACCUAUAUUUUGGUAACUUACUGUAACCCCCGUAUCUAAGAAAUGAUCAAAACCCACAAUUUUAACUCCACAUAAAUAUUCCAUGUUGAGCUAAGUUCGAUGUUGAGGUAAGUUUUUGCAUAACAUUCAAGUUUGUCAAAUAGUCAUUAAUUAAAUGUUUAGUAAAAACUUAUCUCUGAAAAAUUUCAUAAUUUUCUUACAUUCUUUGAGUUUGGUAAGUGACUUCAUAUAAUUUCCUUUCAAUUUAAAUUUUAAUUUGGUUUCUGAUAUAGUCUCUUUACUGAAUUUAUAUCUUUUAUGAUUCUUGGAUUUGGGGCUCCAACUUUUUAGGAUUUGAUAGUCACAUUUUAUGGCAUGCUUAGAUUGAUUUUCAUGAUUUUUAGUACUCGUUAAGUGACUGAGAAUUUGACAAAAGUUUGAAAGGAAAUCCGUUUCACGAUUCUUAUGUGGAAGGUUCAUAAAAUCAUUAAAUUUGGAUAGGAUUCAUUAGCAAUAUGUACAAGACUCUCCAUGAAGUUUCGUAAUUUUUCAUUCGGUCUGGGGUGGUACAGGUAAAGCUUGUGGUUGGUGUUGAAAAAGAAGUGAAAAGCCUUACCAGCCACCUUCAAGCCAUUCAAGCUGUUAGCGAUGAUGCAGAGGAAAAGCAAGUGAAGGACAAAGCUAUUAGACUUUGGCUGGGUAGGCUCAAGUACGCAUCCUACGACAUUGAAGAUGUGUUGGAUGAAUGGAUCACGGCAAGAGGCAAAUUGCAAAUUAAGGGUGGCGCUGAUAAGAAAAAGAAGGUUUGUUUCUGCUUUCCCGCCUCUUGUUUUGGAUUCAAACAAGUCUUUCUACGUCAUGACAUUGCCAACAAGAUCAAAGAAGUCAGUGAAGAGCUACAUGAUAUUGCCACCCAAAAAGACAUGUUUAAAUUUGAGAGUAGCAGUAAAAGUAGUGAAAGACCAAGGCGUGUGCAGAGUACCUCCUUGAUUGAUGAGGAAGAGAUUUGUGGUAGAGUUGGUGAGAGGAAUGCACUCUUAAGCAUGCUGUUGUGUGAGAGCAGUGAGCAACAAAAAGGCCUUCAUAUCAUCUCAAUUGUUGGUAUGGGAGGCAUCGGGAAAACAACUCUUGCACAACUAGCAUGUAAUCAUGUUGAGGUAAAGAGAGAGUUUGACAAAAUUUUAUGGGUGUGUGUAUCAGAAACUUUUGACGAGUUUAGGAUUGCCAAAGCGAUGCUUGAAGCUUUGACUGGUUCAACUUCUAAUUUAGAUGCAUUGCAAUCUCUUCUUAUAAGUAUUGAUGAAUCUAUUGCGGGAAAGAGAUUUCUUCUUGUCUUAGAUGACGUGUGGGACGGAGAUUACAUUAAAUGGGAACCAUUCUACCGUUGCCUAAAGAAAGGUCUCCAUGGAAGUAAAAUUUUAAUUACGACACGUAAGGAGUCAAUUGUGAGCAUGAUGAGAUCCACAGAUAUUAUCUCUAUCAAGGAAUUGGCUGAAGAAGAAUGUUGGGCAUUGUUUAAGCGGUUAGCAUUUUUCGGUCGUUCCACUGAGGAGUGUGAAAAAUUGGAACAAACUGGUCAAAGAAUUGCAAGAAAGUGUAAAGGUUUACCUCUUGCUGCAAAGACAAUGGGAAGUCUCAUGAGCUCUAAAAAAAUUGAAGAAGAGUGGAAAAGAAUUUUAAAUAGUGAUUUAUGGAAGGUAGAAGAGAUCGAGAAAGGUGUUCUAACCCCUUUGUGGUUGAGUUAUAACGAUUUGCCAUCUAGAGUAAAAAGAUGUUUCUCGUAUUGUGCUGUCUUUCCAAAAGACUACAAUAUAGAAAAAGACAAACUAAUUACUUUGUGGAUGGCUCAAGGUUAUCUUAGUGCAGAAGCAGCAGAACAAGAUGAGGAGUUGGAGACUAUAGGUGAAGAGUAUUUUGGCAUCUUAGCUUCUCGCUCUUUCUUUCAAGAGUUUGAGAAACGUUAUGAUAAUCGUAUUAUAGCGUGCAAGAUGCAUGAUAUGGUACAUGAUUUUGCCCAAUUUGUUAGUCAAAAUGAAUGUUUUUCGUUGGAAGUUAAUGGUAGUGAGGAACUAAACGUCACAAACUCUACAAACUCUCUUGAUGAGAAGGUCCGUCAUUUAAUGUUAAUCUUUAGUAAAGGGGCUUCAUUACCGGUUUCCACUCUUAGAGUUAAAAGAAUGCGUACCCUCUUAAUUAACGAUAGUAGAUCUGAUCAUUCAUUAUUAAAUGGUGAGAUCCUAGAAGAAUUAUUUAGGGAGUUGACAAGUUUAAGGGCAUUAGAUUUUGGCAAAUCGUAUAACUCAAGUUGGUAUUCGACUCUGGAGAUUCCGAGAAACAUAGAAAAGCUGGUACAUUUAAGAUACCUUAAUUUGUUUUAUCAGGGAAUAAAGAAACUACCGGAGACAUUAUGCGAGUUGUAUAAUCUAGAAAAGUUAGAUAUUAGUUUAUGUUUUAAUCUUAAAGAAUUACCUGAAGGGAUUGGGAAGUUAAUAAACAUGAAGCAUUUACGAAAUAGAGGUACUAGUUCUUUAAGGUACAUGCCAGUAGGGAUUGGGAGAUUAACGGGUCUCAGGACCUUGGAUGAGUUCCACGUGAGUGGAGGAGGAGGUGUUGAUUGUAGGAAAGCAUGUAGGCUUGAAUCUCUCAAAAACUUGGAAAACCUUCGAGUGUGUGGUAUAUGUAGACUGGGUGAUGUAUCAGAAGUGGGCGAGGCUAAGCGAUUAGAACUUGACAAAAAGAAAUACCUCUCUUGUUUGAGACUUCGGUUUGAUAAGAAGAAAGAAGAAGGAGAAAGGAGGAAGAACGAGUACGAUCAACUUCUUCUUGAAGCCCUACAACCACCUCUCAAUUUAAAGGAAUUAGAGAUAGAGUACUACCGAGGCAACACUGUUUUCCCCAGCUGGAUGACGUCAUUAACCAACUUAAAGAGUUUAGAUCUCUCUUCCUGUGAAAAUUGCGAGCAGCUGCCUCCUUUGGGAAAAUUGCCAUCCCUUGAAAAUCUCCACAUAUAUCGCAUGGAGAGUGUGAAAAGAGUGGGUGAUGAAUUUUUGGGGAUAGAAAGUGAUCAUCAUGGCUCAUCUUCAUCGGUUAUUAUUGCCUUCCCCAAAUUGAAAUCACUCACAAUUUCUUUGAUGCUGGAAUUGGAGGAGUGGGAUUAUGGGAUUACAAGAACGGGAAACACCGUCAUCAUCAUCAUGCCACGUCUUUCUUCCUUGACAAUUGGGAAUAGUCCCAAAUUAAAGGCACUGCCCAACCACAUUCAUCAAACGACAACAUUGAAGACAUUGCGCAUUUGGAGGUGUGACCUUCUGGAAGAACGUUACCGCAAGGGGGAAGGAGAAGACUGGCCUAAGAUAUCACACAUUCCCAAUCUCCAUUUUGGGCUUUGACAAGUAAUUUCUUCUCUUACUCUGAUUUGCUUUGUUGUUGUUUUUAAUCUAAUUAAGAAGCGUAAAUAGCAUUUUGAAUCAAACUCUAUAUCAGAAAUCUGCAAUACUUACUUUCUAAUAUUCUGAUUUUCAUAUCCUAUGAAUAUACGAUUUUUAAUUUGUGGGAUGGGUAACGUUACUGUAAAAGAUUAUUAAUGCAAUAUGAGUAAUUCUUUUGCAGGACAAGUGGCCUACAUUUAGUUUGGCUUUGGAGUUGAAUAAUAACCUUUCGAGGUCCCGACAACCAAAAAACGAAACUUAAUUUGCCACAGAUUGCACGUAUUGCCAUUAUUGACAAUUUUCUGCACAAGCUUAGGUUGAUGUCAAAAGAGGUAAAUUAUUGGCAUGCCUGACUAUUUUGACCAUUACAUGAUUCAUAAGUUUACAUUAAUUUUGAUUUUGAGUUGAGUGAUUAAUUUUCUAGGUUUGCUUACUUUAACUGGGUGACCAAUUUCUUGUAACCAAAUGUAUGAUGUGAUGCAGGAAGCAGGGCAGGACAUGAAAAGAGAAGCUUAUUAGAGGAAGGAUUGCCAGUAACAGAAUCCAAAGAAAAAGAAACCAUUUCGAGGCAGCAGUUGGCAGUUGGCAGUGAAUGGAGCCCCUUGAAAAAACCCCCAAGCGGUUGCACUGCAAUUACGAUCAUCCUCGGCCUCAGGUAAUUUCUUCUCCUGCAUUUUUGUUAUUUGCUAUCAAGUGACUAUUUUAAGUAUGAUUGCAUUAAGCUGCUGCUGGGAAAUUUGAGGUUUUGAUGACUGCCCAUGCUAUUGUAAGAAGCUGCGGUUCUUUUCAUCAGCCUGAACCUGGACCUGCCGCUAUGGAUAACUCAGUUUUUCUUUUUUUUAAUCAACUGCCAUCUUUUCCACUGUUUAGAAACUCUUUAAGAUUAAACUUUAGUAAAGUUGUUUUAGUUAUUCAUGUAAUCAGGCUGAGGAUACUUAGCUGCCUAUUUAGGCAAAUGUCAGAAUUUAGUUUGUUCGCUGGGUACUGGUGGGGACUGGCAAAGGAUGAUGAGAUAGUUUUUUGAGUGAGUAAAUUUUGGGAGCUUGAGUGUAUUGGGAUUUGCAAUUACAAUCAUCGUCUGCCUCAGGUGAUUCUUUUUCCUGCUCUGUCAUUGUUUGUUCUCUAAUUCAAAAGCAUAAAAUAUUUCAAUCAAUUUUUAUGCCAGGAAUAUGCAAAAGUUUCUAAUAUUUUAUUUCCAUCUGUUACAAGAUCAAACUGAAGCAGAACUCAAACAAAAGUAUGCUACUUCUUGCGGAAAUCUUGCCUUUGUUCAGAUUAUGAAACCAUUUCCAUGCAGCAAAUUCAUCCAAAAGUUUGAAUAAGUUUCACGGUUGGACACUGUUGGCUUCUUUUUCUUCUGGGGUGCAUUUAGGUGCUAUCAAGUGACAGCUGUAAGUAUGAUUGCACUAAGCUGCUGCUGGGAAAUUUGAGGUUUUGAUGGCUGCCCAUGUUAUUUUCAAUAAACUAUUGAUGUAAGAAGCUGUGGUUCUUUUCAUCAGCUUGAACCUGAAACUGUCGCUAUGGAUAACUCAGGUUUUUGUUAUCAACUAUAUCAUCUUUUUCACUAUUUUGAAACUCUUAAGAUUAAACUUUAGUAAAGUUGUUUCAGCUAUUCAAAUGAAAAACUCAUUGAUUUGAGAAUUCCUUCAUUAUUGUUUCUAAUUACAAUGCUAACGAUCCAGAUAAAAUAAUAUUUAAUCGGCGAAGGUGUCCCUUGGAAGUACAUCCUUCUUUUUCUUUUAUUAUAUCAAUUCUUGCAAUGAGCUUAGUGAAGCUGUUGUGCUAAUCAUGCCACUGCAUAAUUUGGCCCCUAAUGUGGGUACUCUGUUACAUUGUUCUGCAAAUUCUCCAGAAGUUAAAAUCAAUAAAUUUUCUAUUAGCUCUAGUGCUUUGACCUAAAUGCUAUUCUAUAUUCUGAUUACAAUGUUUUAACCUUUAAAUUAACUACCCCUAGAUGUUGGAUUUUCUAGAACUUCAAAAUGAUUAAUGGAGAAAGAUCCCAUUAUCGUUAUUGCUAUAAGAAAUUGAUUUAUGCAUCCAAAGAUACAUUAUAUAUUUCUGUGUCUCUAUUUAUAGAUGACAUUUAAGCAUCCAUAAACCGUCAGACAGAGGAAGGGGGUUCAGUGCAAAGAUUCUGUUGACCUAGGGUUGACUGCAUAUGUCACUUGUUCGCAAUCUAUUAUUUAUUUUAUAUUUUGAAGAAUUUAAUGGGUAAUCCUAAUUGUUUGUUUUGGCAGGUAUGUGUUGUUAUCUCCUUCUAUCUAACAGUCGUACCUAAAUAGCAUAGUUUCAUCUGUGUUACCAUGUGAUGUACAUAAUUUCACAUUUGCCUCAGAUUAAGCUUAAUUUCCCACAGAAUAGAGCUGUCGCGACUGGACUUAGGUUGAUGUCCAAAGAGGUAAAUUAUUGGUAUGCCUAGAUAAUUUGGCCAUUUCCUAAUUCAUAAGUCUACAUUAAUUUUGAUUUUGAGUUGACUGAUUUCUUUUCAAGGUCUGCUUCCUUAACGGAGUGACCAAUGUUUUUCAACUAAAUUUAUCAUAUGAUGCAGGAAGCAGGGCAGGAUAUGCAAUGAGAAUCUCAUUGGUGGAAGUAUUGCCAGUAACAGAACCCAAAGAAAAUGAAACUGUUUCAAGGCAGCAGUUGGCAGUUGCAAGUGAAUGGAGGCCCUUGACAAAAUUCUCAAGCGGUUGCAAUGCAAUUACGAUCAUCCUCAGCCUCAGGUAAUUUCUUCUCCUGCUUUGUAUUUAUUUGUUAUCUAAUUAGGAAGCGUAAAGUAUCUUGAAUCAUUUUCUGUAUCUGGAAUAUAUGCAAGAGUUUCUAAAAUUUUGAUAUGAGUGUGAUGAUGGUAAUUUCUGUUUUCUGUCUGUCUUCAAAUGUUAGAAAACUUUCAUUGAGACGCUUGAACCGAGUCAUUUUUGACAAGUGAAGUGCUGAAGAGUGAAGAGUAAGAAUGGUGCUAGAUUGGGGAAUAAAGCAAAAGGAGGUAAAUUAUUGGCAGCUUCUUCAGCCUUAUUUUCUUUGGACCAGUGCCUAACUCACAAGUCUCCAUAAUUCGGCUUUUGACCAGUUGAUAGAUAAAAUUUUAAUUUCAUUGGUGCUAAUGUACCCGUGAAGCAGGCAGAGAAGGACUGUGGAAAAGAGAAGGUUUUUAGUGAAAGCUUAAACUCAGGUAAUUCUAAAAAUUAUAUGUUUUGGCUGAUUUAUCUAAAUCAGGAAAUUUUAUUUCCAUCUGUUACAAUAAAACAGAAACAGAACACAAAGAAAAAUAUUCUACUUCUUGUGGCAAUCUUGCCUUCAUUCAGACUAUGAAACCAUUUCCUUUCACCAAUUUCUUCCAAAAUUUUGAACACGUUUCAUGGUUGGACAUAGUUAUCUUCUUUUUCUUUUGGUGCAUUUAGGUACUAUCAAGUGACAGCCAUAAGUAUGAUUGCAUUGUUGGGAAAUUUUAGGUUUUGAUGGCUCCCCAUGUUAUUGCCAAGAAAUUUUAAGUCCUCAUGUCAGAAGCUGCGUUUCUUUUCAUCAGCCUGAACCCGAACCUGUCACUAUGGAUAACUGAGGUUUUUGUCAUCAACUAUAUCAUCUUUUUCACUGUUUUGAAACUCUUAAGAUUAAACUGUUGAGAAGUCAAUAUUAGCCCAAAUAAGUCCACACCUAAAUUAAUUUGAUGUCAUUGCUUACAUCAAUUUAGUUAGGUGAAUAUUAGCCCAAAUAAGUCCACACCUAAAUUAAUUUGAUGUCAUUGCUUACAUCAAUUUAGUUAGGUGAAAAUUAGGUAUUUUUCCCAUGUUUAAUUUCAAUGGUUUAAAUUAGUUUGUGGUUAUUUUAAUGAGUGGUUUAGAUUGUUUCUUGUAACCUAUAAAUACCUCAUUUGUAUUUGAGUUUUAUUAUUCAACAAUAAAAAGCUUUAUUAUAAGCAUUUGAAAGCUUUCUUAAGAGUUCUUCUCUUUUUGCAAUUUUGUGAGAUUAUUCUAAAGAGAGUUUUUCUUCUUCUUGAUCAAUUAGAGUUUUUACUCUAUUUUGAUUCAACAUUUGGUAUCAGAGCAUUGGUUGUAAAGUCUCUUGAAAUUCCGAGUAUGCUCUGUGGUUGCAGUUUUGACUGAUCUUCCACAUCAGAAAAGAUUUCUUGAGAUUAUUGCUGGGGUUAUCACAAACCUUGAGAGGGAGCUUCUUUGUGUCAAGAGUAGUGUAUUAUUCUGCACGGUAGUCACUCAAGAUUGUUCGGUGUAGUCAAAGUCUUGUCGAUACGAUGGGUGAUCUUCAAGUUGUUGGAGGAAUCAAGAAGCUCAACAACCAAAACUAUAACACGUGGGCAACGUGUAUAGAAUCUUACCUUCAAGGUCAAGACUUGUGGGAGGUUGUCGGUGGUAGUGAAGUUACACAACCGGCAGCGGAAGAUGCUAACGGCGUCUUGCGGAAGUGGAAAAUUAAAGCAGGCAAAGCAAUGUUUGCUUUAAAGACCACAAUAGAAGAAGAAAUGUUGGAGCACAUUCGGGAUGCUAAAUCACCGAAGGAAGCGUGGGACACCUUCGCUACACUCUUUUCGAAGAGGAACGAUACAAAAUUGCAACUUCUCGAGAAUGAACUUCUAUCAAUGGUGCAACGCGACAUGGCGGUUGCCCAAUACUUUCACAAGGUGAAGUCGAUAUGCCGUGAAAUUUCAGAAUUAGAUCCGACAGCUGCUAUUGGGGAAGCCAGGAUAAAAAGAAUAAUUGUCCAUGGCUUGAGACCCGAAUACCGAAGCUUUGUAGCCGCUGUACAAGGAUGGCCGACACAACCAUCACUUGUUGAGUUUGAAAAUUUGCUGACAGGCCAAGAAACUAUGGCCAAGAAAAUGGGAGGAGUCUCACUAAAGGGUGAAGAGGAAGCGCUUUACACCAACCAAAGCAGAGGUGGUUCAAGACAGCACAACAAAGGCGGAUCUAGAAAGACUGGUGAACAGACAAAAAGUCAUCAGGGAGGGAAUGGCUCUCGUCCAGGGGGAGCUUCGAAGAAUCGUGACAGUAAUAGAAAGUUCGAUGGCGAAUGUUACAAUUGCGGGAAGAAGGGCCACAUGAAGAGAGAUUGUUGGUCCAAAAAGAAGUCUACCGAAAGCAAUAUUGCUACUUCUAGUUCUAAAGAAGAUAGUGAAGAUAGCUGGGAUGCCGAAGCAUUACUCGCUAUGGAGGAAGAAGAAUUAGCUCUCACGGUAACAACACCAGAAAAGAUUAACUACGAGAAUGAUUGGAUCGUAGACUCAGGCUGCUCAAAUCACAUGACGGGUGAUAGACAGAAGUUGCAAAACUGUUCUGAGUACAAGGGAAAUCGUGUGGUGGUAACAGCUGACAACUCAAGGUUACCGAUAGCUCACAUCGGUAAAGCGAUCGUUACACCUCGAUAUAGUCCCAACCAAGUGCCACUUCAAGAUGUCUACCAUGUUCCAGGAAUGAAGAAAAAUUUGCUAUCCGUAGCUCAAUUGACAUCAUCAGGCCACUAUGUCUUGUUUGGUCCACAAAAUGUGAAGGUAUUUCGAGACCUGAAGAUCUCAGAAAACCCUACGAUGGAGGGACGACGAUUGGAGUCAGUUUAUGUGAUGUCAGCUGAGUCUGCAUACGUAGACAAGACAAGAAGGAAUGAGACGGCAGAUCUGUGGCACAUGCGGCUAGGUCAUGUUAGUUAUUCCAAGCUAAGUGUGAUGGUGAAGAAGUCGAUGCUUAAGGGACUUCCACAACUUGACGUGAGAACAAAUACUGUUUGCGCGGGAUGUCAAUAUGGUAAAGCACAUCAAUUGCCAUACGAGGAGUCGAAGUUUAAAGCAAAGAAACCAUUAGAGUUAAUUCACUCUGAUGUGUUUGGACCAGUUAAGCAACCAUCAAUUGGCGGAAUGCGGUAUAUGGUUACGUUCAUUGAUGAUUUCUCCAGAUAUGUAUGGGCUUUCUUCAUGAAAGAAAAAUCUGAAGCAUUCUCAAAGUUCAAAGAGUUCAAAGAGAUAGUCGAAGGAGAAGUGGAGCAAAAGAUUCGUUGCUUGCGCACAGACAACGGGGGUGAGUAUAGCUCGAGAGAGUUUUCUCAAUACCUACGGGAAUGCCAAAUACGUCAUCAGUAUACUUGUGCCAAUACGCCACAACAAAAUGGUGUAGCAGAGAGGAAGAAUCGGCACCUUGCUGAAAUUUGCCGGAGUAUGCUACAUGCGAAGAAUGUACCUGGAAGAUUUUGGGCCGAAGGUAUGAGAACUGCAGCUCAUGUCAUCAACAAGCUUCCUCAACCAAGGUUGGAGUUUGUUUCACCCUUUGAGAAAUUGUGGAACAAGAAACCUACAGUUAGCUAUUUUCGAGUAUUCGGUUGUGUAUGCUAUGUAUUUGUUCCUGACCAUCUACGUAGCAAGAUCGAUAAGAAAGCAGUCAGAUGUAUCUUUGUGGGAUACGACAAUCAGCGAAAAGGGUGGAAGUGUUGUGAUCCAGUAGAUGGAAGGUGCUACACAUCACGAGAUGUGGUGUUUGAUGAAGCAUCCUCAUGGUGGACCUCAGAAAAAGAAGUGCUGCCAGACUCGAAAGAAUUCGGAGACAUGCUACAACAAAAGAUGGGGGAGCAUACUGUCCAAAUUCAUCUAAGCUCAGCUGGGGAUCUAUGCGAUAGUGAUAGCGAACGAAGAGUAACUCUAAAUCCUUGGCAAUCUGGGGUGUAUCGACAACCAGAUGAAGAAGGUGUGCCUAGUGAAACAGAAGAAUCAACUCCAUUACGAAGGUCAACAAGAACCCGAAGGCCAAAUCCCAAAUACGCUAAUGCAGCCAUAGUUGAAGAAGCAACUGGAAUAGAACCUGAGACGUUCGAAGAAGCGUCACAGAGUUCUGAGUGGAUGACAGCUAUGAAAGACGAGAUCACUGCACUUGAGCAAAAUCAGACCUGGGAACUCGUGCCAAAGCCAAAAGAUGUGAAACCCAUAUCCUGCAGAUGGGUUUACAAAAUAAAGCACUGUCCAGAUGGGUCAAUCGAGAGGUACAAGGCUCGAUUGGUAGCUCGUGGUUUCUCUCAACAAUAUGGACUAGAUUAUGACGAAACGUUUAGUCCAGUGGCAAAACUUACAACCGUCCGAGUCUUACUUGCACUUGCAGCCAACAAAAGCUGGAACUUGUGGCAGAUGGACGUGAAGAAUGCCUUUCUCCAUGGAGAGCUGGAUAGAGAGAUCUACAUGAUUCAACCGAUGGGUUUUCAGAACCGAGGUCACCCUGAGUAUGUGUGUAAACUGCGAAAGGCUCUCUACGGACUAAAACAAGCACCCAGGGCGUGGUAUGGCAAGAUUGCUGAAUUUCUAACUCAAAGUGGGUAUUCAGUAACAUCUGCAGACUCCAGCUUGUUUGCUAAAGCUAAUGGAGAAAGGAUAGCUAUUGUGCUCGUGUACGUAGAUGAUCUAAUCAUCACUGGAGAUGAUGUUGAAGAAAUUUUCCGAACAAAGGAGAACUUGUCAGUUCGUUUUCAAAUGAAAGAACUUGGACAACUUAAGCAUUUCCUUGGGCUAGAGGUUGAUCAGACGAAAGAAGGGAUAUUUCUUUGUCAACAGAAAUAUGCCAAAGAUUUGUUGAAGAAGUUUGGGAUGCUAGAAUGUAAGCCGAUCUCAACACCGAUGGAACCAAAUGCCAAGAUGUGUGCACAUGAAGGCAAAGACCUGGAAGAUGCAUCGAUGUAUCGACAAUUAGUGGGUAGUCUAAUCUACUUAACCUUGACUCGACCUGACAUUUCUUAUGCAGUUGGCGUGAUGAGUCGAUACAUGCAAAAUCCGAAGAAGUCUCAUUUAGAAGCGGUUCGGCGAGUACUCAGAUAUGUGAAGAGUACAAUAGACUAUGGUCUUUUAUACAAGAAAGGUGGAAAUUGCAAACUAGUUGGCUACUGUGAUGCUGACUAUGCAGGAGAUCACGAUACUCGCAGAUCAACUACUGGGUAUAUGUUUACCCUUGGAUCUGGAACGAUUUCUUGGUGUAGCAAGAGACAACCGACUGUGUCCAUGUCAACUACGGAAGCAGAGUAUCGAGCAGCAGCAAUGGCAGCUCAAGAAAGCACGUGGCUGAUACAACUAAUGAAUGAUCUACAUCAACCACUAGAUUAUACAGUUCUGUUGUACUGUGACAACCAAUCGGCAAUUCGGCUGGCGGAGAAUCCUGUUUUUCAUGCAAGAACUAAACAUGUGGAAGUGCAUUACCACUUUGUUAGGGAAAAAGUUCUGCAAGAAGAGAUUGAGAUGAGGCAAGUCAAGACAGAUGAACAAAUUGCUGACUUGUUUACAAAAAGCUUGAGUGUUGGAAAGUUUGAACAUUUCCGUCGUCAGCUUGGCAUGAUUCAAAGAAUGGGGGCUAACAUUGAGGGGGAGUGUUGAGAAGUCAAUAUUAGCCCAAAUAAGUCCACACCUAAAUUAAUUUGAUGUCAUUGCUUACAUCAAUUUAGUUAGGUGAAUAUUAGCCCAAAUAAGUCCACACCUAAAUUAAUUUGAUGUCAUUGCUUACAUCAAUUUAGUUAGGUGAAAAUUAGGUAUUUUUCCCAUGUUUAAUUUCAAUGGUUUAAAUUAGUUUGUGGUUAUUUUAAUGAGUGGUUUAGAUUGUUUCUUGUAACCUAUAAAUACCUCAUUUGUAUUUGAGUUUUAUUAUUCAACAAUAAAAAGCUUUAUUAUAAGCAUUUGAAAGCUUUCUUAAGAGUUCUUCUCUUUUUGCAAUUUUGUGAGAUUAUUCUAAAGAGAGUUUUUCUUCUUCUUGAUCAAUUAGAGUUUUUACUCUAUUUUGAUUCAACAUAAACUUCAGUAAAGUUGUUUCAGUUAUCUAUGUAAUCAGGCUAAGGAUAUUUAGCAGCUUAUUUAGGCAACUGCCAGAAUUCAGUUUGUUCGCUCGAAACUUGUAUGGUGACAAGGAUACUGGCAAGGAUAGUGAGAUAGUUUUUUGUGCGAGUGAAUUUUGAAAGCUUGGGUGUUCUGGGAUUUGCAAUUGCAAUCAUCCUCUGCUUUAGGUGAUUUCUUCUCCUCUUCUGUCUUUAUUUUCUCUCUAAUUGAAAGCAUAAAGUAUUUCAAUCAAAUUCUGUACCAGGAAUACGAAAAAUUUACUAAUAUUUUAUUUCCAUCUGUUUGCAUUGAUAACUUGGCCGCUUAUGUACUAGUUAAAGAACAAACAGAAGCAGAGUUCAGGAAAAAGUUUCUUCGGCCACCAUAUUUUAAAAUGAAACCAUUUCCAGGAAGCAGUUGGCAGCAAAUUCAUAGAAAGUAUAGACAAUGAUGAGCAAAAAGGUGAUUCGCAAUUUCAUUUUUUUAAAAUGAAAUUAUUUGUUAAGUUGGAGCUGAUAUUGUUAGAAGGCCAUUGAGCUAACCUAUGACACUGCUUGCCUAGAUUGCAGGAGGUCAAGACUCAAAAGAUGCACUGAAUUUUAAAAGGCAUGCAAUAAUUCUUAUGGCCAUUUGUCAAUGGUGGAAUGCUUUUAGCUUCUUUUCCUUUCGUGCAUUUUGGGGUUCUAUCAAGCGACAGCCGUAUGUAUGGACGGAUAUAGCUGCUGCGUUGAUUUCUAAUGCGUUGUAUGAUGUUAUAGCAACUAUCUAUCUGGUCAAUGUUUCAAAAGAAUAAGACACAGGGAAAAAGAGAAAGCAAGUGGCCAAUCAAGUAUUCAUGUCCCAAAGAAAAGAAUGAUUCGACAAUAGCAUUAAGGGUUAAUUGGACACAACAGAAGUGUUUUAACCACUUCAAGGAAUGUAAAUGUAAUUUUCCAUUCUAAAGAAAAAGUAAAUAUAUGCACUGUCAAUUAAUCUUUGGUCAACCAGCAACAUUCAUAAUUUCGUGUAAGUUUCAUUUCUGUUUGUUGGAAAUAGCAGUGUAUUUCUGAGAGUUUGUUCAAAAUGGAAAGAUUUUAAAAUAUAAAUUUCACAUCUGUUUAUUACUGUUGUUUGGUCUAAUUUCUUAUGUAGAAUUUUCAGAAUCUGUCGGACAUUAGUUUAUAAUUUUGAGAUUUUGCAGCCAUAAAUUUUUUUUUUUUUUGGUUGCCAUUUUAUUUUGCUCCUUUAUCUAUGUGCAUGUUGACUGGCUGCAGUGAGUGAAAAUUUACCCAUAUUUGCUGGCUAUUCUUGGACAAUAUUAGAGAAAAUAAUCAUAUUAUUUCGCGUGAAGUGAACUUCCAUAACUUAUCAAUUGAAUUGCUGUAAAAUAUUAAAUAGUUUUAUUUUUCUUUUAUCGUGUAACUUGGACCAAAAAAGGAAAUGAGUUUAACAUGACCCUCAUUCCGGCACUAUGCAUGUUUUUCUUGUAUUGAUGACAGUGCUCUUGGUGCUUCUCAUCUGCUUCUUGCUUUGGUUUCAAACAAGUCUUUCUCCGUCGAGACAUUUAUUGUAAUUUCAUUUGGAGACAUAUAUCUGUCGUUCAAAUAUAUUUCAUAUGCAAGCUGUUAAUAAUUCUGCUUGCAGAAAGCCUACAAAGCAGCUGUGUGAUGUAAUAGAAGACCAUAGUCUGGUCAAUUUUUCAGCAUUAGAUAUUCAGGUCAUCAGCUUCUCAUGAAUUCUUUCCUGAGUUUCUUUGAAUUAUUUGUGAUGUAAUAACUUGUGCAUUUGAGAAACUGUUCUCUUGAAUUCUUUCUUGAGUUUCUUUGAAUUAUUUGUGAAUAAGUUGUUAAUCGGCUGCUUCUCUUCAGGAUAAGGAAAGUGUUGCAAACUGGUGAAGCAGCUGAUAGAUAAAAGCAAUGGGUACAUCUUUGCUGGCAUGGAUCGAUGCCAGUGCGGUUGAAUUCAGCAAGACUGCCGUUCGUGAUGUUGUUGAUUGGGAUUAUUUUCAACCUUAUGAUUCUCAUAUCCAUAGAACCUUUUGGUUAUUUAAUCAUAUUUCAUCGUAUGCAUCCGCAUCUUCAUGUGCGUUUGAGAAACUGUUUUGCGGUUAGGCAGGUUUCAAUCUUGAUUCAUGCGUCUUUCAUAAAUGUACAAAAUUAUGGAAACUUCUUUUUCCCAGAUAUUAUAUCUGCACUUAUUCCCAUGUAAUCGAGUCAGACAAGUUUUGCUUAACAAAGAUGUCUACAGUCGCUGAAGUGCAGGAGGAGUACAUUAAGGGUGAUGACAACAUUGAUUAACCCAACCCAACCUGUAAAAAAUCACACCGGUUAGGUUGGUUUCACGGAUUGGGCGGGUUGGUGCCCACCCAUAAAUAUAACCUCCAUUUCAGUACAAUGCAUGUUAAUUGUUCUCCAAGGACUUCUCUUGUUUCCCAUUCCCAACCUCCAUGCUCUCGAGAGGAAUUUGGCACCCAUCAAUUUUUAUUUUUGAAAACUCGUAAUGGUCUGAUAAAAUUAAACAACAUCAAUAACGUUACCAGUCUUUAAAUAGUAAUUAAUUUAUUUAAUUUGCCACCUAAAAGAAUCCUGCUGGAAAUAGAGGUUAAAAAUUUUAUUAGAUCUGCUUACCUUUGUUCAUUCAGCAAAAACACUUACAAUUCAUAGCUAGAGAAUCUAUCCAUUGACAAUUGUGGAUUAAAAUUAUAACACCUGAAUUCAAACAUAUCCUUAUGAAGUUAUGAAUUUGUUCAUACUUCAAAUGAUUUUUUUUUCCCCAAGCUAAUAAAGCGACCACUUUGAUCAAACAACGAUGUUGAAGGAAUUGCGUAUUUUCAAUGUCCUUUUCCAGACAGACGUUCGAGAGAGGGAAAGGAGAAGACUGGCCUAAUUAAGAUAUCUCACAAAGAUUAUUAUUGAGUUAAAAUGUUAUUGUAAAAGAUGUUUAAUACAAUAAUAGUACUUCUUUUGCAUUGUUAUAAUGAGGCUGGUGGGUUUCCUCAGAGGAUGGAUCUGGCUCGCUAGUAUGCAUUUGGGAAGCUGCUAAUUAUCGGCCAUAAAAAGUCAGGGGGUUGUGGCUGUUCCGUCGCCCAGAAAUUCCUAAACUCAUAUAUCAAAUUUCGGAUGAACUUGGGCAUUAUGUAAAUAUGUAUUUUUGAGAAUUAAACUAGUGCGUUAGAAAAAUUUUGAGCCACUGUAAUCAUUUGAUUUUGCUAAGAGAAAAUUUUACUCUGUGUUUCGCUUUGCCUUUUGUUUUUUCUGUGAUAAUAUGAUUCAUACGAAUGUGAUUACACACUAUCAUGCAUCUAUUUUCAUUUGCUUGUCAUGAAUGAUCAACAUGCUCGAAAUAUUUAUAUAGGUUGGAAAUAUUUAAAUCUAUUAAAAUACUAUACACACCCAUUUUAAAAUAAAAAUAUGAUUAUUAUAAUGAUCGCGAAGGUAACACGAUAUCAUAAAUAAAAUAAAAUAUUUCGCAAAAAAGAUAAGAUACGCUUGAAUACAUUGGUAUAAAAAAUAUUUUAGUGGAUUCAAGUAGCACUAAUGCUCCCUUAUCAAAAAAUAUAUAAAGAUAACUAAUCUGAUUGGGUAUACCGUGUGUGUGUGUGUAAUAUUUUUUGAUAUUAUUAUAUAAUAUUUUUUAAAAAGAAGAGAGAGUGGGCAAAGUUCAAAUCAAUUUUCUAAUCCCUAUCUCCUUUAGGAUUUAAACUUCGGUGUUUAGUGUCACGGGUCGCUCAAAUUUUCUAGUCAAAGAGGCUAAAUUGCACGAAAUUGUGCUAGCUUAUUUGAUUUUAAAAUUUUCCAAUGCACUGUAACACACUCUCAUGCUUGUACAUAGCUCGAAAAUCUCUAGAAUUUACCAGAGUAGUGUAGCAUGUAGCUUGUACAUAGGUUUUUCUGGAACACUCCAAGCAUUACUAAGCAUAAGAGCUUUGAGAACUCUCUAGACAUAAAACAUUCAAGGGUAGGCCUGCCCUAAAAAUAGGGCAUGAUGAUUGCCAUUUGAGCAUACAAGAAGUAAGAACAAAUCAAGUAUAUUUGUAAGCUCCCAAACUCUCUCGUACACACUCCUGUGAAUAUUAUGCUUUCUCUUUGACUAUAUUACUCUCUCUUCUCUCUAGUUUUUUUUCGCAAGUAUCAUAUCUUAGCUAGUCGAAAAGUUCAAGUAAGAAUGAUAAUUUUUCCUGAUGGGAUGGGAUGGGAUGGGAUCCUGUGGGAUCCCAUCUCAUUUAGGACGGGAUUGGGAUACAUUUUUAUCCCAUAAAAAAAUAUAGGGACGGGAGUAGAACUUUUUUUAUCCCACUUGUAUCUAUGGGACAGGACUGAGAUUAACAAAUCCAGUCUCGUCACGUCUCGUCUCAUUGCCAACUAGGGAUGGAAAUUUUUCCAAUUGAGAUGGGCUCUCACAGAAUCCCAUUUUUUUGGGGAUGCGAUUGAGACAUAUUUUUAUCCCAAAAAAAUAUAUCGACAGUGACACUUUUUUUUAUCCCACUUGCAUAUUCGGGACGAGACUGAGAUUAGUAAAUCCCACUCUAUCCCAUCACAUUGCCAACCCUAAGUUCAAGGCUUACUUUGCAACUAUCUCAUAAAAGUUGUUUUAAGUACCACAGGAGUUUGUUGUGCAAAAUACUCAUCCCGUGACAUUAGCUAAAUAAAAUUGUUUGAAAGCCACUUACCCAAACUAUUAAACAAAUAUUAUUCUUUUAAUAUGCAAUCUUUUAAUAUAAACUUUUGUCUUAAUUUUCUAUCUCCUACAAUAAAUUUUAUGAUUUUAAAAAUUGAAAAAAUUAAUAACUUUUAGAUAGAGCAUUCCUUACUGUUAAAAGAAAUAUGAAUGGUAAUAUAAAACUUACUUAUUAUAGUAUAAUGCUUUUAGUUUUUUGAAAUAAGGUUCUUAUUUUUUUCAAGAUAAAAUUCAAAGAAAACAAGUUAAAUGUUGUGGAAAAUCUUACGCCCAUACAAUAAAUUAUGACAGCUAAAUGCAAACCUGGCUGAAGUAUUAGUUGUUUUAUUACAAUCUCCAAAAAGAUGAGCACUUCCAAAAUCUUUCUUUGUAACAAUAAACACUACUGGUCAGCAACUAUCCAAGUCAAAAGUAACUCAAUGUGAGUCUUAGUGCACUUGCAGUGAAUCCCAAGAUAAACUAAUUUCACUAGCAAGUUGGAUACCAAAGAGUAAGGCUUCAGCCUCAAUUAUAUUAAAAUCUGAGUAAACAUUAAAUACCACAAUCAAACUCAGAAAUCAUAAUUAAACUAUCAUGAUUAAAAAUAAAGUUUUUUUUUUAGAUAUCCGUUUGUAGUAUCUCUUUAGAUGACAAAUAGGAGAUAAAAUAAAUAAAUAUUGGUUGCGUAAAUAAAAUAAAUAAUUUUUUUAACUGAAAAAAAUUCCUAAAAACUAAAUAGUUCAAACUUUUUUUAACAUGAAAUAAAUAUUAGAUGCGUAAAUAUAAAAAAAUUAACUGAAAAAAUUUCCCAAGAACUAAAUAGUUCAAACUUUUUGUUUAACAUCAUGGGUUUUGUAUAUUCAAUUGAACCGAACAACUAAAUUAAAUCGAAAUUACCCUGUUCGGUUCAAAUGAAUAGACGAAAACCGAACAGUUCAUAUUUUUUGAACUGAUGGUGCGUUUACUUCAUGAAAUGAAAAUAUGGUGGAAUGAGAAUGGGCUGGAAAUGAGAAUGUGUUGAAAUGAGAAUGAAGAAUGAGAAUGAGAUUCUAAUGUUUACUUAAUAAAAAUAAAGGGAAAUGAGAAUGUGCUGGAAUGUCAUUGAUGUGUUUAUUUGACAAAAUAAAUGGGAAUAAAGAAUGAGAAUGAGAAUUAAUUUACCAAAAUACCCAUAGUAUUAAAUAAUAUAAUUUUUAUUUUACUAGAUACAUGUAUAAAUAUUAUUAUAAAAAUAAUAUUAAUUAAAAUAAUAAAUGUUAAGAAUGAUAAUAUUAAUAAAAAUAAUAAUAACAAUAAUUAAUAAUAACUAAAAUAAUAAAGUUAAUAAAAAUAACAACAACAAUAAUAAUAAUAAUAAUAAAUGUUAAUGAUGAUGAUGAUGAUAAAUGUUAAUAAUGAUAAUAUUAGUAAAAAAAUAAUAACAGUAAUUAAUAAUAACUAAAAUAAUAAAGUUAAUAAUAAUAAUAAUAACAUUUAAAAUAAUAAAAUUAAUUGUGAUUUGAAUCAGAGUAAUUCGAAAAAUAUAAAAAAAUUAAAAUGAUACAAAAAUAAACAUAAAUUUUAUCCCCGUUCCCUCAUUUUCAUUCUCAAUUCCCCAUGAAAAUAGAAUUCCCAUUUCUUAUUUUCAAAUUACGGAAUCCCCAUAUUUUAUUAUCAUUCCCAAAUUAUAUUUUACCAAAUAAAUAUAAAUUUUAUUCAUAUUUUUUCAUUUCCAUUCUUUAAACCUUCAAGUAAACACAAUUUUCUUUUAAUUCGGGUUCUGGGCCUGAACCGAACCGUACCGUAAACUGCCCACCCUUACAGUAGUUUUCGGGGUUUUUAAUUAAAUAUGCCUUAAAAGUAGUGUAUUUAGUUAAAUAUACCCAUGUUUGAAAAUUAUCUAAGUAUGCCUUUUUAUGUGGUACAUUGUCUAAAAUAUCCCUAAAGAAAAAUAUAAAACACACACACAACUCACAACACUCUUUGCUUCUCACGUAUUUAUCAUCUAUACAAAAACUCACACCACACUCAAAAUCACUCACAAACAGCUAAUGCACUGAGUUUGUUUGCAGUUGGGUGUAUUAUUCAUCCCAUGAAUAAGGUAUUUGAAACUUUUUUUAUUUUAUUUUGGGCUAUCUAUUCAAUUUGUUGACAUUAUAUUAUUUUUAGGGUUUUGUUUGGUUUGUGAUAAACACUAAAGCAACUCAUAUUUUCAUUACAUUUGCAUCAUAUGACUGUUAUUUGAUGGAUUUUAUAACUACAUUCGUUAAAAUCUGAAGUUGUUGUCAAAUUUUUUUCUGCACCCGACAUACACGACAGCAGUCGUGUAUGUAUGUAUUUACAUGACUGUAGUCGUGAAAAUGUGCAAAAAAUUUCAAUUAUUAUGACACCUUAUUAUUCUAUUGGUUCAAAAAAUAUAUAUUUUUCACUAUAUAUAUCCUUUUACUAUUACUAUACUAUAGUCGUGUGUGUGAAUAAGUUACACGACUACUAACGUGUACGUAUAAACUUACAUACUAUAAUUGUUAAUAAGUUACACGACUACUAUGAACCUUAUAUACUUGUUAUUUUUUGUUGUUUUAAUUUUUUUAAUAUCUUUCAUAUUUAGUGAUAAAUUUUUACCUUUUUGUUUCGCAGAUGAAUAAACAUGUUUGUGUGACUUUCUAAGAACAAGUAUUGAAGGGAGGCGACCAGAGACUUAUAAAAUAUGGACUGAGUGUUUGGGUUGAAUAUGCCAAAAAUUUAUGAUGAAUGUUAAAUAACUUCUAUUAUAUUACGACUUAUUUACGAUUUCAAUAAUUAUUGGAUUUGUGUUAUUUGAUAGGCAAUCGAACUAUAGUUAGUUUCAUUUAUUUGAAGUUUGAUAUGUUUAAAAUCUAUAUUGAUUGUGUCAUCAAUAUAAUGAAUGAUUGAAAAGAAUUUUUAUUCUGUGCACAUACCCGAGUACAAUCGUGUAUUUUGGCUGUUACAAAACUAGUCAUGUUUAUUUCUAAAUACUCGACUACAGUCGUGUAUCUGUGCAAAUACUCGAUUAUCACAGAGAGUUUGUCAUAUUUAUUUCUAAAUACUCGACCAUAGUCGUGUAUCUAUGCAAAUACUCGACUACAGUCAAGUAUUUUGUCACAGAGAGCUUGUUAUUUUUAUUUGUAAAUACCCGACUACAGUCGUGUAUAUGUGCAAAUACCCAACUGCAGUCGAGUAUUUUGUCACAGAGCUUAUUAUGUUUAUUUCCAAAUACCCGACCGCAGUCGUGUAUCUGUGUAAAUACUCGACUGCAGUCGAGUAUUUUGUCACAGCUUAUUAUGUUUAUUUUUAAAUACCCGACCACAGUCGUGUAUCUGUGCAAAUACCCGACUACAGUCGAGUAUUUUGUCACAGAGCGUAUUAUGUUUAUUUCCAAAUACCCGACCGCAGUCGUGUAUUUGUGCAAAUACCUGACUGCAGUCAUGUAUUCUCUUACAGUGUAUUCCUUGUGUAUAUAUUGUGCAAACUAUCUUAUCUAUCAUUAAUAUAAAUAACAAAGAAAUAAAAUAUAUUAAUGCUGUCAAUUGUCUUUAAUGACAUCAAAUAUCAAUAACAUCCUCAUUACAACUAUUACAUCUCAUAAUCUAAAAAAUGACACUACAAAGUUUUUUUCCAUGACCUAUGCCCAAAUAAUUUUACAACCAAGGCUUGUCGAAAUUAUGUAACAUGAUUUUGUUGGCAUUAUGAAUUGACAUCAAGUCCAUGGACUAGGACCUCCAAGUACCGCAACAAAAAUGCUCCACAUUCACCACUAAAAAAAUUCAUAUAAAUCAAUUGUUAAAAAUCAUCAUUCUUAUUAUUAUGUUCAAAACACAUUAUAUAUAUAGUACAUACCCUGAUUUUUGUUGCGGGAUGUCACGCACUCGCACGAUGGGCCAAGGAAUUUUCGAAAUAACCUCACUACAGUCUGGAUGUGUUUCGUGAUAUGCUAUCUUCUGAAGUACUAGAGGUAUCAUGUCUGCAACAGGCAGCAAUUGUCUCACCAAAACUGAAUCCUUUGUUAAGUCUAUCAUGGAGUCAUAAAUAGAAAUCUUGCCCCCAAGUAUAUCGACCACACCGAGAACCCAAUGAUCAUUCAUGAAUAUUGGCAAAUACACCUACGAAAUACAGACAAUAUUCUUAACAAGUAACGGCAAAUAUAUCUACGAAAUGCUGUAACUGUUUUUAUCUACUUGCAGUUGAUUUAUUAAUAGUAUACUAUCAAUAGUUUUAUGCUAAAACAAAUAGCAAAUUGUUAAUAAAUUAGAAUUGUAAAAUAAAGGUUCUACAACAAAUAAUAGAGAAAACCCAGAUUGUAGCAUAAUGAAUGCAUACGCAGUUGAAGAAAAUUGAUAUAUAAUUCCCAUGGAUGAAGUUCAACUACAAACAAUAAGUAAAAUUAUAUAAAGAUCUAAUGCAUAAACUAGUGUAGCCAUAACCGAAAAUUCAUAAGGAUAAUAUUUAAUUAGGAACUCCCACAACCAUUAUUAAAGAGCUAUUAAUUCACUCUCUUCAAUUUCAAAUUCACAAGUUAAAGAAGCUUCAUUACAUUACCAACAAGAAAGAUUAUCAGUAAAUAAGCAAGAUAAUGACCAAAAUCAUGUGGGUAAUUUGUUUUUUAAAACCCUAUUGCAUAUAACCCUAACAAUUAUGCACCAUAAAUUCUCUUUAUAAAGUAAAAAAUAAGUGUAAAUGUGGUUAAUGACCUUUAGUUCGGUGAAUUUCCAGCCUUUAAUUCGGUGAUUUUGUAGCCUUUAAUGUGGUGGAUGAACUUGCAGCAGCAGGAGCAUGAACUUGCAGCAGCAGGAGCAUGAACUUGCAGCAGCAGGACAAGCGUUGUGUAUGGUAGCUCGUGAAUGCAGAUUUUGAAAUUUGAAGAAUUAAAUUGGGGUAAUUUUAUAAUUGCACAUUGAAAAAGGUAUAUAAAAAAAAUUUUGAAUUAUGGGGGUAUAGUUGGAUAAAUACCUAACCUUUAGGGUAUAGCGGGGACAAAUCCCUGGUAGUUUUCAUUAACCGACGUUGUACUGCUGGUAUGAAGUUGUUCAAAUGUUCAAAUCAGUCUCUCGCUUUCAGCUCAGUCAGAGUUUCCAGGUCCAGAGACUUCCCGCUGACUGAGAGCUUUUUUAGUAGCAGGUCUACAAAUAAAGGAAUAGAGCUGAUUUAAUGAUUAAUUUAUUUCCUUUUUCAAUUUCUUUUGAUUGCCAUUUAAUCUGGAUAAGUUAAACGUGAAUUAUUUAGUGCAGAUUAAAUGUUCGACGAAUUUCCCGCAAGAAUAUUAAGCUAAAGAGAAAAAAAGAAAACAAUUGAGCGUGAGCGGGAAUGGUGUUUGGCCAAGUGGUGAUUGGUCCGCUCGGCUCGGGAAAGACCACUUACUGCAAUGGCAUGUCUCAGUUUCUCCGCCUUGUUGGCAGGUAACUCCGUUUCUUGAUUUCAAGCAGCUUUAUCUUUGAUGGCCAAAAAAAUUGAUUUGGGCUUUGCCCAUUAAAUGAAUGUAAGAGCGGUAGGGAAUAACUGAGUUAUAGGAUUAGCUUUAAGUGAACAUUGAUGGUAACAUGCAUGUGAAUGUUGUAUGUGUUCAGCGGCAAGCUGUAUGCCAAUUUGGUCUAUAUGGUUGCUUCGGUGGUAACUUAUUAAUUUUUAUGCAGGAAGGUUGCAGUCAUCAAUUUCGAUCCUGCUAAUGAUAGUUUGCCAUAUCCUUUGUCGUUGAACUUUCUUACAAAUGCUGUGGUUUGUUGUAGUACAAUUAGUUCAAUCAGAAACUUCCUUGAUGUUAAUAUAGAUAUGAGUGUGCUGUGAAUAUUGAGGACUUCAUUAGACUAAGUGAUGUGAUGAUGGAGCAUUCACUUGGUCCCAAUGGAGGUUAGUCAGCCCAUUGUUGUUUACUCUUUCUUGCUUUAUCACGCAAUGAUAUUCCUUUGCUUUACAACAAAUUUCGUGAAAUUAACUUCAAUCAAGUGGCUAUGUUCAUACGCUGUUGAGAUUUUAUGGACAAAGAUUUGGUAGACUUUAUAUGCCGUCUUCUUUCUUUUUGCAGUGAUAUGUUUGUCUUCAAUGCACUUGUACUUGUUCUAUGGUUUCUAAAGUAGGUGUUUUUAUGAUAAACUAGGUCUUGUGUAUUGUAUGGACUAUCUAGAGAAGAAUAUUGACUGGUUGCAGUCGAAAUUGGAACCACUUUUGAAAGGUAAGAAGUGGCCAUUUUCCUUCAUUCUAAUGCCAAUAAUGCUGUCAUGAGACUCAUAAAAAUUGUUAAAAUGUUAAUGUUUUUGGUAUUUUGCAGAUCAUUAGCUUCUGUUUGAUUUUCCUGGCCAAGUUGAAUUAUUUUUUCUUCAUUCCAAUGCCAAGAAUUUUAUAAUGAGACUCAUAAAGAAGUUAAAUCUCAGUGUAUUGUUACAUCUUACGUCUAUGAAGGCACUCAAAGAGUUGAGAUGAAUUCAUCAUUGUUAUUUUGAUGCCAGAAUUGUGCAAUUCUCAGUUGCUUCCUUUCACAUGCAGUUGACUGCAGUGCAUCUAGUUGAUGCGCAUCUUGGCAGUGACCCCGGGAAGUAUGUUAGUGCUUUGCUUCUCUCAUUGUCUACGAUGCUCCAUCUGGAACUUCCCCAUGUCAAUGUCUUUUCUAAGAUCGACCUGAUUGAGAAUUAUGGAAAGCUAGGUGUGGUUUUAAGUGUAGCUCUCCUACUUGUUUGUUUAGUUUGAAAUAUCAGAUAUUGUCACAAGCUCCUAUCUGCUACGUUUCCUCACCAUUCAUUUACUUUGGGUAUGUUGCAGCUUUUAAUCUCGAGUACUAUAUGGAUGUGCAAGAUUUGUCAUAUUUACAGCAUGCCUUGGGUCAGGACCCUCGUUCUGCUAAGUACAGGUUUGAAUUCUAGCUGAAUCAAUGAUGCAAAUUAUGUCCAUUGCUAUUUCUGACUAUUGUUUCUAUCAUUUUCAAUUGUUACCUCCCCUUUCCAUCUACUGCCACACUACAAUGCCCACACAAAUAUCAUGAAAUUUUUCAAUGGAAAUGCCUUUCUGUUUGUCCAGAGACAGCUCUUAGAUGCAAGUGACCAAUUUUUGGCUUUGGCCAUGUUACAGCCUUAGAUUUCAAUUUGCCAUAUCUUGUCUCGGAAGUCAAAAGAAAGCAUAUUUGUUAGCCAAAUUUUAUUUGAAUUUCUUGUGUAACAAUGAAUGGGGGAAAAAAAAAAGUUCCUCUUUUGUUUUGAUCAGACUCAAUGAAUAAGUGGUUAAAAUGUGCCUGUACUAGAAAUAUAGAUGUGAGGUUUCAUAAAAUUUUCUUAAUCUUAAGAAAGAGUUAUCUUGAAAAGAAGAUAACAUGGAGAAUUCAACAACUAUACAGUCAUAUUGAUGUCUGUCAACUUGGGUCAUAUGGUGUUGUUUGGAUGGAGAUGUUAGGUCCCAGAUGGUAUACUUGUUAUCAAAUUCCAGUCUACUUCAUUCAUGCUUUGAUGACAUAUGCGGUGCAGCUUCUUAUCUAAGACCUGCAUAUGUUACAGUCAACAUUCUGUUCUGUAACUCAACCUCAGGAAUCUGCUUGUAUGGUGUUCUUCUAAUUUCAAAUGGAGAUAAGUAAUAUCUGUUGUUCAAAUAUAUUUUAUUUACAAGCUGUUAAUAAGUCUGCUUGCAGAAAGCUUACAAAGGAGCUGUGUGAUGUAAUAGAAGUCUACAGUCUGGUCAAUUUUUCAACCUUAGAUAUUCAGGUCAUCAGUUUCUCUUGAAUUCUUUCUUGAGUUUCUUUGAAUUAUUUGUGAAUAAGAUCUUAGUUGGCUGCUUCUCUUCAGGAUAAGGAAAGUGUGGCAAAACCUGUGAAGCUGAUAGGUAAAAGCAAUGGGUACAUCUUUGCUGGCAUGGAUGCCAGUGCAGUUGAAUUCAGCAAGAUUGCCAUUCGCGAUGUUGAUUGGGAUUAUUUCAGAUAUCCUUCUGUUCACUUAUUUUGAAUCUUGUUAUUCUCAUAUUCAUAAAACUUUUUGGUUAUUAUUAUGGUUCAUCAUAUGCAUCUACAUCUUCUAACUUGUUCGUUUGAGAAACUAAUUUUGCCGUUAGGUAGGCUUCAAGCUUGAUUCAUGCUUUUUUCAAAAAUGUACCAAAAUCAUGGAAACUUCUUUUUCCCAGAUAUUGUAUCCACACUUUUCCCAUAUAAUUGGGUCAGACAAGUUUUGCUUAACAAAGAUAUCUACAGUAGCCGAAGUGCUGGAGAAGUACAUUAAGGAUGAUGACGAUGUUAACUAAAAUGGGACGUGAAGAUAUGUGGUGUGCAAACCGUAAGCCUGCCUCUUAUUUUUGUGCAUGUUUACUUGCUUGUGAUUCACGUUUGUUAAUCUAUUUUGCUCUCUUGCAGGAGUUAUAAAGUUUUCAAUCAAUCAAACAUUUUAACUUAAGUCCUUAGCUCUUCACGGCUUGAAUGGGUCAGAUAGGACAAGCGCCGAAGAGGUGGUUUUAAUCAAACCCCUCCUAAUUAUGAUGUAUGGCCCGAAUCUCGGACUUUUUUUACAAUAUCAAGCGAUUUUUUUUAGUUGAAUCGGCUAGUGUACACAAAUGUCGAUUAUUGAUUUUUCUUUAGUAUUGUUUGUAAUUACAAGAAACGAAGUAAUGAAAUUUAUCAGUGCGUUCAUAGUUACGCUUAAGCUCAAAGAUUACCGUCAAGAUCAUCAACCUGCUGAUGAUCUGAAGCUUCCAUAGAAAAAGGAACCGGACAAAACCCAAGAGAGAGAACAAAAAUAAAUUAAUUAAAAAAAAAGAAGAAAAAUUGCCAAAGCUACUGGUCAGUUGACAUCAAUCUUUUGCACGUGGGAUGGAAAUGGAACACUGGGCACUUUGGAUGACUCAUAACUCACAAGAGAGCAUCGAAUUUAGGCCGAAUCAUAUAAAGUACGCUAAGCCUUAGUGCGUGCGCUGUUGCGUUGCUGUGUCUGCCGGUGAGAAUAAUUUUUCGUUUUUAAGGUAAUUUUCAUUUAUUUAUUUAUUUUUUUGGUGCAUAUGGUCGAACACUUGGUGGGCACCUCAGUUUUUGGAAUGUUCUCUUCAAUGAAUACAGGGAAAAAGGGACAAAAAUUAAGAACUUUAUUUUGUUCGCGUGGAAUCGAUAUCUGGAUUGGGAUUGUAUGUCGUGUUUAAUUUGAAUUGGUUGAUUCCUCUAAUGAAUUAUUUGAUAAAUUUAGUAGCAGUAUUUGGUGGCAAAAGUAUCAUUAAUUUUUGGAAAUAUGAUUAUAUUAUUAAUUAUUUUAGCAUUCUAAAAAGUCAAUGGUUAUGUUGGAAAUACUCUAAGGUAGACUAGAGUACAAAUCACAAUCACACAUAAAAAGUGAUAAAUAAUAAAAAAUAUAUUAUAUUUUUGAUCAUAUGAUUAUGAAGAUGUAUUUUACCUUAAAGAAGUUAUAAUAAGCGAAUUCUUUUAAAAAAGAAUAAAAUUUCUUUUUUAUCAUACUCAACCGCUUCAAACUUCUAAGAAGUAGAUAUACAAUGAGUGGAAUACUGAAUUGAGUGCGAGCUGCGGAUAACAUAUAAAAUUGGGAUACAAGCUUCAAAGAAAGUGUAUUGCUAUUCAAAUGUAGAUUUCAAAUUAAGAAGAUAUGCCAGCAAAUUGUAUAAAAAUGUAUAAAUUGAUCAGUAACAUUAAUUCCAAAUGAUGAAAUGAGUUAUCUUGAUCAAAAGGUCAAGAACCUACCUUACUUCUCUUAGAGAUAACUUGCAUCAACCGUUGUGGUAUUGAUACUUGUCUUCAGCUAGUAAAAGUGAAAGUUUCACAAUUGAAAUAAAGCUAAGGGAAGAUGCUAUGCUCCAUUUAUUAUUAUUAUUAUUGACGUGGUCGAGAAGUAAAGCCGUGCAUAUGAUGAAGUAUAAAUAAGAAUGCAAUAGCCCGGAAUUCAUUUACACAAACACUUCAAUAUCCUUUUGAUCACUUUUGCAAACAUCAAUUUGUCUCCUCUUGUAUUCACCAUGGUUGAUGCCAUCGUUUCCACUGUCUUGGAGCAGCUGAUUUCCUUCGCUGCUAAAGAGAUAAAGCAACAGGUGAUCGAAGUUACACCCGCAUAUUAUAAACACUUCUAAUGAUUUUAGUUGGUUUCCUUUUUAUCGAAAACAUUAUUUUUGCUUUAUUUUAUUUAUUUGGCAAUUUUAAAUUUGGAAAUUUGAAUUGAAUUUAAUUAAAAUGUGAUGUAGUUAGUAACCACUUAUUUUUAUUUUAUUUCAUUUAUAUUCUCAAUAACUACUCAUAUUUUGGUAACUUACUAUAACUUCCAUAUCUAAGAAAUUAUCAAAACCCACAAUUUUAACUCAGCACGAAUAUUCAAUGGUGAUCUAAGCUUUUGCAGAACACUCAAGUUUGUCAAACAUUCAUUAAUUCAAUGUUUAGUGAAAAAAACUCUUCUCAGCACAGAAUUCCAUGUCCAUUACUUAGGCUCUCUGAAAAAUUUCAUAAUUUUCAUACAUUCUUUGAGUUUGGUAAGUGAUUUCAUAUAAUUUCUUUUCAAGUUAAAUUUUAAUUUGGCUUCUGAUAUAGUCUCUUUGUUGAAUUUGUAUCUCUUAUGAUUCUUAGAUUUUGGGCUCCAACUUUUGAGGAUAUGAUAGUCACAUUUUAUGCUAUGCUCAGAUUGAUUUUUAUGAUUUUUUGUUCCCGUUAAGUGACUUAGAAUUUGACAAAAGUUUGAUAGGAAAUCUGUUUCACGAUUUUGUUUUAAUUGACCUUUUAGUGGAAAUAAGAUGCUUAUAACUUAAUGUGGAUGGUUUGUAAAAUCAUGAAAUUUGGAUAAUAUAAAUUUGUACGAGACUCUCCAUAAUAUUUCAUGAUUUUUCAUUAGCUCUGGGGUGUUACAGGUGCUACUUGUGACUGGUGUCAAAAAAGAAGUGAAAAAAAUUACCAACCACCUUCAAGCCAUUCAAGCUGUGCUCGAGGAUGCAGAGGAAAAGCAAGUGACGGAAACAGCUGUCAGACUUUGGCUGGGUAGGCUCAAGUCCGCAUCCUACGACAUUGAAGAUGUGUUGGAUGAGUGGAUCACAGCAAGAGGCAAAUUGCAAAUUAAGGGCAGCGUUUAUGACAAUGCUCUUGUUGCUCCUAAUCAGAAGAAGAAGGUAUGUUCCUGCUUUCCUGCCUCUUGCUUUGGUUUCAAACAAGUCAUUUUGCAUCGUGACGUAGCUGUCAAGAUCAAAGAAAUCAAUGAAGAGCUGGACGAUAUUGCCACUCAAAAAGACAUGUUUAAAUUUGUUGGGAGUGUCAGUAAAAGUAGUGAAAGACCAAGACGUGUGCAGAGUACCUCCUUGAUUGAUGAGGAAGAGAUUUGUGGUAGAGUUGGUGAGAGGGAUGCACUCUUAAGCAUGCUGUUGUGUGAGAGCAGUGAGCAACAAAAAGGCCUUCAUAUCAUCUCAAUUGUUGGUAUGGGAGGCAUCGGGAAAACUACUCUUGCACAACUAGCUUGUAAUCAUGACAAGGUGAAGAGUCAGUUCGACAAAAUUUUAUGGGUGUGUGUAUCAGAAACUUUUGAUGAGUUUAGGAUUGCCAAAGCGAUGCUUGAAGCUUUGACUGGUUCAACUUCUAAUUUAGAUGCAUUGCAAUCUCUUCUUAUAAGUAUUGACGAAUCUAUUGCGGGAAAGAGGUUUCUUCUUGUCUUAGAUGAUGUGUGGGACGGAGAUUACAUUAAAUGGGAACCAUUCUACCGUUGCCUAAAGAAAGGUCUCCAUGGAAGUAAAAUUGUAAUUACCACACGUAAUGAGUCAAUUGCCAGCAUGAUGAGAUCCGCAGAUAUUAUCUCUAUCAAGGAAUUGGCUGAAGAAGAAUGUUGGGCAUUGUUUAAGCAGUUAGCAUUUUUCGGUCGAUCCACUGAGGAGUGUGAAAAAUUGGAACAAAUUGGUCAAAGAAUUGCAAGAAAGUGUAAAGGUUUACCUCUUGCUGCAAAGACAAUGGGAAGUCUCAUGAGCUCUAAAAAAACUGAAGAAGAGUGGAAAAGAAUUUUAAAUAGUGAUUUAUGGAAGGUAGAAGAGAUUGAGAAAGGUGUUCUAACCCCUUUGUGGUUGAGUUAUAACGAUUUGCCAUCUAGAGUAAAAAGAUGUUUCUCGUAUUGUGCUGUCUUUCCAAAAGACUACAAUAUAGAAAAAGACAAACUAAUUACUUUGUGGAUGGCUCAAGGUUAUCUUAGUGCAGAAGCAGCAGAACAAGAUGAGGAGUUGGAGACUAUAGGUGAAGAGUAUUUUGGCAUCUUAGCUUCUCGCUCUUUCUUUCAAGAGUUUGAGAAACGUUAUGAUAAUCGUAUUAUAGCGUGCAAGAUGCAUGAUAUGGUACAUGAUUUUGCCCAAUUUGUUAGUCAAAAUGAAUGUUUUUCGUUGGAAGUUAAUGGUAGUGAGGAACUAAACGUCACAAACUCUACAAACUCUCUUGAUGAGAAGGUCCGUCAUUUAAUGUUAAUCUUUAGUAAAGGGACUUCAUUACCUGUUUCCACUCGUAGAGUUAAAAGAAUGCGUACCCUCUUAAUUAACGAUAGUAGAUCUGAUCAUUCAUUAUUAAAUGGUGAGAUCCUAGAAGAAUUAUUUAGGGAAUUGACAAGUUUAAGGGCAUUAGAUUUUGGCAAAUCGUAUAACUCAAGUUGGUCUUCGACUGUGGAGAUUCCGAGAACCAUAGAAAAGCUGGUACAUUUAAGGUACCUGAAUUUGUUUUAUCAGGGAAUAAAGAAACUACCGGAGACAUUAUGCGAGUUGUAUAAUCUAGAAAAGUUAGAUAUUAGUAUAUGUUUUAAUCUUAAAGAAUUACCUGAAGGGAUUGGGAAGUUAAUAAACAUGAAGCAUUUACGAAAUAGAGGUACUAGUUCUUUAAGGUACAUGCCAGUAGGGAUUGGGAGAUUAACGGGUCUCAGGACCUUGGAUGAGUUCCACGUGAGUGGAGGAGGAGGUGUUGAUUGUAGGAAAGCAUGUAGGCUUGAAUCUCUCAAAAACUUGGAAAACCUUCGAGUGUGUGGUAUACGUAGACUGGGUGAUGUAUCAGAUGUGGGCGAGGCUAAGCGAUUAGAACUUGACAAAAAGAAAUACCUCUCUUGUUUGAGACUUCGGUUUGAUAAGAAGGAGGAAGAAGAAGGAGAAAGAAGGAAGAACGAGGACGAUCAACUUCUUCUUGAAGCCCUACAACCACCUCUCAAUUUAAAGGAAUUAGAGAUAGAGUACUACCGAGGCAACACUGUUUUCCCCAGCUGGAUGACGUCAUUAACCAACUUAAAGAGUUUAGAUCUCUCUUCCUGCGAAAAUUGCGAGCAGCUGCCUCCUUUGGGAAAAUUGCCAUCCCUUGAAGCACUCAGCCUAUGGGACAUGAAGUGUGUGGAAAGAGUGGGUGAUGAAUUUUUGGGGAUAGAAAGUGAUCAUCAUGGCUCAUCUUCAUCGGUUAUUAUUGCCUUCCCCAAAUUGAAAUCACUUUCAAUUGAGUUUCUGCGCGAAUUGGAGGAGUGGGAUUAUGGGAUUACAAGAACGGGAAACACCGUCAUCAACAUCAUGCCACGUCUUUCUUCCUUGACAAUUGCUCAUUGCCCCAAAUUAAUGGCACUGCCCGACCACUUUCAUCAAACAACAACAUUGAAGGAAUUGCACAUUUGGGAGUGCAGGCUUCUGGAAGAACGUUACCGCAAAGGGGAAGGAGAAGACUGGCCUAAGAUAUCACACAUUCCCAACCUCCGUAUUGGGCUUUGACAAGUAAUUUCUUCUCUUACUCUGAUUUGCUUUGUUGUUGUUUUUAAUCUAAUUAAGAAGCGUAAAUAGCAUUUUGAAUCAAACUCUAUAUCAGAAAUCUGCAAUACUUACUUUCUAAUAUUCUGAUUUUCAUAUCCUAUGAAUAUACAAUUUUUAAUUUGUGAGAUGGGUAACGUUACUGUAAAAGAUUAUUAAUGCAAUAUGAGUAAUUCUUUUGCAGGACAAGUGACCUACAUUUAGUUUGGCUUUGGAGUUGAAUAAUAACCUUUCGAGGUCCCGACAACCAAAAAACGAAGCUUAAUUUGCCACAGAUUGCACGUAUUGCCAUUAUUGACAAUUUUCUGCACAAGCUUAGGUUGAUUUCAAAAGAGGUAAAUUAUUGGCAUGCCUGACUAUUUUGACCAUUACAUGAUUCAUAAGUUUACAUUAAUUUUGAUUUUGAGUUGAGUGAUUAGUUUUUAUACCCGGAAUAUGCAAAAGUUUCUAAUAUUUUAUUUCCAUCUGUUACAAGAUCAAACUGAAGUAGAACUCAAACAAAAGUAUGCUACUUCUUGCGGAAAUCUUGCCUUUGUUCAGAUUAUGAAACCAUUUCCAUGCAGCAAAUUCAUCCAAAAGUUUGAAUAAGUUUCAUGGUUGGACACUGUUGGCUUCUUUUUCUUCUGGGGUGCAUUUAGGUGCUAUCAAGUGACAGCUAAGUAUGAUUGCACUAAGCUGCCGCUGGGAAAUUUGAGGUUUUGAUGGCUGCCCAUGUUAUUUUCAAGAAACUAUUGAUGUAAGAAGCUGUGGUUCUUUUCAUCAGCUUGAACCUGAAACUGUCGCUAUGGAUAACUCAGGUUUUUGUUAUCAACUAUGUUGAUGCGAGAUUCCGGUUCUCCUCGUUCUACGACCAGGAUCUCUGCUCGAUCAACUUCACCACGACCAGGAGGUCUCCUAGUAAUGCUUCUUCUCCAGAUGUCCCUGCACACACAGACAAGUCAGAGUACGCCGGUUGUUCUCCCGGCGCAAACCCUCCGACGCUCAAGUCAGAUAUGAAGGUUCGGGGAACGCUUGCCACAGGUCUUAUGGCUUUUUCGUGGUUUUCUCUUUUAUCUCAAAAAUGCUAACCCUUUUACCUUCGUUGGCUACCUUUUUAUAGGCUUCCUCUGAAUCCCAGUUUUCCGCUUUUUUCGAGACGGUCUGGGGCUCUGACUGCUGCGUUAUGGGCAAACGUGGGAUCUUGCGUGUUACGCCACGGUUCAGGGGAAAGCGUGGCUGUCGUGGUUCUGUGAGAUCUUGUGUGUUACGCCACGGUUCAGGGGAAAGCGUGGCUGUCGUGGUUCUGUGAGAUCUUGCGUGUUACGCCACGGUUCAGGGGAAAGCGUGGCUGUCGUGGUUCUGUGAGAUCUUGCGUGUUACGCCACGGUUCAGGGGAAAGCGUGGCUGUCGUGCCUAGAUUCUUGGGCUGGAGAGUAUGUCUUGCCAACUGCCGUCGACCGGGUCUCCUCGCCUCUCGACCUCUAGCCGGAAUGGCCUUAUGCCUCUUAUAGGAAAUUGGCCUAGCGGAUGACAACAUCGUGGACGAGCAGGAUACUUCUGCUCCUGUUCUGAUGGCUGCCCAUGUUAUUAACACACCGGUUCACAGAACUCCGCUGUGGUUCUUUUCAUCAGCCUGGUCUCGUCGACGUAUUUAUGGAUAACUCAGGUUUUUGUUACAAACUAUAUCAUCUUUUUCACUAUUUUGAAACUCUUAAGAUUAAACUUUAGUAAAGUUGUUUCAGCUAUUCAAAUGAAAAACUCAUUGAUUUGAGACUUCCUUCAUUAUUGUUUCUAAUUACAGUGCUAACGAUCCAGAUAAAAUAAUAUUUAAUCGGCGAAGGUGUCCCUUGGAAGUACAUCCUUCUUUUUCUUUUAUUAUAUAAAUUCUUGCAAUGAGCUUAGUGAAGCUGUUGUGCUAAUCAUGCCACUGCAUAACUUGGCCCCUAAUGUGGGUACUCUGUUACAUUGUUCUGCAAAUUCUCCAGAAGUUAAAAUCAAUAAAUUUUCUAUUAGCUCUAGUGCUUUGACCUAAAUGCUAUUCUAUAUUCUGAUUACAAUGUUUUAACCUUUAAAUUAACUACCCCUAGAUGUUGGAUUUUCUAGAACUUCAAAAUGAUUAAUGGAGAAAGAUCCCAUUAUCGUUAUUGCUAUAAGAAAUUGAUUUAUGCAUCCAAAGAUACAUUAUAUAUUUCUGUGUCUCUAUUUAUGGAUGACAUUUAAUCAUCCAUAAACUGUCAGACAGAGGAAGGGGGUUCAGUGCAAAGAUUCUGUUGACCUAGGGUUGACUGCAUAUGUCACUUGUUCGCAAUCUAUUAUUUAUUUUAUAUUUUGAAGAAUUUAAUGGGUAAUCCUAAUUGUUUGUUUUGGCAGGUUUGUGUUGUUAUCUCCUUCUAUCUUACAGUCGUACCUAAAUAGCAUAGUUUCAUCUGUGUUACCAUGUGAUGUACAUAAUUUCACAUUUGCCUCAGAUUAAGCUUAAUUUCCCACAGAAUAGAGCUGUCGCGACUGGACUUAGGUUGAUGUCCAAAGAGGUAAAUUAUUGGCAUGCCUAGAUAAUUUGGCCAUUUCCUAAUUCAUAAGUCUACAUUAAUUUUGAUUUUGAGUUGACUGAUUUCUUUUCAAGGUCUGCUUCCUUAACGGAGUGACCAAUGUUUUUCAACUAAAUUUAUCAUAUGAUGCAGGAAGCAGGGCAGGAUAUGAAAUGAGAAGCUCAUUGGUGGAAGUAUUUCCAGUAGCAGAACCCAAUGAAAAUGAAACUAUUUCAAGGCAGCAGUUGGCAGUUGCAAGUGAAUGGAGGCCCUGACAAAAUUCUCAAGCGGUUGCAAUGCAAUUACGAUCAUCCUCAGCCUCAGGUAAUUUCUUCUCCUGCUCUGUUUUUAUCUGUUAUCUAAUUAAAAAGCAUAAAGUAUCUUGAAUCACUUUCUGUAUCUGGAAUAUAUGCAGCAGUUUCUAAAAUCUUCAUAUGAGUGUAAUGAUGGUAAUUUCUGUUUUUUGUCUGUCUUUGAAUGUUAGACAACUUUCAGUGAGACUCUUGAACCGAGACAUUUUUGACAAAUGAAGGACAAUUGCUGAAGAGUGGGAAUGGUGCUAGAUUGGGGAAUAAAGACAAAGGAGGUAAAUUAUUUGCAGUUUAUUCAGCAUUAUUUGCUUUGGACCAGCGCCUGAUUCACAAGUCUCCAUAAUUUGGCUUUUGACCAGUUGUUAAUAAAUUUUUUUAUUCCAUUGGUGCUAAAUGUACACGUGAAGCAGGCAGAGCAGGACUGUGGAAAUGAGAAGGUUUUUAGUGAAAGCUUAAACUCAGGUAAUUCUAAAAAGUACAUGUUUUUGCUGAUUUAUCUAAAUCAGGAAAUUUUAUUUCCAUCUGUUACAAGAUAAAACAGAAACAGAACACAAAGAAAAAUAUUCUACUUCGUGUGGCAAUCUUGCCUUCAUUCAGACAAUGAAACCAUUUCCUUUCACCAAUUUCUUCCAAAAGUUUGAAUAAGUUUCAUGGUUGGACAUAGUUAGCUUCUUUUUCUUUUGGUGCAUUUAGGUCCUAUCAAGUGACAGCCAUAAGUAUGAUUGCAUUAUCGGGAAAUUUUAGAUUUCGAUGGCUCCCCAUGUUAUUGCCAAGAAAGUCCUCAUGUCAGAAGCUGCGGUUCUUUUCAUCAGCCUGAACCCGAACCUGUCGUUAUGGAUAACUCAGGUUUUUGUCAUCAACUAUAUCAUCUUUUUUACUGUUUUGAAACUCUUAAGAUUAAACUUCAGUAAAGUUGUUUCAGUUAUCCAUGUAAUCAGGCUAAGGAUAUUUAGCAGCUUAUUUAGGCAACUGCCAGAAUUCAGUUUGUUCGCUCGAAACUUGUAUGGUGACAAGGAUACUGGCAAGGAUAGUGAGAUAGUUUUUUGUGUGAGUGAAAUUUGAAAGCUUGGGUGUUCUGGGAUUUGCAAUUGCAAUCAUCCUCUGAGUCAGGUGAUUUCUUCUUCUGCUCUGUCUUUAUUUUCUCUCUAAUUGAAAGCAUAAAGUAUUUCAAUCAAAUUCUGUACCAGGAAUACGUAAAAGUUACUAAUAUUUUAUUUCCAUCUGUUUGCAUAGAUAACUUGGCGGCAUAUGUUCUAGUUAAAGAACAAACAGAAACAGAGUUCAGGAAAAAGUUUCUUCGGCCACCAUAUUUGAAAAUGAAACCAUUUCCAGGAAGCAGUUGGCAGCAAAUUCAUAUGGAGUGUAGACAAUGAUGAGCAAAAAGGUGAUUCGCAAUUUCUUUUUUUUUUUAAGUGAAAUUAUUUGUUAGAUUGAAGCUGAUAUUGUAAGAAGGCCAUUGAGCUAACCUAUGUCGCCACUUGCCUAGAUUGCAGGGGGUCAAGACUCAAAAGAAGCACUGAAAUUUAAAAAGCAUGCAAUAGUUCUUUUACCAUGUGUCAAUUAAUGCAAGUUUGAAUAAGUUUAUUGGCUGAACGAUGUUAGCUUCUUUUCCUUUCGUGCACUUUGGUAUGCUAUCAAGUGACAGCCGUAUGUAUGGCUUGCAUAUAGCUGCUGCUGGGAAAAUUGACGAUUUCAUGGCUGGCCGUGUUAUUGUCUUAAAUUAGUUGUGAUAAGCUGUUGCUUGGAGAUUCUGUUGCCAAGACUUUGCUCACAUCAGAAGCUGUGGAAUCUGAACCCUUCGUUAUGUAUCAUCUUUUUCAUUGUUUUAAAACUCUCAGGAUUAAACUUGAGCGAAUUUGUUCGGUUGUCUAUAUAAUCAUGUAUUGAGUAAACUCUCAGGAUACUGAGCAGGCAAAUGUUAUAACUCGGUUUGUUAGCCAAAAACUUGUUGAAGAUUCUUGACAAAGCUGCAUCAAGUGAAUUGUCGGAGCUCUGAGGGUGAGAGAAAUUAGAGGAUUUGGAUUUGUUAGGAAGUUAUCAUAUUUAUUUUUAUUUUUUUAUUUUUCCCAGAAAAUCUUCUGGUGGUGCUAUAUUUUCAAACGACAGUCCGAUUCAAAACUUGAUAUUCCAAUUAUAUUCAUAAGCUUCUAUAGUUAUCUUCAAAAAGACAAAUGGAAGGCUUUGAACGGCUUGGGUCUGAGUAUUGUAGUUUGAUUUAUUUUGAUGAAAGUACCUUUUGACAUUGAGAUUCUUUCUUGAGUUAAACAUUCUUUUUAAAACCAACUUAUUAAAAAAAAAGUAACUAACAUAUAUUAUUUUGUUAGUGCUUUUUAAAUCAAAUAUAAAAAAGAGAACUGUAAUUCUUAGCAACCAAUUUUUCACUGAGUACAGCUACAACAAACUAUUAAAAAAUAAAGUGAUAGAAAAUGCCUGAUUUUUCGUACUUUCUAAUUACUUUUGGUCCUAAAAUAUGGCGAUUUGUGUAAUAAUAAGCCCAUGUAUAUCUUUAUGCCAUUAGUUUGAUAAAUAGCUAUCAAGGAUAACUUAUUAAGCUAAAAAUAUUUGAAGGAUAAAUUGGUAAAACUAAAAGGGUGGAGUAAUAAAACAACAGCUGCAGAUCUCGAAUGCAUCUUCAUUACAGUAUGUUCCAAGGAAGUGUAAUGCCAUAGCUCAUGCUAUAGCAAAAGUGGCUCUGGAUUUUGAGAAUUCUGUUAUAUGGCUGGAAGAGUUUCCAGUCCAGAUCAUGAUGUUACUCUCAAAUUUUAUCAAUUAGAAAGCUUUACUUUCUUUUCAAAAAAAAAAAAAAAAACAAGAAUUUCCAAUUACCUGCAAAGUCAGCUGCGAAGUUAACUCCUGAGCUGAGAAGGUGGCCUAGCAAAGUCUCUGGGCCCAAUAAAAAUGUGCUUUUUGCAGUAAAACAGUGUGUCCGUGGGAGAAGGUAGCAGCGGAAAACCAAGCCUCUCACAAGACAUGUUUCAAGUGCUCACAUGGUGGUUAUUCCAUUAGCCCGUCAAAUUACGCAGCCCUAGAAGGCAUCUUGUAUUGCAAACAUAAUUUCUCCCAAUUGUUCAAGGAAGAAGGCAGCUACAACCACCUUAUAUCAAAUCUGCUUCCAUGAAGCGUGCUGCAGUCUCUGUUCAAGAAGCUUGAACAUGUUAUGUUAUCUUCCAUAAAUCUUAUUUGGCGUGGGUUUUCUCUGGCUUGAGGGUGUGCUUUCUAUUUUGAUCCCUCUUGUUGUUUUUGCGGGGAACUACCAAACCUUCGGUUCCCUCUGCUUCUUUGGAUCAUCUUUGUUGGGACAAAUUUCAUGUAAUUAGAGAUACUGAUUUAUGGGAGGCAUAAUCCCAUGGUCGUAAAUUGACCAUUUUCUGGCAAUGUUCUUUUUAAAAAGAGAUGAGCAGUUGUUUAAAAAAAAAAAAAAAUAGCUUGCCUUCAUCAUUGUAUGUUACCAAAGUGCUAUGUAUAGCUGCUGACUAUGAGCAUCCGAAAAUGGUGCAUCGUGAUUCAUGUAGUGCAAUAUGGCUACCAACGCAUCCUAAAUGGAGUAUUACUCAGUUAGGGUGUGUUUGGGAUUGAGGUUCUGUAGCUUUUAAGCUACAGCUGUUGUGAAAAAAAAGCUGUAAUUAUGAAACAAAAGUUAAUAAUAUAUAGUAAAUAUAAAUUUUAAAUAAUAAUUUUGAUAAGAUUAUUAAAGAUAUAAUAAAUUUUAUAUUAUACAAGUGAAAAAUAAUAUCAACAUAGCUUAAAAGCUACAGCAGUUAGUGUUUACCAAACACUUUAGUGCUGUAGUUUUUAAGCUAUAACUGCCCAACCUCAAUCCCAAACGCACCCUUAGUCAGCAAAAUAAGACAACAUAACUGAUAUUAAAAAAAAAACUACAUUAAUAAGUGGGCAAGAUCAUGCCAGUUUAACUUUUCGCGCGUCGCUGCUGGAGAUAAUCAAAUCAGGGCAGAGAAAAGGAGAAUGGAAUCAGAGGCUAAGAUUAAUAAGUGGGCUUCUGCUUGCUUUGCCCCUCUUUCUUAAACGAUUGGUAGACUGCUGCUUCCACCGAUUAACCGGGUCUUCAACCACUGCUUUUACUGCCUGCCAUCUUGUUGUUUGUCGAAGGGAUGAAUUCGAUUCGAAAAGAGAAAGCGCGCUGAAAAAGAUAAAUCACUAGUGGUUAACUGCUGACUCAGCCAAGUGUUGGCUUCACUUGAUUCACCGAUUGAGGUUAUUUUGUCUUCUAUCUAAUGCAGCGAAGAAGCUUUGCUGCUUAACAUGCUGCAAUGCAACUUUAUCCUUUGAAGUUCACACUUCAGGGCUGGGCACUUUAUGUAAUCCUAUGAGUAAAAAGAAUUUGUUUUCAAAUGUGAAAAAAGAAAAUGUAAGGUAGUAACUAAAUAUAUUAUAGCAUCCAAGCAAGAUUUGAUAUGAAUUUAGUACAACAAAGAACAUCAAAUCUGUGAUUCCUUGUCUAAUGUCACCAUCGAGCAACAAAUUUAAAAGCCUACCUAUCAAAUACACGAGGCAAUAAACGGAGAAAAAUUUGAAUUACAAGAACAAGUUUACAAUUCUUGUCAAUGGUUAAUGAUUCGUGAACUGAGAUAGCAUUCAAGAAUCCAAUUUCAAUACAACAACGUAAAAGAUAAACAGAUGAUGAAUUUAUGAGAUAAAGAAGGAGAUCAUGUUUUAUCGUAUCUCUAUUUUCUUUCUUUUUAAAUUUAAAAUAAGCUUUUCAACCGGUUUGUUAACCGGUUAUAAUAUUUUUUUAAAAUAAUUAAAUAUUUUCAUUAUUAAAAAUAAUGUGUACCGUUGAUUAUAUCUAACGGUACAUAUUUCUUACACUACUAAUACCGUAAAAAAAAAUACAGCAUCAUAGAGGGACCCUUAAAACAUUUUCAUUUGAAAUUAUUUGGUGUAGUAAAAAAGUUAAGAAAGAAAUAGUUGUCCCUUUGGUCAUUUCACAAAAAUGAAAGCCCCAUAAAAGAUAAACAGAUGAUGAAUUUUAUGAGAUAAAGAAGGAGAUCGUGUUUUAUCGUAUCUCUAUUUUCUUUCUUUUUAAAUUUAUGAGAUAAAGCGGUUGGUCCAGUUACGGUGUUAUGCUAACGGGUUUAAAGGUUCCGAUCCAAUGAGUUAGGGUGGAAUAUGAAUAUAUAAAUUCCAUAGCUAAGGACUAGGAUUUGUUUGUUCAUAUCAAGAAAAAAGAUCUGAAAAUUUGAUGAUCAGAAGAUAAAAACACUUAAACACGUUUAUUUCAGAGAAACAAACGACAACAUGAUACUAGUAGUAGUUAUUCUUUUCAUCCGAUAUAUUACAUUGUAAUAUCACUACUCGUUCCACUGGUUUCAUAUACACCAUCGACCAGCAACAUGAUAAUUUCGUGUCAGUUCAUUUUGUUUGUAGGAAAGAGCAGUGUAUUUCUUAGAGCUUGAAAAUAAUAAAAAGAUUUUAAAAUAUAAAUUGCAUAUUUGUUUAUUACUGUUGUUUGGUCUAAUUUCUUAUGUAGAAUUGCUUGUCAUUCUUUGGACGUUAUUGAUUAUAUUUUUGUCAGACUUGGCGUAUACAUUCACAUACGUUUUAUUUUGUCAUUUUGUAGAACAUUUUUACACGCCAUAUUAUCACGACUCUUCUGUGUCUGAAUAAGAAGAAAGCAUAAUGCGACCCUCCAACAGCUUAAUCUAUGGAAUUAUCGUGUUUUGUAAGUUGAGGUCCAAUGGCGUUUUGGCACAUCAUAUGAUAGACCACUAUAUUGCGUUGCUUUACAAAAGAUUAAUAUUUUUAAAAUUAUUAACUCAUGAUAUGAUAGUCCAGGUUUUCGAGGACCACUAUAUUGUAUUGAUUUUUAAAAAAAAUUAAUAUUUUUUAAUAUUAAUAUUCUAAAUUAUAUUCAGUUAAAAUAUUAAAUAUUAAAUACAUUCUUAAUAUUAAUACUCUUAGAUGAAAUUCUUUUGCUGACUUAAGAAUAAAAUAUUAAAUAAUUUUAUUUUUCUUUUAUUGUGUAACGUGGACCCAAAAAAAAAAGGAAAUGAAUUUAAUAAAACCUUCCUUCCGCCACCAUGCAUGUUAAUUGUUUCCAAAUUCCAACCUCCGUACUCUCUUGAGGAGUUUCCCAUUCAUCAAUUAUUAUUUUUUAUAAUCCAUACCAUCCUGAUAUAAUUAAACACCAUUAAUAAUGUACCAGCCUUUAAAUAGUAAUUUAUUUAUUUAUCUAAUUCACCAAAUGUCAUUUCCUGUACAUAUCUCCAUUGGUAUCAAGAAGAAGCAGAACCCAAAGAAACGUUUCUUGCAUCUUCAUAUUUGUGCGAAUUCAUCCUUUCAUUGAGAAUAACCAUUUCCAGGCAGCAGUUGCCAAUCAAUUCAUGCGCACGUCGAUGCUAUUCAUAGAUAUUAAAGACAAUGAUGAACCAAAGGUGAUAAAUCAUAAAUGCAUAAUUACCAAACCUCCAUCCUUCUCUCAUUAUGAUUUGAUUUUAAAUGAAUUAUUGCUUGGUAACAUUAUUUCCAACCAUUGCAAGAUUUUUUUUGGAGAAAUUUUAAUUGAAAGUAAAACCUUUAGACAUUUACCUAAUGAAGUUAGUUAAUCGGGAGGGUGGAAAAAAAAAAGUUGACGCAAGUCAAUACACAAUAAUUAAUCAAAUCCGGAGUGACUAAAACAGAGCCACUACUUUUUUAAAAAUAUCUGCCUUCAUCACUUUCUCCAGCAGCUAGUCAGCUACACACGAGUCAAUUUCUCUCCUCGAUUGUCAUCCAAAAUUAUUCACCAAUACCAUGGCUGAUGCAAUCGUUUCCACUAUCUUGGAGCAGCUGAUUUCCUUCGCUGCUGAAGAGAUAAAACAACAGGUGAUCGAAGUUACACCCCUCAGAUUACAAAUACUUCCAAUGAUUUUAUUUGGUUUUGCUUUUAUCAAAAACAUUAUAUAUUUUUGCUUUAUUUUAUUUAUCUGGUAAUUUUAGAUUUUGAAAUUUGAAUUGAAUUUAAUUAAAAGGUGAUGUAGUAACCACUUAUUUUUAUUUUAUCUCAUUUAUAUUCUCAAUAACUACUCAUAUUUUGGUAACUUACUAUAACUUCCAUAUCUAAGAAAUGAUCCAAACCCACAAUUUUAACUCAGCACGAAUAUUCAAUGGUGAUCUAAGCUUUUGCAGAACACUCAAGUUUGUCAAACAGUCAUUAAUUCAAUGUUUAGUAAAAAAAACACUUCUCAGCACAGAAUUCCAUGUCCAUUACUUAGACUCUAUGAAAAAUUUCAUAAUUUUCUCACAUUAUUUGAGUUUGGUAAGUGAUUUCAUAUAAUUUCUUUUCAAUAUAAAUUUUAAUUUGGUUUCUUAUAUACUCUCUUUGCUGAAUUUGUAUCUUUUAUGAUUCUUAGAUUUUGGGCUCUAACUUUUUAGGAUUUGAUAGUCACAUUUUAUGCCAUGCUUAAAUUGAUUUUCAUGAUUUUUACUACCCGUUAAGUGACUUAGAAUUUGACAAAAGUUUGAAAGGAAAUCUACUUCAGGAUUCUGUUUUAAUUGACCUUUUAGUGGAAAUAAGAUGCUUAUAACUUAAUGUGGAUGUACAAGACUCUCCAUGAAGUCUCAUAAUUUUUCAUUCGGUCUGGGGUGUUACAGGUGAAGCUUGUGGUUGGUGUCGAAAAAGAAGUGAAAAGCCUUACCGGCCACCUUCAAGCCAUUCAAGCUGUGCUCGAUGAUGCCGAGGAAAAGCAAGUGAAGGACAAAGCUGUUAGUCUUUGGCUAGGUAGGCUCAAGUACGCAUCCUACGACAUUGAAGAUGCGUUGGAUGAAUGGAUCACAGGAAGACGCAAAUAGCAAAUUGAGGGUGGCAUUGGUGAAAAUGCUCUUAUUGCUCCUCAUAAGAAAAAGAAGGUACGUUUCUGCUUUCGUGCCUCUUGUCUUGGAUUCAAACAAGAAGAAUUUGGCUUCAAACAAGUCUUUCUACGUCAUGACAUUGCUGACAAGAUCAAAGAAAUCAAUGAAGAGCUACGUAAUAUUGCCACUCAAAGAGACAUGUUUAAAUCUGAGAGUGGCAGUAAAAGUAGUGAAAGACCCAGGCGUGUACAGAGUACCUCCUUGAUUGAUGAGGAAGAGAUUUGUGGUAGAGUUGGUGAGAGGAAUGAACUCUUAAGCAUGCUGUUGUGUGAGAGUAGGGAGCAACAAAAAGGCCUUCAUAUCAUCUCAAUCGUUGGUAUGGGAGGCAUAGGAAAAACAACUCUUGCACAACUAGCAUGUAAUCAUGUUGAGGUGAAGAGAAAGUUUGACAAACUUUUAUGGGUGUGUGUAUCGGACCCUUGUGAGCAGUUUAGGAUUGCCAAAGCGAUCGCUGAAGCUUUAGGCAUUCCCUCUUCUAAUUUAGGUGAAUUUCAAUCUCUUCUUAAACUUAUAUCUGAAUCUAUUACUGGAAAACGAUUUCUUCUUGUCUUAGAUGAUGUGUGGGAUGGAGAUUGUAUAAAAUGGGAACCAUUCUACCUUUGUCUAAAGAAUGGUCUCCAUGGAAGUAAAAUUUUGGUUACCACACGUAAAAAAUCAGUUGCAUCUAUGAUGGGAUCUACUAAUACUGAUAUUGUCACUGUCAUGGAAUUGGCUGAAGAAGAAUGUUGGUCAUUGUUUAAGCGGUUAGCAUUUUUCGGUCCGUCUAUUAAUGAUUGUGAAAAUUUGGAACAAAUUGGGCGAAGAAUUGCAGGCAAGUUUAAAGGUUUGCCUCUUGCUGCAAAGACAAUAGGGAGUCUCAUGCGCUCUAAACAAAUUGAAGAAGAGUGGGAAAGGAUUUUAAAUAGUGAUUUAUGGAGAGUAGAAGAGAUGGAGAAAGGUGUUCUGUCCUCAUUGGUGUUGAGUUACAACGAUUUGCCGUCCAAAGUAAAAAUAUGUUUUUCCUAUUGUGCUGUCUUUCCAAAAAACUACAAUAUAAAAAAAGAUGAACUAAUUACAUUGUGGAUGGCUCAAGGUUAUCUUAGUGCAGAACAAAAUAAGGAGAUGGAGACUAUAGGUGAAGAGUAUUUUAGCAUCUUAGUUUCUCGCUCUUUCUUUCAAGAGUUUGAGAAAAGUUAUGAUAAUCGUAUUAUAGAGUGCAAGAUGCAUGAUAUGGUACAUGAUUUUGCCCGAUUUGUAAGUCAAAAUGAAUGUUUUUCGAUGGAAAUUAAUGGUAGUGAGGAACCAAACACCAUAAACUCUCUUGAUGAGAAGGUUCAUCAUUUAAUGUUGAUCAUUGGUAGGGAGGCUUCAUUUCGUGUCCCUAUUUGUAGAGUGAAAAGAAUUCGUAGCCUCUUAAUUGAUAAUAGUAGAACUUCUCGUUCGUAUUUUAAUGGUGAGAUCCUAGAAGAAUUAUUUAGGGAAUCGACAAGUUUAAGGGCAUUAGAUUUUUGGGGAUCAUAUGUCGUAAGCCCAUUUUCGACUCUAAAGAUUCCAAGAAACAUAGAAAAUCUAGUACAUUUAAGAUACCUUAACCUGUCUUGUCAGAACAUAAGGAAACUACCGGAGACAUUAUGUGAGUUAUAUAAUCUAGAAAAGUUAUAUAUUACUCGUUGUCUGUAUCUUGAAGAAUUACCUGAAGGGAUUGGGAAGUUAAUAAACAUGAAGCAUUUACUAAAUUAUCGUACAGAUUCUUUAAGGUACAUGCCAGUAGGGAUUGGGAGAUUAACGGGUCUUAGGACCUUGGAUGAGUUCCAUGUGAUUGGAGGAGGAGGUGUUGAUGGUAGGAAAGCAUGUUGGUUUGAAUCUCUUAAAAACUUGAAACACCUUCAAGUAUGUGGUAUACGCAGAUUGGGUGAUGUAUCAGAUGUGGGCGAGGCUAAGCGAUUAGAACUUGACAAAAAGAAAUACCUCUCUUGUUUGAGACUUUGGUUUGAUAAGAAGGAGGAAGGAGGAGAAAGGAGGAAGAACGAGGAGGAUCAACUUCUUCUUGAAGCCUUGCGACCACCCCUGGAUUUAAAGGAAUUAGAGAUACGGUACUACCGAGGCAACACUGCUUUCCCCAGCUGGAUGACGUCAUUAAUCAAUUUAAGGAGUUUAGAUCUCUCUUUGUGCGAAAAUUGCGAGCAGCUGCCUCCUUUGGGAAAAUUGCCGUCCCUUGAAAAACUCAGCCUAUUGCACAUGCGGAGUGUGAAAAGAGUGGGUGAUGAAUGUUUGGGGAUAGAAAGUGAUCAUCAUGGCUCAUCUUCAUCUUCAUUAGUUAUUAUUGCCUUCCCUAAAUUGAAAUCACUCACAAUUUCUUCCAUGUUGGAAUUGGAGGAGUGGGAUUAUGGGAUUACAAGAACGGGAAACACCGUCAUCAACAUCAUGCCACGUCUUUCUUCCUUGGAAAUUGUUGCCUGCCCCAACUUAAAGGCACUGCCCGACCACAUUCAUCAAACGACAACAUUGAAGGAAUUGCGCAUUGUGCAUUGUGGGCUUCUGGAAGAACGUUACCGCACGGGGGAAGGAGAAGACUGGCCUAAGAUAUCACAAAUUCCCAACAUAGAUAUUGAUUAAGAAGGAGAAGAGUGGCCUAAGAUAUCUCACAUUCCCAACCUCGCGAUUUGGCCUUGACAAGUAACUCCUUCUCUUACUCUGAUUUGCUUUGUUGUUCUUUUUAAUCUAAUCAAGAAGCAUAAAUAGCAUUUUGAAUUAAACUCUAUAUCAGAAAUCUGCAAUACAUAUUUUCUAAUAUUCUGAUUUUCAUAUCUUAUGAAUGUACGAUUCUAAUUUGCGAUAUUUAACGUUGCUGUAAAAUAUUAUUAAUGCAAUAUGAGUAAUUCUUUUGCAGGACAAGUGACCUAAGUUUAGUUUGGCUUUGGAGUUGAGUAAUAACCUUUCGAGGUCGCCACUAUAAAAAAGCGAAGCUCAAUUUGCCACAGAUUACAUGUAUUGCCAUCAUUGACAAUUUUCUGGAUAAGUGAUGAAGGGUGAGAAUGGUGCUAGAAUAUUGAAUAAAGCUGUCGUGACUGAACUUAGGUUGAUGUCAAAAGGGGUAAAUUAUUGGCAUGCCUAGCUAAUUUGACCACUUCCUGAUUCAUAAGCCUAUAUCAAUUUUGAUUUUGAGUUGAGUGAUUAAUUUUCAAGGUUUGCUUACUUAACCGGUGACCACUUUGUUGUAACUAAAUGUAUCAUAUGAUGCAGGCAGCAGGGCAGGAUAUGAAAUGAGUAGUUUAUUAGUGGAUGGAUUGCCAGAAGCAGAACCCAAAGAAAAUGAAAACAUUUCGAGGCAGCAGUUGGCAGUUGGCCGUGAAUGGAGCCCCUUGAAAAAAUUCCCAACCCAUUGCACUGCAAUUACGAUCGUAAGUAUGAUUGCACUGCAAUUUCGAAGCUUCUUCUCCUGCAUUUUUGUUAUUUGCUAUCAAGUGACAUUCGUAAGUAUGAUUGCAUUAAGCUGCUGCUGGGAAAUAUGAGGUUUUGAUGGCUGCCCAUGCUAUUGUCAGAAGCUGCGGUUCUUUUCAUCAGCCUGAACCUGGACCUGUCGCCAUGGAUAACUCAGGUUUUUUUUUUUUUAAUCAACUACGUCAUCUUUUCCACUGUUUUGAAACUCUUAAGAUUAAACUUUAGUAAAGUUGUUUUAGUUAUCCAUGUAAUCAGGCUGAGGAUACUUAGCUGCCUAUUUAGGCAAAUGUCAGAAUUUAGUUUGUUCGCUGGGAACUGGUGUGGUGACAGCGUCCUGGCAAAGGAUGAUGAGAUAGUUUUUUGAUUGAGUAAAUUUUGGGAGCUUGAGUGUAUUGGGAUUUGCAAUUACAAUCAUCCUCUGCCUCAGGUGAUUUCUUCUCCUGCCCUGUCGUUGUUUGUUCUCUAAUUCAAAAUUAUAAAAUAUUUCAAUCAAAUUUUAUGCCAGGAAUAUGCAAAAGUUUCUAAUAUUUUAUUUCCAUCUGUUUGCCUUGAUAACUUUGCGGCAUAUGUACUAGUUAAAGAACAAAUCGAAACAGAGCUCAGUUAAAAGUUUCUUCUGCCGUCAUAUUUGAAAAAUGAACCCAUUUCCAGGAAGCAAUGGGCAGCAAAUUCAUAUAAAGCGUAGACAAUGAUGAGCAAAAAGGUGAUUCACAAUUUCACUUUUUUUAAUGAAAUUAAUUGUUUGGUUGGAGCGGAUAUUGUUAGAAGGCCAUUGAGCUAACCUAUGUCACUACUUGCCUAGAUUACAGGGGGUCAAAACUCAAAAGAGGCAUUGAAUUUUAAAAGGCAUCCAAUAAUUCUUGUGGCCAUAUAUCAAUUCAUGUAAGUUUGAAUGUAAUUAUUGGUGAAGGGGUUUCACUUCCCGUCUCUAAAUAAAAAUACUGAUUCUUUAAGGUACAUGCCACUAGGGAUUGCGAGAUUAACGAGUCUUUGGACAUUGGAAGAGCUCCUUGUGAGUGGAGGAGGAGAUGUUGAUGGUAGCAAAGCAUGUGGGCAGUUGGCUUGAAUCUCUUAAAAACUUGGAACUCCUCCAAGCGUAAGUAUACGUGUACUGGGAAAUGUGUUAGAUGUGGAUGAGGCUAAGAGAUUAGAGCUUGACAAAAUGAAAUACCUCUUUCAUUGAGACUUAAAUUUGAUGGGGAAGAAGAAAAAGAAGAGGGAAGGAGGAAGAAUGAGGAUAAUCAACUUGUUCUUGAAGCCUUGCAACCACCUCUGAAUUUGAAGGAAUUAGAGAUUUGGUUAUACAGAGGCAACAUUGUUUCCCCCCGGAUGAUGCAAAAAUUGAAGGAAUUUACCAAUCUAAGGAGUUUGACACUCUUUAAAACUGCAAAAAUUGAGAGCAGUUGCCUCCUUUGGGAAAAUUGUAAUCCUUUGAAAAUCUCAGCAUAUUGUACAUGGAGAGUGUGAAAACAGUGGGUAAUGAAUUUCUGGGAAUAGAAAGUGAUCUUCAUGACUCAUCUUCAUCUUCAUCAGUUAUUAUUGCCUUCCCCAAAUUGAAAUCACUUUCUUUCAGUUGAGGGAUUGAUGGAAUUGGAGGAGUGGGAUUAUGGGAUUAAAAGAACAGGAAACACCUUCACCAACAUUAUGCCACGUCUUUGAACCUUGGAAAUUAGUGUGGGGUUAUGGGAUCGCACAACGACGUUGAAGGUAUUGCAGAUUGUGGCAUGUGGUACUCUAAGAAGACGUUACAGACAGGGGAGAGCAGAAGACUGGCCUAAAAUGCUAAUGUGGAGUACAAUCAUAAAAUGCUAAUGUGGCCACCCUGGUUCUUAAAUUAAGGUUGUGCAUAUUAUUGUAAAAGAUGAUUAAUUCAAUUUGAGUCAUUCGUUUGCUUUGAUAAUGAUAGUAAUUUUAUAUUUGACAAUUUGCAAGGUGAGAAUGGUGCUGAUUGGUGAUACAGGAUAUGGUUCAAACACCAUUGAAUAAAGCUACGGACAUGGUGGCUCAACUUAGCUAGAUUGCUGUCAAAAUUGGUAAGUUGGCUUGUCAAUGUAUUGAUGCUUUUGUUUUCUCUCAACCCUAAUUACCUUACCUUCAUUUAGUUUGGCUUUGGAGUUGAGUAAUAACUUUCAAGGUUCUCAAACAGAGCAGGACAACCGAAAAAAAAAGCUUAAUUUGCUACUGAUCACGUGUUACCAAUUAUUUAAGGUAAUUCUCGUUUACUUGCUUCUACGCUAUAGAGUACGUGUUCUGGUUGGUUUAUCUAAUUCAUCAAAUGUUAUUUCCUUAUUGUUCCAUUGAUAUAUUUGUUAGAAAGUGAAACCAUUUCCAGGCAGCAGUUGGCAGUGAAUUCAUGCAAAUGUUGAUGCCAUUCAUAGAUAUUGAAGACAAUGAUGAGCCAAAGGUGAUAAAUCAUUAAUGCAUAGUUACCAAAACCUCCAUCCUUCUGUCAUUGUAAUUUGAUUUGAAAUGAAUAAUUGCUAGGUAAUUGAAGCCAAUAUUGUAAGAAACGGUGUUGAGCUACCCAAGCUAAGAAGUUAGCUGCCAAAAAAUGCAGGGGAUCAAAAGAAGCAUUGCAGUGCUACAAUGCUGCUACUGGGAAAUUUAAAUCCCAUAUUAGACUUUCCUCACAUCAGAAGCUGUGGAUCUUGGGACAUCAGGUUUUUUCACAGUUCUGAAACUCUCAGGAUUAAACUUUAUUAAAGUUGUUGUAGUUGUCUACGUUCUCAGGUCAAGGAUUCUAAGCUGCCUAUUAAGGCAAAAUGUCAGAAUUCCCCUAUUAUUUUUUUUUUCAUGUAAAAUUAUGUUGUUGUCUUCGCCCAUGAAUCUAGCUAAAUUCUGAACCAAUUGUUUGCUAUUAUAAAUUUCAUUGUUAAAUAUUAAUUGUGAUGUUGGUGUUGAGUUUCUUUUAAAGUCACAGAAGCCUGACGAUUGAGUUCCGUGGGAUUCUGAGAAGCAGUAAUAUUUUGAACAAGUGAAGGUUCUUCGUUUUUAAUUAUGUUCUGCACCUUUACAGUAUGAGUAGAUGUCUAAGAGGCGGGAUUUUAAUUUCAUUAAUGCUAAAUUUCGCAAAACAAUAAAAAAAUAAAUGCAUGACAGUGACUUCAAGAAUUUAGAUUAUUGAAUUUGGCCAUUUUAAAAUUGAACCAGAGCUCAGAAAUGUAGAAUAUAAAUAUUGGAGAUUUGAACUUCAAUCAUUAGAUUUGAAGCUAAAGAGGUAAGCCAUUAAUUACAUCAAAGGAUUUGGAAAAUGGAGGAAUUGUAAAAAGGAAACUCUUUCAUCAACUUCAAGCAUUGGGCUUUUUCAUUUGUCCGAUUCAAGAGGAACGUCACAGAAAGGGGUAAAGAGAAGAGUAGCCAAAGAUAUUAAAGACAAUGUUGAGGCAAAGGAAACAUAAAUCCCCACCAUUGCAUGGGAACAUGAUCACAAUAAGGUCAGGAANNNNNNNNNNNNNNNNNNNNNNNNNNNNNNNNNNNNNNNNNNNNNNNNNNNNNNNNNNNNNNNNNNNNNNNNNNNNNNNNNNNNNNNNNNNNNNNNNNNNNNNNNNNNNNNNNNNNNNNNNNNNNNNNNNNNNNNNNNNNNNNNNNNNNNNNNNNNNNNNNNNNNNNNNNNNNNNNNNNNNNNNNNNNNNNNNNNNNNNNNNNNNNNNNNNNNNNNNNNNNNNNNNNNNNNNNNNNNNNNNNNNNNNNNNNNNNNNNNNNNNNNNNNNNNNNNNNNNNNNNNNNNNNNNNNNNNNNNNNNNNNNNNNNNNNNNNNNNNNNNNNNNNNNNNNNNNNNNNNNNNNNNNNNNNNNNNNNNNNNNNNNNNNNNNNNNNNNNNNNNNNNNNNNNNNNNNNNNNNNNNNNNNNNNNNNNNNNNNNNNNNNNNNNNNNNNNNNNNNNNNNNNNNNNNNNNNNNNNNNNNNNNNNNNNNNNNNNNNNNNNNNNNNNNNNNNNNNNNNNNNNNNNNNNNNNNNNNNNNNNNNNNNNNNNNNNNNNNNNNNNNNNNNNNNNNNNNNNNNNNNNNNNNNNNNNNNNNNNNNNNNNNNNNNNNNNNNNNNNNNNNNNNNNNNNNNNNNNNNNNNNNNNNNNNNNNNNNNNNNNNNNNNNNNNNNNNNNNNNNNNNNNNNNNNNNNNNNNNNNNNNNNNNNNNNNNNNNNNNNNNNNNNNNNNNNNNNNNNNNNNNNNNNNNNNNNNNNNNNNNNNNNNNNNNNNNNNNNNNNNNNNNNNNNNNNNNNNNNNNNNNNNNNNNNNNNNNNNNNNNNNNNNNNNNNNNNNNNNNNNNNNNNNNNNNNNNNNNNNNNNNNNNNNNNNNNNNNNNNNNNNNNNNNNNNNNNNNNNNNNNNNNNNNNNNNNNNNNNNNNNNNNNNNNNNNNNNNNNNNNNNNNNNNNNNNNNNNNNNNNNNNNNNNNNNNNNNNNNNNNNNNNNNNNNNNNNNNNNNNNNNNNNNNNNNNNNNNNNNNNNNNNNNNNNNNNNNNNNNNNNNNNNNNNNNNNNNNNNNNNNNNNNNNNNNNNNNNNNNNNNNNNNNNNNNNNNNNNNNNNNNNNNNNNNNNNNNNNNNNNNNNNNNNNNNNNNNNNNNNNNNNNNNNNNNNNNNNNNNNNNNNNNNNNNNNNNNNNNNNNNNNNNNNNNNNNNNNNNNNNNNNNNNNNNNNNNNNNNNNNNNNNNNNNNNNNNNNNNNNNNNNNNNNNNNNNNNNNNNNNNNNNNNNNNNNNNNNNNNNNNNNNNNNNNNNNNNNNNNNNNNNNNNNNNNNNNNNNNNNNNNNNNNNNNNNNNNNNNNNNNNNNNNNNNNNNNNNNNNNNNNNNNNNNNNNNNNNNNNNNNNNNNNNNNNNNNNNNNNNNNNNNNNNNNNNNNNNNNNNNNNNNNNNNNNNNNNNNNNNNNNNNNNNNNNNNNNNNNNNNNNNNNNNNNNNNNNNNNNNNNNNNNNNNNNNNNNNNNNNNNNNNNNNNNNNNNNNNNNNNNNNNNNNNNNNNNNNNNNNNNNNNNNNNNNNNNNNNNNNNNNNNNNNNNNNNNNNNNNNNNNNNNNNNNNNNNNNNNNNNNNNNNNNNNNNNNNNNNNNNNNNNNNNNNNNNNNNNNNNNNNNNNNNNNNNNNNNNNNNNNNNNNNNNNNNNNNNNNNNNNNNNNNNNNNNNNNNNNNNNNNNNNNNNNNNNNNNNNNNNNNNNNNNNNNNNNNNNNNNNNNNNNNNNNNNNNNNNNNNNNNNNNNNNNNNNNNNNNNNNNNNNNNNNNNNNNNNNNNNNNNNNNNNNNNNNNNNNNNNNNNNNNNNNNNNNNNNNNNNNNNNNNNNNNNNNNNNNNNNNNNNNNNNNNNNNNNNNNNNNNNNNNNNNNNNNNNNNNNNNNNNNNNNNNNNNNNNNNNNNNNNNNNNNNNNNNNNNNNNNNNNNNNNNNNNNNNNNNNNNNNNNNNNNNNNNNNNNNNNNNNNNNNNNNNNNNNNNNNNNNNNNNNNNNNNNNNNNNNNNNNNNNNNNNNNNNNNNNNNNNNNNNNNNNNNNNNNNNNNNNNNNNNNNNNNNNNNNNNNNNNNNNNNNNNNNNNNNNNNNNNNNNNNNNNNNNNNNNNNNNNNNNNNNNNNNNNNNNNNNNNNNNNNNNNNNNNNNNNNNNNNNNNNNNNNNNNNNNNNNNNNNNNNNNNNNNNNNNNNNNNNNNNAUGGUAUGCUUGUUAUCAAUUCCAGUCUAAUUCAUUCAUGCUUUGAUGACAUAUGCGGUGCAGCUUCUUAUCUAAGACCUGUAUAUGUUCAGUCAUCAUUCAGUUCUGUAUUUGGCUGCCAUUCUUUCAAUGAAUUCAAACCACUUUCUGAAUACUUGCAAAUUCAUCCAGUGUUGUCAUUGAGAUGCCAAUAUGUAAAGGAGCAAUAGUUGCCCUUGAUAGUAUGCUUAUUGAUUGCCUCUUGCCUCACUCAGCCUAAGGAAUCUGGUUGUAUGGUGUUCUUGUAAUUUCAUUUGGAGAUAAGUAAUAUCUGUUGUUCAAAUGUAUUUUAUAUACAAGCAGUUAAUAAUUCUGCUUGCAGAAAGCUUACAAAGGAGCUGUGUGAUGUAAUAGAAGACUACAGUCUGGUCAAUUUUUCAACCUUAGAUAUUCAGGUCAUCGGUUUCUCUUGAAUUCUUUCUUGAGUUUCUUUGAAUUAUUUGUGAAUAAGAUCUUAGUUGGCUGCUCCUCUUCAGGAUAAGGAAAGUGUGGCAAAACUCGUGAAGCUGAUAGAUAAAAGCAAUGGGUACAUCUUUGCUGGCAUGGAUGCCAGUGCAGUUGAAUUCAGCAAGAUUGCCGUUCGCGAUGUGGAUUGGGAUUAUUACAGAUAUCCUUCUUUUCACCUACUUUCAAUCUUGUGAUUCUCAUAUUCAUAAAACUUUUAUCUUUGAAUUAUUUGUGAUGUAAUAACUUGUGCAUUUGAGAAACUAAUUUUGCUGUUAGGCAGGUUUCAAUCUUGAUUCAUGUGUUUUUCAUAAAUGUACCAAAGUUAUGGAAACUUUUCUUUUUCCCAGAUAUUGUAUCUGCACUUUUUCCCAUGUAAUUGAGUCAGACAAGUUUUGCUUAACAAAGAUGUCUACAGUCGCUGAAGUGCAGGAGGAGUACAUUAAGGAUGAUGACAACAUUGAUUAAAAUGGGACGUGAAGAUAUAUGUUGUGCAAACCGUAAGCCUGCCUCUUACUUUUGUGCAUGUUUACUUGCUUGUGAUUCACGUUUGUUAAUCUAUUUUGCUAUCUUGCAGGAUUUUUAAAGUUUUCAAUCAAUCAAACAUUUAACUCAAGUCCUUAGCUCUUCACUGCUUGAAUGGUGGUUUUAAUCAAACCCCUCCUAAUUAUGAUGUAUGGCCCGAAUCUCGGACUUUUUGUACAAUAUCAAGCGAUUUUUUUUUAGUUGAAUCGGCUAGUGUACACAAAUGUCGAUUAUUGAUUUUUCUCUAGUAUUGUUUGUAAUUACAAGAAACGAAGUAAUGAAAUUUAUCACUGCGUUCAUAGUUAUGCUUAAGCUCAAAGAUCACUGUCAAGAUCAUUUUGGGGCCUCUAUUUGUUCUAUAACAUGAUGUUGACACAUGUCAAAUUAUGAAGCUUGUGAUUAAAAUACUUUUCACAUAUAUAUUUUAAGUACUAUUACUAAUUAAAUAUAUGAAUAAAUAUGGUCAAUGAGGAGAGGAUAAAAUAAAAUGGCUUCAUUUUUUGAAUUACUCAACUGCUUCAAACUUCUAAAAAGUAAAUAUACAAUGAGUGGAAUAUUGAAUUGAGUGCGAGCUGCGGAUAACUUAAAAAAAUUAGAAUACAAGCUUCAAGGAAAGUGUAUUACUAUUCAAAUGUUGAUUUCAAAUUAAGAAGAUAUGCCAGCAAAUUGUAUAAAAAUGUAUAAAUUGAUCAGUAACAUUAAUUCCAAAUGAUGAAAUGAGCUAUCUUGAUCAAAAGGUCAAGAACCUACCUUACUUUUCUUAGAUAUAACUUGCAUCAACCGUUGUGGUAUUGAUACUUAUCUUGAGCAAGUGAAAGUGAAAGUUUUCCAAUUGAAAGAAAGUGAAGGGAAGAUGCGAUGCUCUAAUUAUUAUUAUUACUGACGUGGUCGAGAAGUAAAGCCAUGCAUGUGAUGAAGCAUAAAUAAGAAAGCUAUGGCCCGGAAUUCAUUUUCACUAACACUUCAAUAUUCUUUUGAUCACUUUUGCAAACAUCAAUUUGUCUCUUCUUGUAUUCACCAUGGUUGAUGCCGUCGUUUCCCCUCUCGUGGAGCAGCUGAUUUCCUUCGCUGCUAAAGAGAUAAAACAACAGGUGAUCGAAGUUAUAUUAUAAAUACUUCUAAUGAUUUUAAUUGGUUUUGUUUUAUCGAAAACAUUAUCUUUGCUUUAUUUUACUUAUUUAGUCAUUUUAAAUUUUGAAAUUUGAAUUGAAUUUAAUUAAAAGGUGAUGUGGUUAGUAACCACUUAUAUUUAUUUUGUUUCAUUUAUAUUCUCAAUAACUACCCAUAUUUUUUAUAACUUAUUGUAAUCCCGUGUCUAAGAAAUUAUCAAAACCCACAAUUUUAACUCUACAUAAAUAUUCUAUGUUGAGCUAAGUUUUUGCAUAACAUUCAAGUUUGUCAAGUAGUCAUUAAUUUAAUGUUUAGUAAAAACUUAUCUCUGAAAAAUUUCAUAAUUUUCUUACAUUCUUUGAGUUUGGUAAGUGACCUCAUAUAAUUUCUUUUCAAUUUAAAUUUUAAUUUGGUUUCUAUAUAGUCUCUUUACUUAAUUUGUAUCAUUUAUGAUUCUUAGAUUUUGGGCUCCAACUUUCUAGGAUUUGAUAGUCACAUUUUAUGGCAUGCUUGGAUUGAUUUUCAUGAUUUUUAGUACUCGUUAAGUGACUUAGAAUUUGAAAAACGUUUGAAAGGAAAUCUGUUUUACGGUUCUGUUUUAAUUGACCUUUUAGUGGAAAUAAGAUGCUUAUAACUUAAUGUGGAUGGUUCGCAAAAUCAUGAAAUUUGGAUAGGAUUCACUAGAAAUAUGAGACUCUCCAUAAAGUUUCAUAAUUUUUAUUGGGUCUGGGCUGUUACAGGUGAUGCUUGUGACUGGUGUCGAGAAGGAAGUGAAAAGCCUUACGAGCCACCUUCAAGCCAUUCAAGCUGUGCUCGAUGAUGCAGAGGAAAAGCAAGUGAAGGACAAAGCUGUUAGACGUUGGCUGGGUAGGCUCAAGUACGCAUCCUACGACAUUGAAGAUGUGUUGGAUGAGUGGAUCACAGAUAGACACAAAUUGCAAAGUGAGGGUGGCGUUGAUGACAAUGCUCUUGCUGCUCCUCAAAAGAAAAAGAAGGUAUGUUUCUGCUUUCCUGCCUCUUGUUUUGGAUUCAAACAAGAAGAAUUUGGUUUCAGACAAGUAUUUCUACGUUAUGACAUUGCCAACAAGAUCAAAGAAAUGAAUGAAGAGCUACAUGAUAUUGCCACUCAAAAAGACUUGUUUAAUCUUGUUAAGAGUGGCAAUAAAAGUGGUGAAAGACCAAGGCGUGUACAGAGUACCUCCUUGAUUGAUGAGGAAGAGAUUUGUGGUAGAGUUGGUGAGAAGAAUGAACUCAUAAGCAAGCUGUUGCGUGAGAGUAACGAGCAACAAAAAGGCCUCCAUAUCAUCUCAAUUGCUGGUAUGGGAGGCAUAGGGAAAACUACUCUUGCACAACAAGCUUGUAAUGAUGACGAGGUGAAGAGAAAGUUUGACAAAAUUAUGUGGGUGUGUGUGUCAGAAACUUUUGAGGAGUUUAGGGUUGCCAAAGCAAUGGUUGAAGCUUUGGAUGGUCGUGAAUCUCAUUUAGGUGAAUUCCAAUCUCUUCUUAAACAUAUUGAUGAAUCCAUUGCAGGGAGGAGCUUUCUUCUUGUCUUGGAUGACGUAUGGGAUGGAAAUUACGUGAAAUGGGAACCAUUCUAUCGUUGUCUAAAGAAUGGUCUCCAUGUAAGUAAAAUUAUAGUUACUACACGUAGUGGGUCCGUUGCAUCCAUGAUGGGAUCCAUAGAUAUUAUUCCCAUUAAGGAAUUAGCUGAAGAGGAAUGUUGGUUGUUGUUUAACAAGAUAGCAUUUUUUGGUAGGCCUAUCGAGGAACGUGAAAAAUUCGAACGAAUUGGGCGAAGAAUUGCAGGCAAGUGCAAAGGUUUACCUCUUGCUGCAAAGAUAUUAGGGAGUCUUAUGCGCUCUAAACAAACUGAAGAAGAGUGGAAAAUAAUUUUAAAUAGUGAUUUAUGGAAAGUAGAAGAGAUUGAGAAAGAUGUUUUGUCCUCCUUAUUGUUGAGUUUCAAUGAUUUGCCAUCUAGAGUAAAAAGAUGUUUUUCAUAUUGUGCUGUCUUUCCAAAAGACUACGAUAUAGAAAAAGACAAACUAAUUACAUUGUGGAUGGCUCAAGGUUAUCUUAGUGUAGAAGAAGAUGAGGAGAUGGAGACUAUAGGUGAAGAGUAUUUUAGCAUCUUAGCUUCUCGCUCUUUCUUUCAGGAGUUUGAGAAAAGUUAUGAUAAUCGUAUUAUAGAGUGCAAGAUGCAUGAUAUGGUACAUGAUGUUGCCCGAUUUGUAAGUCAAAAUGAAUGUUUGUCGUUGGAAAUUAAUGGUACUGAGGAACUAAACGUCAAAAACUCUCUUGCUGAGAAGGUUCGUCAUUUAAUGUUAAACAUUGGUAAAGAGUCUACAUUUACUGUCUUUACUUUUAGAGUUAAAAAAAUUCGUAGCCUCUUGAUUGAAAAUGGGAGAUAUGGUCGUCCAUCAUUAAAUGGUGAGAUCCUAGAAGAAUUAUUUAGGGAAUCGACAAGUUUAAGGGCAUUAGAUUUUCCUAGCUUUUAUUUGCCUUCAGAGAUUCCAAGAAAUAUAGAAAAGCUGGUACAUUUAUGUUACAGAGUAUGAUAAUAUGGUACAGAUGAGAGCAUCUGAUUAAAUGGAGCGGCUGAUGCUUACGUGUGUUGAGUUAGUUAUCCAGCUCAGCAGCAAAGAUAACGAACUGUACUGCAUGCAUAUUAGAUCCAACAAACUGACAAGCUACGUGACGCCUCUGAUCUUUACUAUAAAUAACAAGUUGUAAUCAUUAGUCAAACUAAUGAGAAUAUGAUCAUUUUUCAGAUCUGGUUCUUUAUGAUUUUCUUUUAUUUUCUUGUUAGUUUCUCUUAAACCAAACACUAUAUACAAACUCUUUCAUGGUAUCAGAGCAAACAAAUGGCAAAUUCGAAUCAAAAUUCUGGAUCUUAUAGUUUUAUUACUCCGAUAAAACUAGAUCAUAAUAACUUCAUUGUUUGGUGAACUCAGAUUCUCACAUCCAUUAAAGGAAAUGGUUUAGAAGAUUUCAUCAAUGGAAAUCAAGUCUGUCCGGAAAAAUUUUUCUCUGCUACAAGCUCUGCUGCUGGUUUCUCAACUGGAACAGAGAAUCAAGAGAUCAAUCCAGCUUACACAAUGUGGAUAAAGACGGAUCAAUUGAUUCUGAGCUGGAUGCUCUCAUCUAUUCAGCCAAAUCUAUUGACAACUGUGAUCCACUGCUCAACUGCAAAGGAGCUGCUGGAUACACUUACAAGUAUGUUUGUUUCCCAGUCACAAGCUAGAAUAAUGCCUCUAAAAAUGCAAAUCCAAACUCUUAAAAAAGGCUCGAUGUCCAUAACUGAUUAUUUUGCAAAAAUGAAAAGGAUAUCUGAUAGCUUAGCUUUAGCUGGAAAACCUGUUGAAGUGAAUGAUUUCGUUCAACAUGUUUUGACUGGAUUGGAUUCCUCUGAUUAUGAAUCACUAGUUACUACUGUGUUAGCUAGAGGAGAUAAUAUCAGUCUUGAUGAGUUUUAUUCAUUGUUAUUGAGUCAUGAAAAUCGUGUGGAACAAAAGAGAGGAAAAAUUGCAAGUGAUGUUACACAUAACUUGUCAGCUAAUGUUGCUCAAAAGCAGUUCAAUCCUGGUAAAAACACUAGUGGUAAUCAGAAGUUUAACGAUGGAUCGUAUGGAGGAAGUUAUAAUUCUGGAGCUGGAUCUAGUGAUGGUAACUUCUCACAAAUUGUAUGUCAAAUCUGUUUCAUUCCUGGUCAUGGUGCCAAUAAAUGCAGGAAUAGGUUUAACUCAGCUUUUGUUCCUUCAAGAAAUCAAGGAAGAGGUGGUUUUAAUGGAAAUUUUAGGCCUGGUCAGAGGCAGUAUGGUAGAGGUUUUGGCUAUGCUAAUGGCAAUAGGUAUGGCUUAUGGAAAUUUUGGUAAUUUUGGUAGAAAUCUUAAUCCUCAAUAUGGUGCUGGAAUUGGUAACUCUCAGUUUGGUAAUUUCAACAUACCAAGAGCACCUGGUUAUCAAGGCCAUUUGAUGUAUUCGGAUCCAGUUGUUUUCAAUGUUUAUCAACCAUCUAAUUCUCAUGGUGGUUACUCUCCUGCUCAUGUUUUUGCUCCUACUGGAGAUUACUCUGGAUCUCCUUCAGUCCCUGUUCCAGCUCUUGCACCUGAGAUGAUUGAAGAUCCAGCUUGGUACAUUGACAGUGGUGCUACUAACCACAUCACAAAUGACCCAGGUAAAUUACUGGAUCUCAAGCCAUAUGUUGGAACUGACAAAUUGCUUGUUGGGAAUGGUUCUGCAUUGCAUAUUCAGCAUAUUGGAUCAGUAUUGCUAGCUACUACUGCAAAUAAACCCUUGUGUUUAAACCAUGUUCUUCAUGUUCCAAAUAUUAAGAAAAAUUUACUCAGUGUUUCAAAGCUCUUAGUAGAUAAUAAUGUGACACUUGAGUUUUUUGCAAAUGUCUGUGUUGUCAAGGCCAGGAACUCAGGGAUCACUUUGCUUAGAGGAAUUGCAACAGGGGGAUUGUAUCAAGUCCAAUCUGCAGCUCAAGUCUCUGAAACUAGCUCAGCCUUGUCAUGUCAACUUUCUUCCAAUAAACCUCAGUCUUUGUUUGCUUUUCAUUCUCCUUUGUCUAGUGAUAUUUCUCCUGAAAUAAGUAAGAGUACUUUGUCUCAUCAUUUGUUGUGUAAAUCAGCCUUGGCUGUCAAUACUAGCUCAGUCGAUGUCAAUGUUUUCCAUAAAAGGCUAGGACAUCCUGCCUUACACACACUCAAAUCUGUAUUGAAAGCUUGUAAUAGUUUCAAUGUACUCAAUAAAACUCCAAACUUUUGCAAUGCCUGUCAACAUGGUAAAAGUCACCUUUUACAUUUUGGAUCUGUUCCAACAAAAACAACUGCACCAUUACAACUUAUAUAUGCUGAUUUGUGGGGACCAUCACAUGUUGCAUCCACUCAAGGCUAUAUAUAUUAUUUGUCCAUUUUAGAUGAUUUUAGCAGAUUCACAUGGAUUUUUCCUUUGACUGCCAAAUCAGAUGCACUCCAAGUUUUCACAGAAUUCAAAUCUUUUAUUGAAAAACACUUACAACAACACAUCAAAACAGUUCAAACAGAUUGGGGAGGGGAGUUUAGAACCUUUGCAUCAUAUCUCACUCAGUUUGAAAUUCAGUUCAGGCAUCCUUGUCCACAUAUCCAUCAUCAAAAUGGAAGAAUUGAGAGAAAACAUAGACACAUAGUGGACAUUGGCCUCACUCUGUUAGCUCAAGCUAAUUUACCACUUAAGUUCUGGUGGAAUGCCUUUCAUACUGCUGUAUUCCUUAUCAAUAGACUACCCACACCAACUUUGAAUAACAUUUCACCUUACCAAAAACUUUUUCAGCAAGUACCAGAUUAUGUCUCUUUUAGGGUCUUUGGUUGUGCUUGCUUUCCUUAUCUCAGACCUUAUAACAGACACAAGCUCAGUUUUAGAUCAAACAGAUGUGUUUUUAUUGGGUAUAGCUCUUCUCAUAAAGGGUAUCAGUGUCUUCAUUCAUCUGGUCGUGUGUAUGUGUCCAAUCAUGUCAUCUUUGAUGAACAAUCUUUUCCAUAUGUAUCUGGAUUAGACUUCUCUUCCAUUGCUCAGUCUUGCAGUCCCUCAGAUAUUUCUUCAGAGUCCAAAGUUACCCUUGUUCCAAUCCCACAAGUACAAUCCCCCCUGCAAGAAUCUCCAGCAAGUGAUUACCUACCUGCUGACACUCCACAGGUAUUCUCUCCUUCUUCAACCUCCUCUUCAUCUUCUACUUCGACAUCACAUACACAUCCUAUACAUCAUACACAAUCUCCUCCUCAUAAAUUACCUGCUGCACCACCUAUAGGUCAUCCCAUGAUAACCAGAUCCAAGGCUGGUAUCUUUAAGCCUAAAUCUUAUUUAGCUGCUUUACUAGCCAUACCUUCAGAACCUACUUCUGUUUUAACUGCUUUAUCUGAUCCAAAAUGGUUUAAGGCAAUGCAAGAAGAAUUUCAAGCACUUCAGAACAAUCAUACAUGGGAUCUGGUUUUGCCAAGUGAACCAGUUAAGGUAGUUGGAAACAAAUGGAUAUUCAAGAUAAAAUAUCAUGCUGAUGGAACCAUUUCUAGAUACAAAGCCAGGUUAGUGGCUAAGGGGUUUCAUCAGACACAAGGAGUUGAUUACACAGAAACAUUCAGUCCAGUUGUUAAAGCAUCCACAGUCAGAGUUAUUUUAAGUUUGGCAGUUAUGAAUAAAUGGGAGCUCAGACAAGUGGAUGUGAAUAAUGCCUUUUUGAAUGGCAUAUUAGUUGAAGAUGUGUACAUGGGGCAGCCAGAGGGCUUCAUUGAUCCAUCUCGACCUCUUCAUGUCUGUAAGUUGAAAAAGGCUCUCUACGAUUUAAAACAAGCCCCCAGGGCAUGGUUUGAGAGACUGAAAGAUGCUAUGGUUGUGAAAUGGGGUUUCCACAAUUCAAGGUCAGACAACUCCCUUUUCUACAAGUGGAUAGGUGAUCAAGUAAUUUUUGUUCUUGUCUAUGUGGAUGAUAUAAUCAUAACAGGCUCAAGUGAUCAAAUGGUGCAGCAAGUAAUUACCAAUAUGCAAAAUGCUUUUGCUUUGAAGGAUCUGGGCAAAUUGAGUUAUUUUCUUGGGAUAGAAGUUACCAAAACAGCAUCUGGAAUUUAUAUCUCUCAAUCUAAAUACAUAGCUGAUAUUCUAGCCAAACACAAUAUGGCUGACUGCAGUCCAGUUCCUACUCCCAUGGCCACUGGUCAUUAUCUUACAAAGGGGUCAGGAAGUGUUAUUUCAAAUAGUUCUCAAUAUAGAAGUGCAGUUGGAGCUUUAUAAUAUGUGACUCUCACUAGGCCAAAAAUAGCUUUCUCUGUAAACAAACUUAGUCAGUUUUUAGCUUCACCAACAGCAGAGCACUGGGAGGCUUGUAAAAGGCUUCUUAGAUAUUUGAAAGGAACAAUUCAUUUUGGAUUACAUUUUUAUCAUUACGGCACUAUGCAGAUAAAUUGUUUUAGUGAUUCAGAUUGGGCAUGUGAUAAGGAUGAUCGCAAAUCAGUGGCUGGUUAUGCUGUUUAUCUUGGUUCAAAUUUGGUUUCUUGGUCGUCUAAGAAACAAGCAGUAGUUUCCAGAUCAAGCACUGAAGCUGAAUACAGAGCUUUGGCUCAAGCUACAGCUGAGGUUACUUGGAUUCAGUCCUUACUGAAAGAGCUACAUAUUCAUCUUGUCACAGCCCCCAUAAUGUGGUGUGAUAAUCAAAGUGUCAUAGCUUUAGCUCACAAUCCUGUUUACCAUGCUAAAACUAAGCAUGUUGAGCUUGAUAUUCACUUCAUCAGAGACAAAGUAACAGCUAAGCAAAUUACAGUUCAGUUCAUUCCCAGUGAAGACUAAAAUGCCGAUGUUCUUACCAAGGCACUAACCUUCAAUCAGUAUCACUAUCUAAGAAGCAAGCUGAAUGUCCAUCCAGGUCAGUUCAGCUUGAGGGAGGAUGUUACAGAGUAUGAUAAUAUGGUACAGAUGAGAGCAUCUGAUUAAAUGGAGCUGCUGAUGCUUACGUGUGUUGAGUUAGUUAUCCAGCUCAGCAGCAAAGAUAACAAACUGUACUGCAUGCAUAUUAGAUCCAACAAACUGACAAGCUACGUGACGCCUCUAAUCUUUACUAUAAAUAACAAGUUGUAAUCAUUAGUCAAACUAAUGAGAAUGUGAUCAUUUUUCAGAUCUGGUUCUUUAUGAUUUUCUUUUAUUUUCUUGUUAGUUUCUCUUAAACCAAACACUAUAUACAAACUCUUUCAAUUUAAGAUACCUUAAUUUGUCUUUUCAGGAAAUAAAGAAACUACCGGAGAUACUGUGCGAGUUAUAUAAUCUAGAAAAGUUAGAUAUUAAUUGUUGUUCUGAUCUUAGAGAAUUACCCGAAGGGAUUGGGAAGUUAAUAAACAUGAAACAUUUACUAAAUAGAGAUACUAAUUCUUUAAGGUACAUGCCAGUAGGGAUUGGGAGAUUAACGGGUCUUAGGACCUUGGGUGAGUUCCACGUGAGUGCAGGAGGAGGUGUUGAUGGUAGGAAAGCAUGUAGGCUUGAAUCUCUUAAAAACUUGGAACAAGUAUGUGGUAUACGUAGACUGGGUGAUGUAUCAGAUGUAGGCGAGGCUAAGCGAUUAGAACUUGACAAAAAGAAAUACCUCUUCAGUUUGACCCUUGAGUUUGAUAAGAAGGAGGAAGAAGACGGAGAAAGGAGGAAGAACGAGGACGAUCAACUUCUUCUUGAAGCCCUGCGACCACCUCUGGAUUUAAAGGAAUUAGAGAUAGGGUUAUACCGAGGCAACACUGUUUUCCCCAGCUGGAUGACGUCAUUAACCAACUUAAAGAGUUUAAAACUCUCUUUCUGCGAAAAUUGCGAGCAGCUGCCUCCUUUGGGAAAAUUGCCGUCCCUUGAACAGCUCUUCAUAUCGUACAUGUCGAGUGUGAAAAGAGUGGGUGAUGAAUUUUUGGGGGUAGAAAGUGAUCGUCAUGACUCAUCGUCAUCUUCAUCAGUUAUUAUUGCCUUCCCCAAAUUGAAAUCACUUAGUAUUGAGGGAUUGAUGGAAUUGGAGGAGUGGGAUUAUGGGAUUACAAGAACGGGAAACACCUUCAUCAACAUCAUGCCACGUCUUUCUUCAUUGGCAAUUAAUUACUGCCCCAAAAUUAAGGCACUGCCCGACCACUUUCAUCAAACGACAACGUUGAAGGAAUUGAGCAUUUUUAUGUGUGGGCUUCUGGAAGAACGUUAUUGCAAGGGGGAAGGAGAAGACUGGCCUAAGAUAUCACACAUUCCCAACCUCCAUAUUGGGCUUUGACAAGUAAUUUCUUCUCUUACUCUGAUUUGCUUUUGUUGUUGUUUUUAAUCUAAUUAAGAAGCGUAAAUAGCAUUUUGAAUCAAACUCUAUAUCAGAAAUCUGCAAUACAUACUUUCUAAUAUUCUGAUUUUCAUAUCUUAUGAAUGUACGAUUUUUAAUUUGUGAGAUGGGUAACGUUACUGUAAAAGAUUAUUAAUGCAAUAUGAGUAAUUCUUUUGCAGGACAAGUGACCUACAUUUAGUUUGGCUUUGGAGUUGAAUAAUAACGUUUCAAGGCCAGGACCCAACAGCAGGAAAAACAAAAAAAAAGGAACGAAGCUUACUUUUGCCACAGAUUACAUGUAUUGCCACUAUUGACAAGUUUCUGGACAAGUGAUCAAGGGUGAGAGUGGUGCUACAACAUUGAAUAAAGCAGUCGUGACUGAAUUUAGGUUGAUGUCAAAAGUGGUAAAUUAUUUGCAUGUGUAGCUAAUUUGACCAUUUCCUGAUCCAUAAGUCUAUAUUAAUUUUGAUUUUUAGUUGAGUGAUUACAUUUCAAGGUUUGCUUACUUAACAGGGCGACCAAUUUCUUUUAACUAAAUGUAUUAUAUGAUGCAGGAAGCAAGGCAGGAUAUGAAAUAAUGGCAGUUGGCAGUGAAUGGAGGCCCUUGACUAAAUUCUCAAGCGGUUGCACUGCACUUACGCUUAUCCGUAGCCUCAGGUAAUUUCUUCUUCUGCAUUUUUGUAAUUUGUUAUCUAAUUAAGGGGCGUAAGCUAUUUUGAAUCAAAUUCUAUAUCAGGAAUAUAUGCAAAAGCUAUUUUGAAUCAAAUUCUAUAUCAGGAAUAUAUGCAACAUUUUCUAAAAUUUUGAUAUGUGAAUAAUGAUGGUAAUUUCUCUUUUUUGUCUGUCAUCGAAUGUUAGAUAACAUUCACUAAGACUCUUGAGAGUCAUUUUUCGACAAUUGCAGGACAAGCGACGAAGAGUGAGAAUGGUGUUAGAUUGGGGAUUGAGGCAAAACGAGGUAAAUAAUUGGCAGAGAAUUUGGGAGCUUGAGUGUACUGGGAUUUGCAAUUACAAUCUUACUCUGCCUUAGGUGAUUUCUUCUCCUGCUUUGUCAUUGGUUGUUCUCUAGUUGAAAAGCAUUAAGUAUUUCAAUCAAAUUCUAUACCAAGAAUAUGCAAAACUUUAUUUCCAUCUGUUUGCAUUGAUAACUUUGCGGCAUAUGCGCUAGUUAAAGAACAAACAGAAACAGAGGUCAGGAACAAGUUUCCUCUGCCGUCAUAUUUGAAAAUGCAACCAUUUCCGGGAAGUAGUUGGCAGCAAAUUCAUAUAAAGUGUAGACAAUAAUGAGCAAAAAGGUGAUUCAAAAUUUUAUUUUUUUUAAAUUAAUUGUUAGGUUGGAGUUGUUAAAAGGCCAUUGAGCUAACUUAUGUCGUUAGUUAUCUAGAUUGCAGGGGGUCCCGAGACUCAAAAGAAGCAUUGAAUUUUAAAAGGCAUGCAAUAAUUCUUGUGGGCGUAUGUCAAGUCAUGUAAGUUUGAAUGUAAUUAUUGGUGAAGGGGUUUCAUUUUCUGUCUCUAAAUCGAGAUACUGAUUCUUUAAGGUACAUGCCAGAAGGGAUUGCGAGAUUAACAAGUCUCCGGACAUUGGAAGAGUUCCAUUGAGUGGAGGAAGUGCUGAUGGUGGCAAAGCAUGUGGUAUAAGUAGACUGGGAAAGGUGUUAGAUGUGGGUGAGGCUACGAGAUUAGAGCUUAACCAACUGAAAUCCCUCCUUAGGUUGAGACUUAAAUUUGAUGGGGAAGAAGGAGAAGAAUAAGUAAGGAGGAAGAACGUGGAUGAUCAACGUGUUCUUGAAGCCUUGCAACCACCUCUGACUUUGAAGGAAUUAGAGUUACUGUGAUACAGAGGCAACACUUUUCCCCCCUAGAUGAUGCAAAAAUUGAAGGAAUUUACCAAUUUAAGGAAUUUGACACUCUUUAAAACUGCAAAAAUUGUGAGCAGCUGCCUCCUUUGGGAAAAUUGGGAUCCCUUGAAAAGCUCAGCAUAUCGUACAUGGAGAGUGUGAAAAGAGUGGGUAAUGAGUUUUUUGGGGAUAGAAAGUGAUCAUUGUGACUCAUCUUCAUCUUCAUCUUCAUCGCUUAUUAUUGCCUUCCCCAAAUUGAAAUCACUUUCAGUUGAAGGAUUGAUGGAAUUGGAGGACUGGGAUUAUGGGAUUAAAAGAAUGGGAUACACCUCCAUCAACAUUAUGCCACGUCUUUCUUCCUUGGAAAUUAGUGUGGGAUUACGGGAUCGCUUUCGUGAAACAACGACGUUGAAGGUAUUGCACAUUGUGCAUGUCGUACUCUAGGAAGAUGUAACAGACAGAGGAGAAGAGCGACUGGCCUAAGAUCUCUCACAUUCCAG